This 148769-nucleotide long non-coding RNA is filed under the name Coffea arabica (coffee). RNAcentral's name for it is "long non-coding RNA (CARA_LNC006910)". The stretch from base 122856 to 122962 matches the Rfam family "Plant small nucleolar RNA R71". The record is from RNAcentral. Lineage: Eukaryota; Viridiplantae; Streptophyta; Magnoliopsida; Gentianales; Rubiaceae.
UCCUGAAUGCCGUUGGUGGUCAAAGUGUCCCAUUUUAUAAGGGUUUGGGGAUUUAAGUGUCCCAUUUUAUAAGUUUAGGGACUUAAGUGGGAGGUAUUUAUAAGUUUAGGGACUUAAGUGUCCUAUUUUGAAGUUUAGGGAUUGAAAUGGGUAAUCGUCCAAAGUUUGGGGGGUCAAAGUAGAAUUAACCCUUUUAUAAAUAAGUGGGGGAAGGAUUAACCUCUUCAUGCCAGUAAUGAAGGCCGGCGAAAAAAAAACUUAAUUGGAAUUAAGUGAACCCCAUAAAAAUGUGGAUGGAAAAUAUAAAAAAAAAAAAAGAUUGUCGAUGAUGACAAUUAAUUUUACCUUUCUUCCAUGCCAGGAUAGACCUAUUGUAGACUAGAGCUUGUCUAAUCUAGUGAAAGAGCCUGAAUACAGAUGAAGGCAAUCAAGGGCAAAGCAAUCAAGAUCAUUUGAAAGUUGUUCUAUUUCAAAUGAACAAGAUGCUUUCUUUCUUUCUUUCUUUCUUUCUUUCUUUUUUUUUUUUUGUCAAACUAUGAAGUACCGCCCACUUUCUGUAUACAGCGACAUACCCAUAAGAAGUCUUUUGUAGUGUUGUGACAAAUCCAGGCCUCUACCAUAAAGAAAUCAAGAAUUGCAACUCCUCCUUUCCAAUACCUCAUCCAGGAGUUCGUAUAUUUCUUGCGGAUUUAGGGAAUUCUUUUCUUUUGCUCAUAUUCCCUCUCAAAUGGCUUUGAUAGGAGGAGUUUCUACUUCUUACCUGUUCACUUUUACUUGAAUCGUUUCAUUCAAAAUCGUAUAACAACUCUGCUCGAUAUGCCACUCAUGCACCUCACAGAAAAUGUAAAGAAACACACAACCUUAUGAUAAGUUCCAUAAUUUUUCAUAUGGAAAGCAGUACAAGCUUUCAAUAUUACAGAGUCAUACAUUAUUCACUGGAGAGAUAGAGCAUACAUGGCUCCUUAUUGUGCUUGCUUAAAACUGAAAUUAAGUAGAGGUAACGGACUUGAGAAUAUCUUCAUUUUUCUUACUGAAGUACACCACGAAAGGCUGACCACCUAAAGCCAGUCGCCUGGUUCCAUCGUCAUCAUAAUAGAUGCCAACAUCUUUGCAAAUCGCUUCAGAACUGGAGUCACAAACUGCGGGACAGAAAACAAGCUUGUAAAAAGGGUUGAUCCCUUCAAUCUUAAACCAAUUGGCCUCGGUCUCACAUCCUGAGUUCCCUUCAACUCCGUCAGUCAGUACAAAGUGUUGUUCGAGUGCCUCGUUGAAAUGAACCUUCCACACAUUUGAUCCACGACAAAAAUUAAUAAAUGGUGAGAACUUGAUGUUUAAAUCAGUGGAAACACGAAUCACGCCUUCUUCCGGGUUCACCGGUGUAAAAGUUACUGGAUGGCCUCGAUUGAGAUCUGACAGCGCCUGAACAACUGCCAGAGGGCAAAUUUCAUUGUCUGGGCCCUUGCCAUAAGUUAAACCGCCGCCACCGCCACCAAAGAUGGCGGACACGACGUGGUACUCGACACCGGGGCGGAUUUCCUCCCCGUUGAUGUCGAGCACUGGAUUAGGCUCUUCAGUAGCAAAAGAAAGGAAAGAGUUGAAGAGUAGAAAUGAAAGGAAGAGUAGUAAUUUCUUCAUUGUGAGCGGCAAGGUGUGUACGAAGUCUAGGAAGUAUUCAGUGCAAUUGUGCUGAUGUCGAGCUAUGUUACUCGCUUUAUAUAGCUGAAUGAAUUCAGAGGUGAUGAUAAAGUUUUGUUUCGAACUACUGUGGUCCACCGUUACACGUGUGCUUGUACCGUUCAAUUGAUCUUGUAACUGCAUUUUUUCAUGGCAUUCAAACCGUUAGCGUCCAUUCGAUUCGAUGAAAUAUUGGUUUAUGAAGAAAUUUUCUGGAAAAUGCUUUACAUGAAGAAGAUUUAUUCUUGACAUCUUCUUGUGCUUGGUGUCAUUAAAUAUUUUUAAAAUUGAUCUCUAAAUUUGUAAUUUGAAGGGAAAAUAUUGUGAAUGGUGAAUGGUAAAUGGUGAAUUGGUAAGUAUUCAUUCAAUCAAAUAUAUACUACACUUAACUACAAGAUUACCAAAUUAUCUUUAUUUCAUACAAACACUAGCUAUUGGCCAAAUCUACCUAGACUAUUAGGUUUUUUUUUUCCAAUUAGAUUUUGUAUGUUUUUGUGUACAAUUGCCGAAUAACUAUUAGUUUGGAAAGUAAAGUACAUCUUGUGCUUCAGUGAUUUCUUUUGGUCGCUAUUGUUUUCGUUAUAUAUUUUCUUACUUUAAUUCUCAAUUUAGCAAUUUGUAUUGAGCGCUAUUUCAAUUUUCUAUCGUAUGAAAAAUUAAGUUCAGCCUUUAAAAUGAAUUUUCAAUGUAAGUUAGAAAACCUGGUAAGCUGAUGUCUUAAAUCCUCAACGAUAUUAAAUUUAUUAUUUCGUAAAAAUGAUAAUUAAGUGUUCACUUCUAAAUUUUAUUCCAAGGUUAUUGUUAAUUUUAGAAAAAUUAAUUUUGAAUCAAAAAAAUUUCUUUUAAAUAGGAAAAAGCUUUUAUUUUCUUUCUCUAAGAAAGAAAAAGCUAAGUGAGAAAAAUUUACCCCAUGAGAGCUUUAAAUGUAAAAUUAUAAGCCACAAAAGUUGGUUAAACAUUUAUGAACCUCAGGAGCUCAUUAAGCGUUUAUGAGCACGUGCUUGUUGUCAAAUGUCAAUUGUUAUUUAAUUACGAGAGGGCCAGCUGCGUUGUAAUAUAGGGACAGGUGUAAGGAUGGCAACGGGGGGACCUCAUUAAGCGUUUAUGAGCACGUGCUUGUUUUCAAAUGUCAAUUGUUAUUUUAUUACGAGAGGGCCAGCUUCGUUGUAAUAUAGGGACAGGUAUAAGGAUGGCAACGAGCUGCCCCCGCCCAUUCCCCCGUCCCCUGCUCCCCCCCCCCACCCCCGGCCCCUCGCAUUGUUUCUAGGUGCGGGCUAAUAAAAAUUUGUUAUUUAAUUUUAUUAUUAUUAAAUUUUAGUAAAUAAUUAAGUACUAAAAUAUUAACAUAUUACCAAAUUAUUAUUCAUUGUAAUUUCACAAUUGAAACUUAUAAAAACAAUCAAAUAAAAGUUAUUUGAAUACAAUACAACAUGAUGAAAUAAAUAUAACUAAAGUAGUCAACUUUUCACUUUUGACACAAAUACAAUUACUAAUUUAUUAUUGUGCUUGUGCCUUUUUUUGAGAAAAAAAUGUUAUUGUAUUAAGCAUAAUUAGGGAUUUAAUAUAAAUGUAUUAGGAAUAUAAAUUCAUUACCAAAUUAUUAUUCAUUGUAAUUUUACAAUUGAAACUUAUAAAAACAAUCAAACAAAAGUUAUUUGUAUACAAUCCAAUAUGAUGAAAUAAAUAUAACUAAAGUAGUCAACUUUUCACUUUUGACACAAAUACAAUCACUAAUGCAUUAUUGUGCUUGUGCUUUUUUGAGAAAAAAAUGUUAUUGUAUUAAGUAUAAUUAGGGAUUUAAUAUAAAUGUAUUAGAAAAUUUAGUAUAACCAAUUAAUAAUUUGUAUUAGUAUACAUAUAUAAUUAUUAGUAUAAUUGAUAAUAUUAAUUAUAUUACAUAUACUAAUAUACAUUAUAUAAUACAUAUAACUAAUAAUAUCAUUAUCAUAAAUUUGUAACUAAUUAAAUUAUAUAUUAUAUAUGCAAUUAUAUGCAUAUAUAUUUUAUAUAUUUAUUUUUUUAAAGCAGGUGGCGAGGUGGGGGUACACUCUCCCCCCCCCUGCCCCGUUUCUCAGCGGGGGGAAAAAUUUCCCCAGCCCCCACCUAACCCCCACCCCAUUAGCACCCCACGGGGCACCCAUUGCCAUCUUUAGAUAGGUGGUAUACUUUCAAUUGCAUCCGAUCCUCGGCCCUUAAGAAGCCCCAUUACCAGAUCUCACCCUAAAUAUUUGAUAUCUGUAAUAAAUUUGACAUCAGCAAACAAAUUUUUUUUUUCAUAAUAGGAGUAGUGAUUUUUUAGAAUUCUAAGUCAAGUAAAUCACAGUUAUUUGAGAGUGAUUUUCUGGAAUUCUAAAUCAAUAACAGAUAUUCAAAUUUAAAAAAGGGUGUAAACAGUGAUGGAAAACAUCAGAUGCUGCUGAGAGGGUUGAGAAUAAUUCUAAUUAUAGAUUUAUAGUUUAUAGAUUUUUGUUUGAUGUGAUUUGUCAUUGGUUGAGUUAUUGAUAGAGUGACUGGUUUCGUAAUAUUCAAGAGGAAGGAAUAACCAAAUUGAUUUCGGGAUAGGAUUGGAUUAAUAAAAUUAUGUGAGUUAUUUCUGAUGUCAAAUUUUUAGAAUGAAAUAUGACAAGGGAACUGAUGAUCGGAUACGAUUUUCAAUGGGAUCGGAACAAACUUUCAUAUCAAUCAGAUGUGCUUUUGUUUCUACUUAUAUAUUUUUGUAUCUGAUGCAGUCUUUACAUCCACGGCAAAUUCAAGCGCGUGAUUAUGCGAGACAAAAUUGUCCCUUUCGGGCAAUUAUUUGAUAAACCAAGAGGUGCAAGUUAUGCCACGUUUUCCUGGUACCAAUCCCCCCUCAAAUCACUGUACUGCCUCCAGGCUCUGGACUGCCACGGACCUCGGGCAGGAACGAUUGCACGGGCAAUCGUUUCUAAUGAUUUUGUGCAUUUUAUACAUCGCGUAAUUUUAUUUACACAAGGCGUAAUUUUGUUUGCACAACGUGUAAUUUUAGAAUAAAUUUUUGUGGAUCCUACACAUAUUUUUAAAAACUAGGUAUAAGAAAUGAUCUGAACAGUAUAAUUUUUUGGGGUCAAAUCUUAGCUGUGAACAGCUCAGGAGCGGUCCAUCUGAUGACCGCUCCUGCCCCUCAUUCGGACUCCCACCAUCCCUUAUCAACUCCGAAUCCUACUUCCUACCCUUUAUGCGGAUAUGGGGCAGGACCAGUCAUCAGAAGGACCGUCCCAGAUCAGUUCACGGUCCAGAUUUGAUAAAAAAAAAUUGUACGAUUUAAAUUUCAUCUUAUAUCUCAAUUUUAAUAAUAUGUGUGAGAUUUAUAAAAUUUUGUUCUAAAAUUACACGUUAUUGAAAAUAAGUUACACCAUGUGCAAACAAAAUUACGCGCUAUGCAAAAUGCACAUAACUACUAGAAUGGUUGCACCUGCAACCGUUCCUGCCCAUGUCCCCUUCAUGUAUACCCCAAUCAUCACCACUCCUUCCUUAUCUGCUCCUUCCCCAAAAGUCACUGCUCCCUUCGUACCCCAAUCAUCAUCACCAUAUUAUCCACACCUUAUUUCCUCUAUCUUCCCUCCCCAAAAAUUGUGACCGCUCCCUUCCUUCUCUGUGCCUCCAUAGACACCUACUCUUGAAAUCUUUCUCCAUUUUUAUAAGAAAAAGUUUACGUGGAUUCGAUUUGAUCGCUUACAAAUCGUUCACUAAUGUAACUCUUACAUCAAUAGCAAUUUUCAAACAAGCACCUUUCACUAUAAAUGUGGACUGUCAUUGUCAACUGACCCAACUUGUGUUGGUGAGAUCCUUCUCCGUUGGAACCACUGCCACUCUCCUUCUUCAUGAUUUCUUUCCCUCUAUCAUUUCCUAAGAUGCUUUAAGGUUAUAUAUAUAUAUAUAUAUUGUUUUGGGGUUAAGCUCAUAAUUACUGAACCCCAAAUAUAUAUAUCCAAAAUAAUAAACCAAAUCCAAGCAGAAAUUACCAAAAAAGAAAACUGAAGAUGUGGGGAGGGGGUUUUGGGAAAUCUUACAAGUGUGGGAUGGAAUUUGGGUAAGAAAGGCAAAAGAAACCUGAUCUUGAAAAUCGUUGCUUAUUAGAUUUUGAUUUGUUCUCGUAUGUAUUUCAAAAGAGAAAUUUAACAAGAUUUGGAAAAUAAGAAGAAGAAGAAGAUGAUGAAUGAGAGACAUGGGUGUGCAGAGCGUUGCAAAGUGAAGCAAAGACUUAUGCUGAAUGUUUUUACUUUUCUGUGAGUUUUGAUGAUAUGGCAAUUUCAUCGUUACCUAAGUGGCCCGUAGACCAAGUCUACACAAGUUGUUGCCAUCUAUCCUCAGCCAGCUAACUUGUGUGAUCGCGUCCGCAUUAGAUUGAUGCGCGAGGACCAAUUUCAUAUAUACAAAUAAUUUCUUUUGAAUCUACAAAAUGAUAGAAACCACAAGUUACGUUGUACAUGAGUAAUAAUUUCUUUUGAAAACUGUCACUAAAACUAGUUUUCAGUGGCACUUUUUAUGUUCUUUUUGGGUUUUUUUAUUAUGGUUUAGAAAACAAAUUUUGAGAUUUUUAUUACAAAAUUAAUUAUUUUUAAUUGUUGAAGAUUUCAUUGUCUAGUGGAUAAGUUUUUUUUUUUAAUUUUAAUUAGAGAUCUUAGGUUCAAAUCCCCUAUUCCCCUCCAUACUUCUUAAAUCACACCUCUCUUGCAAGAAAAUUAUUUUUUUAAAACAAAAAUAAUUCAUGUUCUUAAUAGCUAAUAGAGUACAGGAUGAUAUGAAUUUAAUUAAUUUUUAAAAAAUAUAGUUUACUUAAUUACCUUUACAAUCCUUAUUAUCUUUUGUAUUAAAAAAAUUAUUAAGUCUUGUAGCAUCGUAAGAUAUGUAAUAUUAAAUUUAGUACCACGACGUGGUCAUGACUCUAAGUCAUCAUGGUCAUGACACUUAAAGUUACUCUAUUGUGACACGCAUGUGAUAAAUGGCAUUAUCUUGUGAUACUUAUUAGUUAAAUGUCAUAAUAAUGUCACUAAAUCUUAUUUUUCUGACAAUUUAAACAAAGUGUCAUUAAGCAAUAACAACAGAUGCUGUUAUAAUCUCUUAUCUUGGCAUUAUAAUUGAAAAUAUCAUUAAUUUAAUGCCACUAAAUUGCUUUUCUCUGGCAAUGAGCUCAAGGCUACAGGUUAAUCUUGUUGCGUCAAGGAAUUUUCUGUAUCUCCACAAGUUAAAUAUUUUUCGCCAAUUUUAAGAGAAAUUUUCCUUGGAGCAAAAGGCCAAAAUAGUCCCAAAAAUAUUUUUCCAAAGCUGCAGUAGUCCUUAAGUUCCACCAUUACCCUGCUGGGAAAAAAAUUUAAAAAAAAAAGGCGCAAUAGUCCCUAAACUUUAAUUGGGGCUAAUUUAGUCCUUAAACUAUAUUUGUCUAGCGAAUUUAGUGCUUUUUGGGUUGAGCCACCAAUAAUGCAAAAUUCGGGGCAAAAAAAGAAAGCAUACAUUCAACAUUCAUUAAAAUCAUUAAACAAGAUUUUGACGGGACAAUAUAGCAUCGAUUGGAGGAUCGAAAGCACAGGUGCAUUUUGAAACCCUACAUCCAAAGUCCUUAUCCACCAUUCAUCUUAAAAUCCAUCCAAAAAGACACCAGUUAAUCUAAACCCAGAUCUUCGUCCGCUGCAUUAAUGAGCAACAAAGUGCAUAUAGGAGGUAGCAUUAAUGAGCUUUUGAAGAGUAAGUUUCCUCACUCGUAUACCUCCAAAUAGCAUCAAUUAGGUUUGGUGCAAUGUUUAUGAUUGCUCGUCUGGGCGUAAACAAUUUAUGAUGUUUAGUGCUUGUUCAUUGAAGGGAUUUGGUUAAUGUGGGUCAAAGUUGAAUGAACUAUGUAUCAGUGAAUUACUAAUUUUAGCCCACGGGAUGCGACUAUUUGUUUGAUUGUUUACCCUUUGCUUUCAUGUUCCUUUUUUUUAAGACAAUGUGGUUCUCAGUUCUAAUCGAGUGUAUCUCUAUUGUUUAUAACAGGUGAAGGUGGCAAUAAUGUCUGCCUUAAAGUCCAUCAUGGUGGGGUGAUUGUGGAGGAAAAUAUCAAAAAAAUAUGCCUGUGGAUUUUUCGAUAGUUUGGGUGGGUGUAAUGUUGAAACAAUGAACUUGUCCAUAUUGGAACAUGGUGCCACCGACAGUGGCGGAGGGAAUGGGGAAGGGACCCCUAAGUCUUGAGAUUACUUUUUAAUCCCUAAGAAAUUUUAAUAACUUUUAUUAGAGAUCUUUUCUUUGUCCCCUCUAAAAUAUUAACAAAGUUUAAUCACCUAGUUUUUGCCUUCUGAAAUUUUGAACUGUUAUUCAUCUUUGAAUAUUUUUGACCUUGCAUUAUUGUUAGUUGAUUACUUAUCAAUUGUUUUAGUAUUAUAUUUUAAAUUGUUAAAAUUUUAUUGUCAUCUUAAGAAAAAUCUCGUAUAAGCUAAGUUGCGGACACCUUUCAAUUAACUGUUUUAUUUUAAUGUUCAUUAUUGAUCAGCCACAUUUCAUAGUUAAGUACUUCAUUCUACAUUAUGCCAGCUUUUCGUGUAAAACGAGGAAACUAAUAAGAAGUAAAUUUUAGAUAUUCUCUUGCUAAACAUUUAAAACCAACAUUUAUCGCUAAUUAAUAAUGUUAUCUCUUUACUUCUUUUUUUUUUUAACUUUGAGAUAUGAUUGCUCUCCAAAGUUUGAUAUUACAAAAUAAUCAAGUUAUAUUUUGUCUCCUUAAUAAUGUAAGAAUAAAAAGUUGGAAAAUUGAGUAGUUGUAUUUAAUUAAUAUAUUAAUGCAAAUUUUUAUUUAUUACACAAUGUAUAGCUUCCUUAUUAUGUUUCAUUAAAUUAAGUAUUACUAUUACUUUGUCAAAAAGUCCAAUGACAAAACGAACUUGUUAAUAUAAAAUUUUAAUUAAAAAUACUUUUCUUCAAUUGCAAUUCAAUAGCUAGAUUGAAUAAAAAAUAUAUGAUGCAAAAUAUGGGUUGCUUAAGGGCCAUGUUUCAAGUUUCAAGUAGUUCGAGUUUUUAUUAAUAGCUUACUAGUUUAUUUUCAAGAUUUCUAAUUAAUUUGGUAGGAACAGGUCCAAGAUCUCAUGUUGAGUUGGAUCCGAAUUAGUUGUCAAGUCCAUUGGUUAAUUGAAUCAUUUUGUUAGUUAUUUCCUUGUGUAAUAAUCAGCCAGCAAUAAGUUUGUUAAUUGGGACGUGAGUUGGUUGAUUUAGCUAAGUUAAUUGAGUCCAUUAGUUCAGGUAUAGUAGGGUUAUAAAUAUUUGUAUCAUUCCAUUCAAAAAAAAAGAAGAAAGUUGAAUAAACGUUUUUCAAAGAGUUUUCUCUUGGCUCGUUGCCAACGCCCCCUUUGAAUACUUUAGAUUGGUUCUUGAGUGUUCAUCUGUGGCUUAUUAAUUAAAAAACAUGUUUGAUUGUGGCACUUUUCUACUGAUAAGUAUAUAUUUUACGUGAUUUUAUUGUGUUUUAUUAGUUAGUUUUGGUGUGUUUUAUUUAGUUUCAUAGCUAAUUAACAAAGAUUCUAGUGAAAAUAUGCAUUUUAUGGUUUAAGUGGUAAAAAUUACAUUUUUAUGGAUUUUAAUGAUAAUAGGUUUAAUGAUUUAAUCAUCAAAUGGAAUGAAUUGAGAAGAGAAUUGGAUGAUUAUUGAUGAUUUGAAGUGAUUCAGAGAAGACAUGAAGUGCAAAACAUUCAAAAGAAGAAAUGCAAGUGAAGACAGUUUCGAUACCUUAUGGUAUUUCGGCUAUAUAUUGAGCUAGAAUGAUCAGAUUGAGGUGAUUCUUGAACCAUUUUGAAGCUAAGAGAUAGAUCUAUAUUUGGUAUGAAGAUAUCGAAGUCCAGUUCAGCCAUUUUCAUUGUCAAAAUGUCAAAAUACAAAAGUACGACUCUGUUGUCAAAAGCUGAAAUAGAGCUCUAACCAGUUGAUGGUAUUUUGAUCAUAUCUCAAUCGACAGAGUUCCAAAUGGGAUGAUUCAUGAGGCAUUGGAAAGCUAACUCAAAGGGUUAUAACUUUCGUGUUUUGUAAAAGAACUAGUUCAACCUCCAUCAUUGAGAAAAUAGUAGUUGAAGUGGUACCAAAUGCAUAGAAGUGAAAACACGACUUCAUGAUUACGUGGCUUGAAGUCGCGUAUUCUCACUUGAUUGCUGCAAUUUGCCCAUCAACUUACCUUGCUUUCACACAACUUUUCCAACUCAAUUCCACCUAUCAAUCUCGGCUGUAUCUGAUCAAGAAAAGGUUGGAAAGUUGGAAAGACAACUCAUAGAAGUUUCAAGAGUCCAAAAUGACAACUAAAAACAACUCAUUUGGCUCUUGAAUUCUCCACAAAUAGAGGCCUUUGGAGAACAUUUUCACAACUUUGGAAGGCUAGAGAAACUGUGAGGACUUGAAAAUUUGCUUAUAUUUUCUUAUAAGUCUCCUUUAUUUUGAAUAAGUUAAUUUAUAAUUUCUUUAAUACUAAUUACUUCCCUUAAUAGUUGUAAUAAAUAAUAGAGUCGAGAGUUUUACUUUUACUUUUAAAGUUAGUGUUAGUUAGGGUUUUGGUGCAUUGUUAUAGUGUGAUCAAUUGAUGAGGUGUGUGUACUAAAUUUGGUGGAUAAGAGCGGAUAUUAAGUAGGAGGAAGUAUGUGAUUAAAAGUGCUAAAAGUACAUUAGUGAAUCAUAAGUUAAAACAAAAGUACAAGAGAGACAAAAAAACAGGUUUGAACCGACUCGCGCCGUUUGUACCGAUCAAAGACACCACUUGACUGAGACUUUCUUUUUCUAAUCUUCUUAUUUUUCUUUUAUUUUCCCUUCCCUAAUUUUGCCCUAGGGUUGGCUGAAAUUCUUGACCAAAAAAGAGAGGAAAAGAAAAAAAAAAGGAAAAAUGAUUGAAUGCCAAGUGUUGGCAAUCAAGGCCAACUUUGACCAAACCUUUCUUCCAUUCUUAUCUUUCUUUUCACUAAAAAUUCCCUUUAUUUCCUACUAGUUUGGCCAACCCUUAGAGAGAAAAAAAGAGAGGAGAAAAUUUCACAAAUCAUCCUGAUCUUGCCUUGAUUUAGAAAGAAAUCAACAAUAACCACAAAUCUAAUCCGAACAAAGGUGCAACAAGGUGACAACGAAGCUUGAGGUGGAGUGAUUUUGCAUAGGCAGCCUUGGUAUUGUAUUUUUCCUUGAGGUUUAAAGGUAUUAAGUUGGAAAAUUUUCUUUCUCUUUCUUAUCUUGCAAUUUAUGGGGAAGAUGACUUGAAAUUGGAAGUUUUGGGGAAAAUAACCUAGAUUUGUGAAGAUUGGUGAAAUUUCCCUCCUAGGGUUUUAAUUUGCAGCCUUGUUUCUUAUUUUUCAGCUAUGGUAUGAUGGUAUCUAGCCUUGUUAAUGACUUGUAUGAAGAUUAGGAAUUUCCAACUUUAGUAGAGAAUUUUCCAGCUUUGAUAUGUGAUGUUUAUAUGUUAGAGAUGAGUUUAAAUUAGUUGGUUUGGUGGUCUUGUAUAAGAACCUCUUUUUCCUUAUAACUUGUGGACUUGAUUUGGGUUGUUUUGCCAUGGAGCUUAACCUUGGAAAUUGAAGGGAAAACUAGGAAAAAACAGGAGAGAUGCUAGUCGUUUUUUUUUUCUUGUAGUUCAUGUGAGUGGAAGCGAUAUUGAGGUGUGAAUUUAGGGCAUUUUUGUCUUCCUCUUGCAUAUGAUUUUACUCAAAACACUUGUUACAGGCUAUUUCUUUGUAUGUGUGUUAGUUUUGAGCCAAAACAAAGAGGUUUAAGAAAAGAAAAACCUAGUUUUUCAAACUAAUAGUUUGUUGAAAAAUUUUCGCAAGAAACCCUUCGCAGUUUUGGGAAAUUAACUAUAACUUCGUAUAGGAAAGUUAGAAUUGAGUUCCGUUUAUUGCGUUUGAAACUAGACUCAUAGAGCUUUCAACAGUGUAAAAAUCAAGGGUUGGUUCAACUCCUAUAAAUACCAGCAAAUCUACAAAAUUUCUUGAAAAACCAUGACUGUUCUGUCUUUGAACAUGAGACAGUAGUGAAUUUGAACUGAAAUUUGACUAACUUAUGAGUUGAAUUUCAUGAAGCUGUCUUCUAAAGCCUAUUAUUAGUUCAGUUUAUUUUCUAACGGUAUAAGAUUUAUGAUUUUUUGACUUACGGAACUCAAAUUAUACUUUUUCAAAAAAUGUCACCAAAGCUGGAAAUUUUAUCAAAUGGAUUGAGUGGGACUUGGAAAACUUUGGAAAAACAUUUUCUGGGUUUUAAACCGUAUUUUGGUGAGAUUUUGGAUGCUUAAAUUACUCUCCUCACUUUUAGAAUACAUUUAGAUUUUUCCUUGAUUUGCAUCUUCAAAUUUGCCCUUGAACCCUACGUGUUUGAGAGGCCAUCUUGUAUAGGCUUGUGGCUCAUAGUUGAGCCUAAUAUGUGAAUUUUGUUCACUUAAGUUUUGGAUGGUUGGACUAUAAUAUCUUUAUCUUGGUUGUUCUUAGGGUUUGUUGGUGAGCACGGGCAUUACCCGGGGACGAGCUUUUGACAUUUACUCUACUAACAUCAGUGAGUGUUCCUUGCAUGUGUGUGCUUUAAAUGACUAUGUGAAAUGUUGUGAAUGUUGCCAAAAUGUUAAAUGCUUUCCAAUGAUUGCUAAAUAGAUUUUCGAUGAGCGAAUGUGUACUUUAUCGCACUCGACCCAAGCAAAAGUGAAUUUUCAAUGAUUGAAUGCUACUUGUGCAUGAAUGUAAGCCUUUUGGCUGAACUGGACACUUGCCCUUCAUUGCCAGUCGACUCAAGUCAGAAGUGGACUCGGUCGGGCGGUUGGUGACCCUGGGACAAUGUUUGGUAUACUCGAGUAUUACCGCGAAAUCUGGUGGAGAACUGGCUAGUGAAUUCAAUGCAAUGAAAUCAAUGAAUGAAUGACAAGAACACUGAAGGAGUUUUCACUUGCAAAUAUUUUCUAAUGUCGGAGGGAUAAGGAAAAUGGUUGGUAAAUGAAUGAAUGACUUGAAUGAGUGGCUCCAAUUAAACACGUAUCCUUUCAAUGAAUGAAUGAUUGAUUCUUGAAUGACUGCUUAUUACUGUGCUAAGUGUGCAAAGUACUAAAUGUAAAUGUUUCCGUGUUUCGCCUGCUUGAAUGCUUAUUUGGGAAAUUCACUGGGCUUUUAGCUCAUUUCAUUAGUUUAUUUUCCUUACAGGAGUGGAGGCUGGAGCAAGUAAGCGUGAACUAGUGUGUAUAAGUUUCUUGUACUUGCACUUUUAUGGAUUGAAUGUAUGUGGAAUAUUUGGCAAUGUAAAGCUACGUUUUAUUUUUGGCUUGUAAAUGAAGUUGAAUUAUGGUUGAUUUGAGGACCUUCUAUGCUAAUCUAGAGGCGUGAAAAACUAUUUCCAAAAUAUAAGUCAGUGAGUCCUGGUGAAAGUUGGGCAGGCGGUCCGCCAAACCCUUGGGUACGCCUUAGAGGAAGGUGGGGUCAUCGCAGAAACUUACUAAAAAUGUAGUCUUCACUAGAGUUUCCUUUAUUCAUUAGUUAGGGUAUUAUAGAGUAGUUAAUGUAGUGUUUCCUUCUUGUAUUUGUAAUUAGAUUUGGAUUCAGAUUGAGGAGCAAAGAUAGAGAGUUUGAAACUCAUGUGACAAGGGUGACAUCUCUCCUAUCACUUUCUCUUUUGUAUUUAAGUUCAUGUUUAGCUAUAAUACAAGUUUGGAUUUGUUUUUCUUCAUGUUUUGCUAAAAUUUAUGCCUAGAAUUAUAGUUGAACUUGCUAUAUCUUGUUAGUGAUAUUUAUUUGGUUAUUUGGUAAUAUUAUGUUGAGCAAGUUAUUUAUCACUUUUGCUUAUCUAAUCAUGAUUAACCGGCCAUUAGUUGUGAUUAUCUAAAGGUGUUAAGUUUGCUAUGAAAAUUGAAAUUUAACACUAGUUCAAGGAAGUGAUAAACCUAAGUAGUACACUCGCAAGAGUAGAGGUACACCUUUGUGGCUUAAGUGACUUGUUCCAUGUAAUUUCAUAGAAAAAAUGAGCUUGUAGUUAAUUUCAUAACUACGAGAGUAGGUAUGGUUUAGCUACAAGUAUAGUUGAUUUACUACGAGAGUAGGUUUCACAUAUAUUAGGAAAUUACGCCAUAACUAGACAAGAUAAUAGCAUUCACUUAACCAAUAAUCUCAUUAGCGAGAGUAAUGAGGAAUUCCAUACCUCUAGGAGUUUUCUAGUGUUAAUUUUAUUACUUUUACUUCAUGCUUAUAUUCUAAAUAAUAAAGGAGUUUAAAAAUUACCGGUAAUUGAAAAUCUUUCCUGUGGGAUCGACCCUUAAUACCUUAUACUCGCUCACGAUUCGUAUGCUUGGGAAAAAUUGCGUAUGGAGCAUUUAGGAUUUAUAAAUGUAAAAUUUGAUUGUGGAUGAGCUAAUUGUGUAUGUAUACCACGCGCACGUCAUCUACCAACCUUAAUUCGUCUUGAGCGGUCCCUGAUCGAAUUAGGUUCCAUCCCUUAUACCAAAAUUCAUUAACCACAUGAUUAAUGGGUUAAGGUUCUUUUGUAUUUAUAACCUGGUCAAGACAGAUCCUUCAACCCCCCUUUGAAUACUUUAGAUGGGUUCUUGAAUGUUCAUUUAUGGCGUAUCAAUCAAAGAACACGUUUGAUUGUGGAGCCUUUCUACCAACCUUAAUUCGUCUUGAGCGGUCCUUGAUCAAAUUAGGUUCCAUCCUUUAUACCAAGAUUCGUUAACCACAUGAUUAACGGGUUGAGGUUUUUUUGUAUCCAUGACUUAAUCAAGACAGAUUCUUCCGCUACCUGAUCGAUUCGAUUUCUUCUCGAUGGUCCUUGGAAAAUCUUAUUCGUAUCAGUUGAUAUCAGAGUUUUGGCUCUUGAUCCAAGUUAAUAUCCCUUUUUUUUCUUGUUUUCCUAUUUGUUUUUUAUACCAAAACCCUAGUCGUCUUUUGAUUUGAAAGAAACAAAAAAAAAUUUCCAUUCUUAUUUUCUUGAUUUUAUCGUUUGAGUCUAACAUAUCCCCUUGAUUGAUUGAGAUUGGAAUUUCUUGAUGUGAUUAAGUUCUUAGAAACAAGUUUUCUAAGGGUUUAACUCCUAUUAAAUUUCUUUCAAGUUAAGUCGUAACCCUGUGUUGAGUCAUCAAAAAAAUUUUUUGGGUAUUGUUCAUGUUAAUGUAGUGAUUGCUAUUCAUCGUUCCUAUUGCAUACUGUUCAUCAUAUUGUAGCAUCACUCAUCAUCCGAGUUACUGUUCAUUUGAAUAAAAAAAAAUAUUCUGUUUGGGGAUUUGUUUCCUAUCGCAAGUUGUGUUCUUGGUUGUUGUCCAUUUCUAGUUUUCUUGUUGUUACCCGAAAUUCAGUUUGUGUCUUAUUUUUAUUAUUAAUCAUUGUCUUGUUGUCUAGAGUCUUGAGUUGUUUUAAAAAAAAAAGAAAUUAGUUGUACCAUGUGUUUGUUCUUGUGUCAAGCUGCUGGAAAUUAUUGAAUUCUUGAACUUUGUUUGAGAUUCUUGGUGAAAUCUUGAAAAAACUUUGGACUUUCUUGAUUCCAAUCUUGAAAUCUUGAAGUUCUUGAAUUAUAUUCUCGGAUUGUGGUAAAUCUUGGGCCGAAUUUUGAUUAAUCUUUGAGUUCUUGAAACAACUACAAGUUCUUAAAAAAAUCCGUGGCUGCUAGCUUUGUCUUGAAGCUGCAUCGAGAAAAAAAAAAAAAGAAACAGAAAUGAAAACGCAACUCAAUUCAUUCAGUUGAAAGCCGUGAGCCCUAAACUUUUCAAAUCAGAUUUGGAAACAAAACGUUGUCACAUUCCAUUUCCUAGCCGCACAAGGAUUUGAUUUUCAGCCUUGUUGACUUCAAAUUUCACUCCUAUUUGGGCUGGGAUUGAAAUCGUUUCGCACCUGAUUUCCAAAGGGGAAAGAGUAUUUUUCAACCAAAACAACUGCCCUUUAAACACCAUAACAGCCAAGUACAACAAACACCAAAAAUUCCAGCUUCACCAGCAAACCAUUGCUUCGGGUUUAACUAUUCAAAAUUCCUGUGAAUUGUCCAGCAAUUUUUACUUCAAUUUAUGAGUAUUUUUCAGUCAUUAUAGUGUCCUAAAGUCAUUUCCUUGAGUUAAAAUCAGUCCAGAUCAGUUGCAUUCUUAGCUCAAACCUGCUAUAAUCUUACUUCGUCUAAAGGUGAUAAGUUGGUCAACACUAGAAGGAGUUCGAAUUUCUUCAAGGUGUGGAUCAAGCGGCCUUGCGAACUUAAUUGGUGAGAUCAUUAGAGUGUUAGACAAUUUGAGUGAUACACGAGGGUUGAGUGUAAACACGUGAGGGAGCUAGUGAGGAUAAAAAUUUUCUCUACUAACUGUUUUGCAGGUUAGGUCAACAUGUCAAAGGAAGGUGAAACUUCUACUUUUGAUCCUAUGCUUCUUAUGGAUGCCAUGACAAGUCAAUUGCACAAAAUGAUGGAGGAGGAGCAAGUAUACUACUCAUUCUUUCUUUCACCAUUUUUGCCCAAGAUUUGAGUACAAAUCUUAUUUUCAAGAGGAGAGGAAUGAUGCAAAAUAUGGGCUACUUAAGGGGCCAUAUUUCAAGCUUCAAGUAGUUCGAGUUUUUAUUAGUAGCUUAAUAGUUUAUUUUUCAGAUUUCUAAUUAAUUUGGUAGGAAUAAAGUUGGUCCAAGAUCUCAUGUUGAAUUGGAUCCAAAUUAGUUGUCAAGUCCGUUGAUUAAUUGAGUCGUUUUGUUAGUUAUUUCCUUGUAUAAUAAUCAUCCAGCAAUAAGCUUCUUAAUUGGGUCGUGAGUUAGUUGAUUUAGCUAAGUUAAGUGAGUCCAUUAAUUUAGGUAUAGUAGGGAUAUAAAUAUUUGUAUCGUUCCAUUAAAAAAAAGGAAGAUAAACGUUUUUUAGAGGGUUUUCUCUUGGCUCGUGACCAACCCCCCUUUGAAUACUUUAGAUGGGUUCUUGAGUGUUAAUCUAUGGCUUAUCAAUCAAAAAAACACAUUUGAUUGUGGUGCCUUUCUACCAACCUUAAUUCGUCUUGAGUAGUCUUUGAUCGAAUUAGGUUCCAUCCCUUAUAUCAAGGUUUGUUAAUCACGUGAUUAACGGGUUGAGAUUUUUUUGCAUCCAUAACCUGAUCAAAACAGAUCUUUCUGCUGUCUAAUCGAUUCGAUUUCUUCUCGAGCGAUCUUUGGAGAAUCGUAUUCGUAUCAAUAUAUAAAACAAAUAGUUGACAUGCAAUUUAUAAGUCUGAAAAUGAUGCACAUAAAAAAUAUUUUUUUUUACACAAUGUACACCUGCCCCCUCCCUUCUGCCUCCCCUGCCCCUGCCGCAGUAAUCUUGACUCCGCCACUAACCACCGAUCUUGGGUAUCCAGAAACUACAAAUUUGCAGUAUAGAGAUCUUGAUAAAGAUGUAAAUAUGAUUCUUAGAACUCUAGAGAAUGAAGGGAGUGUUAGUUACAAUACAUGGUUGCUCAAAGGGCAAAGGAAAAAGGACUAAGGAAACUACGCAUGCGCUUUCAAUGCUAAAAAAUAUGUUACUUCAUUUCUUAUUUACACGUGCUCAUUUAUGUGCAUCUUUUGCAGGCUCGUGAACCCGAAAAUGCCACUGAAGAGUGAUUGUAAGGGCUCUAAUGUAGCUUCUAUAGAUGUUGCUGAAGAAGUUAAAGUCUAAAGGGAAUUUUGUUUUGGCUAGAAACUUCUAUUGUAACUACAAACCUUUGACGUAUGUUUGUGGCCUUGUAACUUUCUAUAGUUAUAUAUAUUUUUUAUGGUUUUUAACUGAAAUUGAAUGUAGACUUUAUUUUAGUCGCAUGCAGACUUGUAUUCUAAUAACUAGAAUUUAUAUGCAUUGCUAAAUUAUACACUACUUGAGUGAUGAAUAAAUCUUACCUAUAUAAAGGAGAAUAAAUAUAUUGUGAAUAGUAAUGAACACUAGAUGGGCCAAUUAUACAGUUGUUUGCGUGAGUGUCCACGGGGGUUAAUUUCAUUUUGUUCCCUCAAACUAUAUGCUAAAUUUCAUUUCAAUCACUAAACUUCAAAAUGGAACACUUAAACUAUAAAAUUCGUUCUAGUUAAGUAAAAUCGGUGACAGAAUCCUAAAAACUAACUAUCUAUUAAGAGUUUGGACAACACGCUCGGUCGAUGUUGUUGUGCAAGCGUUAUAAACCAAAAUGAUAGGGACAUAAAUGUAAUUUCAUUUUUUUCCUUUUUCAUCCUCCCUUUUUUCCCUAUUUGUUUCAUUUGUGAUUUCCCUGUUUGUUUCUUUUUUUUUUUGUCGAAACGAUAAGAUGAUUUCAUUGCUUUCAUGGUAAAAAAAAAUUACAAGUGCGAGCAACGGCUCGAUCGGAACUCUACAAACAAGUGUUCAAAGACACUGAGGAAGCUGUCGCUCCUCAUCCACAAUAAUGCUUAACGCAUCAACACUCAAUGUUUUACUGACUGUCAUAUUUUCUUCCCUAUCCAAAACAAAAGAGCACAUGCAAAACAAUCUCUGUAACUGAGAGAUGUCUUCAAGUACUGUUGCCAUUUUGCUGUUUGCUGGGCUCUGAUAUUUUAAUUGUCUCCACAGUUCUUUGUUACAAAAUCUCAGCUUAAGAUUGCUCCACUUGCGUUGUACAGCUUUACACAACACCAGCUUCAGUGCCAACGCUUCAUCUAGGAUUUUGUUUCCAGAACUAAUGUCUUUCAGUGCCCACCCUAUCAUCGUGUUCCUUGCAAAAAACUGAACUGUGACUCCAAUUCCCACAAACAACUGCCCUUGCUUCGUGGUUGUAUUCACCUCCAUUAGCACUUCUCCUUCAUUUACAUAAUUCUGAUGCUGAACAUCUUGCCUAGGGACUGUUUCAAACGUGCUCUCUUCUUUUUCUUUGUACUCUAUCUGCUGCUGCUCUAACCAUUCCAAAUGAGCUUUCCUUAUAGAUUUGAAGGGGGGAUCGAAGUUAGCAUUCUCGAAUUCUAUUUUGUUUCUUUCCUUCCACACCUGCCACAGGAUGUUUGCAGUUAAUCCAAUGUGUUCCAUCCCUUCUGACCUGUGCCUUGCUUCAGAGAUUCUUAACCACCACCUUUUGAAAUCUCCCUGCUGCUCCUUUGCUCCAUCCCACUGAAUGGGAGAUGCCUUCCAUAUGUUUUCCGAGUGGGGGCAAUUCAGCAAAAGAUGUUCGACUGUCUCCUGUGCUAAACCACACAUCUUACAUAUCGGAUCACCCUCCCCCGUUCGUCUAUUUACUGCUGCUUUCACAGGCAGAGCACCUUGAAUGCAUUUCCAGAUGAAGAAUUUGAUUUUAUGUUUGAUGUUUAAGCUCCACAGUGUAUUCCACAUCUGAGCUAACUCCGAAUCACUUGCCGAAUAGCUAGAGCUAGCUCCUUCCUGCCUGCACCUGCCUCCCAUCCUGUGUUGCUUCAUCAGAAACUUAUAACCAGAAUUGACAGUGUACAUCCCUCCCACCUUUGGUUGCCAAUAAAAGCUAUCUUCCCUAUCAGCUAAACUCAGAGGAAUAGCUAAAAUUUUUUGUGCAUCAUUGCUAUUGAAGGAUCUGAAUAUGAUGUUCCUGUUCCACCUAUGCUGACAAAUAAGCUCCUCCACUUUUUCCAGCUCACAAUGAAUCCCUCGACUAGUAGUUGGCAUCCCUGUAUCAGUGUCUGGAAUCCACUUGUGGCUCCAUAUAUUUGUACUCCUUCCAUUUCCUAUCCUUCUUAUAAUUCCAGCAUUGAUUAAAUUUCUUGCCCCCAUGAGUCCUUGCCAGAUCCAGGAUGCAUUUCUGGGGAGACUACACUGUAGUAUCGAUUCCUGAGGAGAAUAUCUGGCUUUCAACACCUUACUAACCAAUAGAUUUGGUUUAGUAAGUAUCCUCCAAACUUGCUUCCCUAACAGUGCUUGAUUGAAAGCUUCGAUAUCCUUAAAUCCUAAACCUCCUGCACUUUUUGCCAUUGCCAAUUUUUCCCAAGACAGCCAGUGCAUUUUGUUCUUACCAUGAGCUUCACCCCACCAGAAGUUGGCCAUCAAAGCACAUAUAUCUUUACACAAUCGUCUGGACAGCUUAAAACAAGACAUCACGUAUGUGGGCAUUGCCAUAACAACUGCUUUCAGCAACACUUCCUUACCUGCUGGACUCAAAAGUUUGUUCUUCCAAUUCUGACAUCUUCUCCUUAUAUUAUCUCUCACAAAACCAAAAAUCUGCUCUUUAGAUCUUGAUACUACCAUAGGGAGUCCCAGGUAUUUGCCUUGCUUAGCCUCUACCAUUCCUCCUAAUGCCAGGCAUAUCUCCUUCUUCUGCACAUCAUCCACAUUUUUGCUAAAAAACACUGCUGACUUGUCCAGAUUGACUAACUGUCCCGAGGCAUUUUCAUAUGUAUUUAGCACCUUCAUAAUUUCCACAGCCUCAUUCUUAUUAGCCUUACAAAAUAUUAUAGAAUCAUCCGCAAAGAACAGAUGUGUUAACACUGGACCAAGUCUGCUGAUUUUGAGUCCCUGAAUUCUUUUGCUUUCCUCAGCCCUUCUUAGCAAAUUGGAGAAGCCCUCAGAACAUAUUAGAAACAGGUAUGGAGACAGAGGGUCCCCCUGCCUUAUCCCUCUUUCUGGUGUCACAAAGCCUUUAACCUCACCAUUACAGUUGAAAGAGUAACUCACAGUCUUCAAACAGCUAUGAAUCCAGUUAAUCCAUUUAGAGCAAAAACCCAUCUUUUCCAUCAUUUUCAACAAGCAUUGCCACUCCACCCUAUCAUAAGCCUUUGCCAUGUCCAAUUUGAUAGCCAUGUAUCCCUCUUUCCCUUGUCUUUUAUUUUUAAGAAAAUGCAUGUACUCGUGAGCAAUGAUCACAUUAUCUAGAAUCUGUCUUUCUGGGAUGAAAGCAGAUUGAGUUUUGCUAAUACACAGAUCCAGGACAGAUUUCAGUCUAUUUGCCAGAAUUUUUGAUAUGAUUUUAUAAAGCACACUACACAGACUGAUAGGCCUGAAAUUUUUCAGAUUGGUUGGGUUCAAAGUUUUGGGAAUAAGGGAUAUAACAGUGUGGUUGACUGAUUUGAGCAUGUGGCCUGAGUGGAAAAAAGCUUUAAUCGCAAAAAUGAUGUCACUUUUAAUAGUAUUCCAGAAUUUCUGAAAAAACAAAGGAGUCAUUCCAUCUUGUCCAGGGGCUUUUUCUGGAUUCAUAGAGAACAAAGCAUCAUGAAUUUCUUCCUCCAUAACUUCCUUGGAUAACUUAUCAUUCAUCUCCUGAGUAAUAUAGUGUGGAAUUCCCUCUAAGAUUUCUGUCAUCUCAUCCUUCCCACCACUCGUAAACAGGUCCUUAAAAUACUCAGAAAGUUCAGUCACUACCUCCUCUUCAUUCACAGUCCAAGAACCAUCCUCUCUUUGUAACCUGUUCAAUCUAUUACUCACACGCCUCCCCUUGACAAAAGAGUGAAAAUAUUUAGUAUUUUUAUCCCCUUCUCUCAACCAGUUGAUUCUGGACUUCUGGCUCCAGAAAGCUUCUUCCUCCUUGUAAGCGUUAGCCAGCUGUCUUUUGAGAUCCUGACAUUUCUCCUUUUUGUUCGCUAAACCAGCAUUCCUAGUCUUCUCAAGAUCCUGCUUAAGACCGUCAAUCUUACUCCUAGAGUUAGUCUGGGCAUUAUUUCUCCACUUCAAGAGUUCAAUUCUGCAAUUCCUAAUUUUUCUAGUCACUUUGAACAAAUUUGAGCCCUGUUCCUCCCUACUCCAGGCUUGCUCCACUACUUGCUGGAUCCCCUCUUUUUGGAGCCACCUCUUGUCAAAGUAAAACCUCUUUUUUUUCCUUUCUAUCCCUGGAUUGGUGUCUAGCAAAAGCAACGAGUGAUCAGACGCUAGAGUCUCAAUGUGGUGACACUUAGCACUCUCAAAAUCUUGGAACCAAUCCAUACUACCCAAGGCUCUAUCAAGCCUUUGACGAAUCUCCCCUUCAUUGUCCCAGUGAUUGCUCCAAGUCCAAGGGUGGCCUUCAAAACCAAUAUCAACAAGACUGUUCAGCUCAAUGAAAUGUCUAAAGUCCAUAAAACUACUCUCCUCCCUAAACACCCCCCCCACUUUUCUUCAUUGGACAAAAUGUCAUUAAAAUCCCCCGAGAUCAGGAAUUUAGACCCCCACAACCUACUUCUAUCCGUAAGCACUCUCCAUUGUUCCUUCCUGAUCCCUCUAUCACAACUAGCAUACACUCCAAUGAACCACCAUGCCGCCUGAGAUUCAUUACCUUCAAUCUUAGCUUCGAUAGUAAAAGCAGUAGUGACCACCUCUACAAUUUGUGUAUCCUUAGUCCAAAGUAAGGCCAUCCCCCCUGUUCUAUUCAUAGCUUCCACGGUCACACUGUUAUCUAGCCGUAACCUUCUAGCUAUUCUAUCUAUGACUGCCUUCCUGUUCUUAGUUUCACUUAGGAAAAAAAUAUUUGGAGAGGAGAGGUGAUUAACCUCCCUCAGCUGGGGAACUGUCAAGGGACUCCCCACCCCUUGGCAGUUCCACACCACAACUCUCAUUUACACCUGGAGGUCCCAUUAAGGAAGGACCUCUCCUCCUUUUCCUUAUCCCCCUCAAAAUACAGCUCCUCCAUCUGUUUAGUUUUUUUCCACUGACACGUAUCCUGAUUUGUUUCCUCCAUCACUUCAUCUCUAAGCAGGAUCUUCCUCUUCCCCACUUUCACCUGAGAAUUUGCAUUACCCUGUAUCACCUGUAGAGGACUUCUGGUUCUAGCUGGAGUCUUUAACUUUCUAAAAGUUCUCCUGGUCUGUCUGUCCAGUAACCCCACCAUCUUAGUAUCACCUGGGGUUUCCUGAUGAAACACUACUAGCUCUGAUUCUUUCUCUAAGACUCUAGAUUCCUGGAAUUGGUUGUGCACUACUUCAACUAAAUCCUCCUCCAUCUCUUCCUCUAUAUGAGAAAGCUGGAGAUCUUCCCCUCCUUGAUUAAAACGAGGUAACUCUACGUCCUCCUUGUCGCCCAUCACCAGACCCUCAAUUCUACUGUGAGAGACUACCUUAAGAGCCUCCUGUUGAGUAGAAAGUCCCCCAACCCCCUCCAUACUAUGAUCCUCCCCUACUCUUUCACCAUCCUGAUUACUACCCCCACCACUGCCAGUGGCCUUAAGGACCUCCAGCAGACUCUGAUUGCUAUGCCUUUUACUUUUCUCCUGUUCGACCAACUCCCCAUUCCUAAAGGCCCAGUAACGUCUAUCACUAUGUUCAGAGACUCUAGCAUUUUUUUUCUGAGGGGAGACCCUGACAUUUCCGGCUCUCAUCCAGGGACCAUACUGAUUCUCAUCAGUAUUCCCUCCUAGCAAUCUCCUAUCUUUACAAGACCUUUCACUAUGUCCCACAAUUCCGCAAUUAUAACAGAAAUCAGGACACCUUUCGUAUUUGAAGGCUAUCCAUUUGCCAGUUCCUGCUAUCCUGACCACAGUACCUCUAAGAAGAGGUUUAGAUAGAUCAGCCAUAACUAAAACCUUCAAAUGCCUACCCUCUUUGCCUCCCACCUGAGGGAUCACAACAUCUCUAACUUCCUUAAAAACUCUCCCUAUCUUUCUACCAAUCUCCUUAGACAACCAAUGAACUGGCAAAUUCCAGAGCUGCACCCAAAGAGGUGCGGUCACGAAAGUUUUAUAGUCAUCUUCAAUGCCUUCCACCCAUCUUUUAAGCACAAGCAUCUGGUUAUCUAUAACCCAAGGCCCUCCCUCCACUAUUCUAUCUUUAUCUUCUGAGUUUUGUAAGUUAAACUGAAACACAUUUGGUCCCAGUUCCACCACAGACAGAUUCCUGGGAUACCCCCAGGCCACAGCCACAAAGUUUUUAAUACCAGUGAAAUUAAUGACUUUUUCUCCUAAAACUCUCCCGAUGAUACUGUUUUCACAAGCUCUCACGCCAGUUUGAAAAUCAUCCCCCUCUAGCGUGAGUCCAACCAGCUCAUUCCCUUCAAGGGAAAACUUCUGUAAAAUAUCCGACAGCUCUCCCUCCAUGGAAAGCUCAUAAAAAUCUAAGAUGGAAAAAAAACACUCUAUCCACAGGAGAUAAAGACCAGAACCAAAACGUAGAGAACGGAAAAGAGCACAGAAACAAAACAAACGGAAAGACUAAGAAAGAGGAUCGAGACAGAAAAAAGAGCCUGCUGAAAUACCGGACCACAACUGAUAAAAUAUCAUUGCUCCCUUAUACGCUUAAGAAAAACAGGGAAAAAACAGAGCACUGACUCACCUUGUCCAGACAAAAGCUUAUCAUAGCUGAAGAUUGCGACGCUUGAACUCCCUUUCUUCAUGCACUGACUAGCUUCCAAGAGAUGAAGCCCCCCUUAGCUUUGAAACAAACAAUCUCCCGUUCAAUUACUGGCGGAAGAUCAAGCUCCGGGAGUGCGGGAGAAAGCAAAUUUUGAAAGAAUUUGAAAAGAAACAACCUUCCCACCAAAAAGGUGGGUGAGCUCCUAUCCCAAGAGAGAGCACAGCUACCUUAGAGUGAGAAAGCCUCUACGUUAGAGAGAGGAUUUAAGGUGGAUAUUGCCUUUUUUCCUUUCUUCCAUUUCCCUGUUUGUUUCGUUUGUGAUACAUACUAGUAGGUAGCAGUACCUCUUUGAGGGUAAAUGCAAGAGUGCUGGAAGUGAAUUUUUCCAAGCUAUCAUGAGCUUUUCUUAGACAAUCCACCCCAUGAAUCUGUUAAAGGAUGCCUUGUCUACAGCUACAGCCCCUUUUAUCUUAAUCUGUGGAUUUUAUUGCUUCAUGAAGCAUACAGCAGCAGCAACACUGCAAUUAUUCACACUGCAAUUGCAGUGGUACAAGGAUAAACUCAAAUAAAAAAACAUAUAAUCCUAUAUCUAUAUAGCUACAAGCUUACAACCUUGACACCAGAGCAAGAAAAGAAAUCAGUCAACCGAGUUUGUGAGCAGCAAAAUGACUUCCUUCUGCCAUUAGCCGCAAGAAAAAUAGAUGGUCUUUUUAUUUCACACAACAUGGCUUGAUUAAUUUCCUCAAUUCAAGGCUCUUUCACAUCAACCCAGAUGCUUUCUUCAGAUCUCUCCUCCCAUCGAGGAAACUCCUCCAUCUAGGCUGCUGUUCCACUUCCUUCUGAUGACUUUUUGACUUUAAAAUUAGAUUUAUGCCAAUCUAAUAAAGCCUUUUGAGAUUCACCAUCAACUUGAACCUGUUGAGGGGGGCUUUUCUUGACAUUAAGCAGAGAGCAGUAUUUCAUCUUGUCCUUUUCUUUAACCUUGGUUUUCAUUGUAGUAGUUUUAUUCUUUUCCCAACUCCAACUCUGCUGGUGCGGCGCCACGAUGAAUUCUUCAAUGCUGGCUGUUUGUCUUGGUCAAAGUUAUGCAAGAGUUGUCUAAUAAAGCAGAGGAAUUAUAGCGAUUCUUUUCUUCUUGACAACGAGUAGUGCUUGGAUGUGAGACUUUUAAGGAGGCAAGAAUUUUGUGAUUCGCAUACAACUUGACAAAGUGGUUGAUACAUGAUAGUAGUGGUGGAGGUGGAGGAAGGGGGCAACAAGAACGGGAUCUGUAGGAGUGAUGGGGUGCGGCAUUGUUGUGGUGGUGGUGGUGAUGGAGAAGAUGGUGGAUUUUGUUGGGUGCUUUUUAAGGAGUCUGGAAUCCAUGGAUGAUGAUACAACUUUUGGCUUCGGUUCUAUUAGGGCUGCCGACGAGGAUAAGUUGUAUCUUUGGACAGAAAAAUUGAGAAAGCGCAUGAGGAAAGAAGAAGAAUAAUAGGGAAAAAAUUUUAAAAGGGAGAAAAAGGGAAGGAUGAAGAACAAAGGGUGAAAUUACUUUUACAUCCCCAUCUUUUUGGUUUAUAACAAUUACACAAAUAUACUAAUGGAGCGUACUACUCACGCUCUUGAUACACUAUUAGUUUUUUAGAUUUCAUUACCGAUUUUACUUAACUGGAACGGAUAUUGUAGUUUAAAGACUUAAAUGUCCCAUUUUAAAGUUUAGGAAUUGAAAUGAGAUUCCAUGUGUAGUUUGAGAGGACAAAAUGGAAUUAACUUUAUUGUGGUUUUUUGGUGUUGGGUGGGACAAACUUGUUUGGUAAUUCAUGAAACUCGUGUGGGUGGUUGUCGAUUUAGAGGAAUUCAAUGGGUUUUUAGUUAUUUUACUACUCUUUAAGUGCCAGCAAGCAUGUAAGAUACCUUUGCAAUGGGAGAAAGGACAAUGGGGCUUCUUCCAUAGUUAUUAAUUUUCAAAGGUGAUGAAUCAUUGUCUGGGCUACAGAAGACAUUGAGGAACACUUGCGGUGCUCAAAUAUGUAAAAUAGUGAAACGUUGUCAAGGCAAGAAGUCUGUGUAUCUAAGCCCAAGAUGUAACAAAUUUGAGGCCCAAUAUGUCUUCUCAUGUAUUUUAGAAUGAAAAAAUUAUUCAAAACAUUUCUAAUAUUUUGUUAAAUAAAUUUUUUCAUCCUUUACUUUUAAAAUGAUAAUUUUACCUUUCUUACAAAGUUAAAUCAGUAAAAUUUGGUCAAAAUAUGGAUUUUUUUUUAUCACUUUUUAUCUUGAAUUUAUUACAUAACUCACAUAUGAUCAUUUUUUAAGGUUAAAAAGGUUAGAUCCUAUUUGCUGUUAAAUAAAUAACCCAAUUUGUAUUCAAUUUUAAACCUAAAAGUAAGAUCUAAUCUGCAUCAUAUUUAUUUUUCGAUCUCCUAAAAUGGUAAGAUUUGACUCAAUUCAUAUUUAUUUUUCUCCUAAAAAGGUAAGAUUUGACUCAAUUCAUAUUUAUGUUUGCCACUGAAAAUGUAGUAUUUGACCUUUUGCAUAUACAAAAUGACUAUAUGGAUCACGUAAUGAUUUCAAGCUAAAAAGUGAUCGAAAAAUUGAGAUUAGGACAAAAUUAUACUAACUUGAAUUUGUAAGGAACGUAAAAUAAAUAUUUUAAAAAUAAAGGAUAAAAAUUUCAUUCGAUGAAAUGUGAGACGUUUUGAAUAAUUUUUUACUUUCAGAAUUACUAAUGCAAUUUUGUGGGGACUCUUCUUUUCCUCCUCGCAUUCAUCCAUGCUUACCAAAAAGGUAUAUAUUUCUAUUUCAUGUUCGGACCUACUCAGUGUGGGUAAUAAAUGGAGAAUAUAAUUGGCCUCCAACUUGCUGCCAUUAUCAUGCUAUGCUUGAAGGAAAACCAACUCUCAAACUAUAGGCUUGGUUUGCUUGCGUAGGUCUUCAUGCAAUGAAUAUGACUGCCAUCCUGUUCUCUUUGGUUUGGAAACUUGGAAUGAAUUUAACUGCUAUCCUUUUGUCCAAACUGUAUAACUUUGGUGUGUCUAUACUUUCCAAAAUUUCCUAAAGCUCUUCUUCCUGCAAGCAAAAAUCAAUGUCAGAAACUAAAAUAUUGAAAACAUUGAAAAAUUUUAGUUUUUACUUACAAUGGUAGUUUUUUGAUCUUACACGUUGUGGCCAAAAACAGGCCGCAGCUUGUGGUGCCAUCAUGUCCAUCUCUCACAACUUUCUGUAUCACUGACAAGUGUACUGAAUUUCGUUAAAGUACAAUUCUCAUAUGAAAUUCUGAUUAAGAGUUAUGACCAAAAUGAGCAAGUUAUAAUUAAGAUUCUUUCAUUAGCAUUAUCUCAUUGAGGGUUAAAGAUUAAAAGAAAGAAUUGAAUUCUUUUAUAAUUUAUGAGUUAUUUUUUACACAACGCUGCCCUAAAAGUUGAGCCAUGUUUUAUGCCAAAAGUUUCAGUGUGCCUACUUAUGGAUAAAAAUAAUCGUUGCCAAAUCCCAUGCGGUUUUGACAUGGACGUUGAUUAAGUUUCUUCAGAGUUUCAAGUCAAGCCUUUUAUUUGAUUGAGGUUUCUUGGUGCUAACAUUGACAUAGUCUAUAUGAUGCCUUCUUAAAACUUCAUGGAUACAAGUGCAAUUUAUCUGUUUUGCUCUUCCAUGAAUGACAUGAAAGAGCUUAUGUGCAUAAAAUUGUUUGUCUCGAUUAAAUAAUUCAUGAAUUAUAAUGAAUGGUAUCACCAAAGUGACCUUUAUUAUAUUUAUAGAAUUAUUUAACGUGGAUCGUGAGAUGUUCAUGUUUUGAAGUUCUAUGUUGAUUUUCAACUUGGUUUUUAUCAAAAGUUGAAAUUGUUACUUGAGAUAUGAACCUUUGGUAUAAUAUUUGGGGGUAGUUUUCUUGGUUCAUGUAUUUAUAAAAUAUGUCAUAUAUUUCUUUUGUCAAUGAUUUCAAAGACACAAAUAAAGUUUUUAAGCAAAUUGGACAAAGGGUUUGGGAUUUCUUUUGAGGAAACAAGUUUUAGUUUGCCAAUGUCAUAGUUAGAUUUAUUAUAUAUCUAUUGACGUGAAAUUUUGUUUCAAUUGAAUGACUUAACGGAUUAUUACAAUUAGUACCACCGAAGUGGCUAUUGUUUUAAUUCAUAAAAUUAUUCAAUAAGGAUUCUGGGAUGUUUGUCUUCUGAAAUUAUUAUCAUAAUUACCUGCCUGAAGGAGGUAUUUAUGCAUAUUAAUUUUGGAAGGGUUAAGUGAUCACCAUGGAUAUUUAUGGUCAUACAGUAUUUAUCUCAAUUAAAUGAUUUAUUGAAUUAUUAUAAUUGGUACACCAAAGUGGCCAUUAUCAUAAUUCAUAAAUUUAUUAAUAAGGAUCCUGAGGGGUUUGUCUUCUAUCAUUGUAUUAUAGUUAUCUACCGAAGGUGAUAAUCAUAUAUAUCAAUUUCAAAAGGGUUGAGUGUCCAGUGAGGGAAAAUUAUGAUCUCGAAAAGGGCCUAUCUAUUUGAAGUAUAUCAGUUCUUCUAAAGUUGUCUCACUGUUUUACUUAAGUGGGAGGUUUAAAUAUACUUUCGCUCCUACGUGAAUAUUGCCAUUAGUUGUUCACACGUCUUUAUUGCACAAGUUGUAUGAUUAUAUCUUCGUAUAUAAUUUUUUUUUUAAAUUUGCAAUAUUUGUGUGAACAAUUGUCAUUUAUUAUUAUUAUUUUUGGCAAUAUUGCUUUGAGAUGGAAAAGUAGACUCGAGUAUAGCACUUGACUUGGUUGAUCUUGUUAUUGUUAUACUUCAAGUAAAGUUACUAAAGUUCCAGAAUUACAGUUUAAUGAAAUAAGACUUGUUUUAAAGGAUAAAUUAAAAUAUUAAAUUUAUGUAGAAAUUUGCCCUUUGGCAUUUUUCAAAGUACCAUGGUAUUUCAAAUUGUUGAUCAAAAUUUUGUUUGAGUCUAUUGAGGAAUAGUUUCAAGAAUAUGGAAGAUCUAAAGUUAUAGUUUCAAUGAGCAUUAAUAGAUAGUGUUGUUUGCUAGAUCAUUAGAGAAGAACUUUUCUUCUUGACCAUUAUAAAGUACAAUUUUUAUGGUUCACCAAAUUUGAAGGGUCCACAGUUUUUCAGUGUUUGGGGUUUAAUUUUGUGUUUAUAUUCAAGUGUCAAUAAGUGGUUGACAUGUAUUCUCCAAUUGUGGUGAAUAAUAAAUGAGGGGAAGUUGAGAAAAAUUCCAUGGGUCCAACUCAUAAUUUUGAACGUCAGAAAAUUUUAACACUAAGUAAAGACUUAUACAAAAAUAAGACUUAUAGAAUAACAAAGAUGCAAGAGUUCCUAACUAUUAUGUUAGAGUACUGUUGACCCUAGCAUAUACGGCUAGUUUGAUUGUUUGAAAUUUGAUUUCUUUGGCCGGCGCCUAUGGUGGUGUAGCCAGCCCUUCAGCAGAAGGCUGAAGGGCUUGCCUCCCCUUCCAUGAAAUCCUUUGCAGAAAUUCUGAUGCAGCAUCCUAAACAAUCAGUGGCUAAGGAUGAAUUGUUGCAGGCUUUCUUGUUGUCUCAUCAAUCAUCCAUAGCUAAGGAUGUCUCGAGCUUUAAGAGGCAACUAGUAGUGUUUUUUUUUUUUUCUGAUGGUGAUAUUCAAGUUCUUUAUGCUCCUUUCAAGUUUGCUUUGGUGGGAAAGUUUUCACGAGGAUGACUGAACAUGGAUUCUCUAUGGAAACAAUUCAGGCUGUAGGGUUCAAGGGAACGUUUAGUCUUGGCCUUCUUAAUUCUCGUCAUGUGUUGAUUCAGUUUGCUCUGGAAGAGGACUACUUGCACUGUUGGCUUUUGGGGGUUUGUGGUCUUUUUAGGGUUUCAUCAUGAGGGUGUUCAAGUGGACCUCUUCUUUCUCGGUCGAUGCGGAAUCCUCCAUUGUUCCAGUUUGGGUGUCACUUCCAAAUCUACCCAUACAUUUUUUUUUGACAAGGGGCCUCUCUUUUCCAUCGCAAGACUAAUUGGCGAGCCAUGAAGGUGGACGCUUCGACUGUCACUUUGAGUAGACCGAGUGUGGCUCAAUUCUGUGUUGAAAUUGAUCUUCUCCAUGAUUUACCGGACAAGAUUUGGAUUGGAAACGGCUCACAAAGGGGUUUUUGAUAGAUGAUAGAAUAUGAGAAUUUGCCUCAAUUAUGUUCUGCUUGUAGUAGGUUAGGAAACAAUGUUUCUUCAUGUUGUAUGGGGCUUCCAACUAGUGCAGAAAAUGAGAAAGCACAAAUUCACCAAGGCAAAGAAUGGAUACCCAAGCAGAAGGAAACCGGAGAGCAGGAUAUCAUCCCGUCGGAUCAACCAGCAAUGGUAGGGUCUUUGAAAAUGGUGUUCUGGGUAAAUCCAACUGCGGCAACUACUAGCUCCUCUAGACUAUGGGAGGAGGAGAAAGAGUUGAUCCCUAAGGGCGUGGGUAAGGGCGGGCAUGUUUUAGCCCACACAAAGGAAGAGAUGCCCUUGGACUUGUGACAGGUCACUACGGUGCAGCGAACUUCGGAUGUUGCAAUAAAGGGGGAUGGGAAGGUACCACGUGUGCUCAAGUUCUUGGUGGAAAGACCAAGGGUUUUUCAAACACAAAUGCUUUCAUGAUUUUAGAGAAUCUAGAGGAGCAGCGUACAUCAACCAAGCCUGAUGGCAUCAAUUGGUAGCAGCCUCUAUGUUGGAAGUCUAGCUUGUUGUCGCCAGUUAAGAAAUUGAAGGUGGAUAACGGAAGACGGUGAUCAAUGGGGGAUGGCUCAAGUGAAGUGUCAUUGGAUGAACUCCAACAGUUCCAGAGAGAUUUGGAGGGUAGGCUUCGGUCCACUAGUAUUAUCUCCAAUCCUCACCAACUCUUUUCGGAUGCUGACCGCUACAGGCGAUUGGUGACAGACCAGCAACCGGUAACACAGUUUAAAAAACGUGGCCGGCUUUCUACAAAAGACAGGCGUGAUAAUUCGAGUCUACUCCAACAAGGGAAAAUCGGUUGCAUGAAGUGUAGAGAAAGAUUAGCUUCGGCACACAGCAAAAAAUCUGGUACGCCAGUGAUUCCAACUCCAGCUAACGAAUUGUUGAAUUUUUUAUGGUUGUACCGAUAACCAUGUUGAUUUGGAAUAUACGAGGGAUCUCAUAACAAAAUUCCUUGUGGUAUUUGAAAGAGUUAUGUUCAUGAAACCAAGUUCAGUUUUUAGUGAUUAUUGAACCUCUAACUAUCUCGACUUCAAUUCAAACGUUUAGAAUCAAGCUCCAGUUUGAUUUUGCUUCAUACUUUUUGGAGGGCAGAAUAUGGUUCUUUUGGCAACACUUAGUCUGCUCCUUUCUUCCUCUUGUAAACCAGCUAGUGCAUGUUGACAUUGUGCUUUCUUCUUCCUUAAAGUUCAUUUUAUAGCAGUGCAUGGCAAGUAUUCUAGGUCAACAAGGCAGCCCAUAUGGAUAGCUUUAGAAGCCAUUGCUAGGGAUAUGGAUGCGCCUUGGAUGGUAGGGGGUAUUUUAACACCAUUACUUCAGCCAACGAACGGAGGGGAGGGGCAAAUCCUAGGAGGGGUGAUAUGGAGAAUUUCCAGGACAUGAUUCAGAUGACGAAUCUUUUUGAUUUACACUUUGACGGUUCGCAAUUUAGUUGGACAAAUGGGCAGGCUUGGCAAUGUUUGGAUAGAAUUCUAGUUAACAGUGCACGGAAUUCAGCUUUUAGUCUAGUGCAUCUAUAUCACCUGGUUAGAGGGCAAUCAGAUUAUUCCACGUUGCAGGUUCGGUCAUCUAAUUUGUCCGGGGGUAAAAGUUCUUUCCAAUUUCUUAAUGUUUGGCCCCACCAUCCGGACUUUAAACAAGUGGUGCAACAUUCGUGGGGCCAACCAAUUAUUGUGGGAGGUAUGGUCGGUUUCUUUGCAAAGCUGAUGCGGUUGAGGAAAGCUUUGCGUAAGUGGAAUUGGCACACGUUUGGUCACAGCGGACGGAAUUCGAAGAGGGCGGAAGAAGUGUUGCUACGGCAACAAUAGUUAUAUGAUCAACAUGGGGGUGAUAUGUUGUGAUGUAAUCGAAAUGAAAUUAGAGCUGAACACACGCGUUUGGUAGCAGUUCAACAGGAGUUUUGGUGCCAAAGAGCGUCCAUUAAAUGGUUGCAACAGGGGGAUGCUAAUACAAAAUAUUUUCAUGCACGAGUGAGACAACGAUGCAAUGUGAACUACACUAGUCACAUAAGAAGGGAUGAUGCAAGCUGGAUAGAUUCGCUCACGGAUAUUUAAAAUUCAGCAAUAGAGUUUUUUAGAUCUCUGUUUGAUUAUAGAGAUUAUGUAACAGCCUUGGAGAACAUUCCGUUUCGUAUUCCUUCCAUUUCUCACCAACAUAGAAAGGAGCCAGAUUCUCUACCUUCGGAGGAGGAGGAGGAGGUGGUAAAAGAGGUAGUGUUUGGUAUUAACAAGGAUAAUGCAGCGGGCCCGGAUAGCUUUUCAGUAUUAUUUUAUCAUUCUUGCUGGGACCUAAUUAGAUAGGAUAUGCACACGUUUGGUCACAGCGGAAUUGGCACACGUUUGGUCACAGCGGACGGAAUUCGAAGAGGGCGGAAGAAGUGUUGCUACGGCAACAAUAGUUAUAUGAUCAACAUGGGGGUGAUAUGUUGUGAUGUAAUCGAAAUGAAAUUAGAGCUGAACACACGCGUUUGGUAGCAGUUCAACAGGAGUUUUGGUGCCAAAGAGCGUCCAUUAAAUGGUUGCAACAGGGGGAUGCUAAUACAAAAUAUUUUCAUGCACGAGUGAGACAACGAUGCAAUGUGAACUACACUAGUCACAUAAGAAGGGAUGAUGCAAGCUGGAUAGAUUCGCUCACGGAUAUUUAAAAUUCAGCAAUAGAGUUUUUUAGAUCUCUGUUUGAUUAUAGAGAUUAUGUAACAGCCUUGGAGAACAUUCCGUUUCGUAUUCCUUCCAUUUCUCACCAACAUAGAAAGGAGCCAGAUUCUCUACCUUCGGAGGAGGAGGAGGAGGUGGUAAAAGAGGUAGUGUUUGGUAUUAACAAGGAUAAUGCAGCGGGCCCGGAUAGCUUUUCAGUAUUAUUUUAUCAUUCUUGCUGGGACCUAAUUAGAUAGGAUAUGCUAUUGGCAGUGGAGGAUUUUUUCUUGGGAGGCAGGCAGUUAAAAGGUUUCACUAGCACAAUGGUGAUUCUUAUCCCAAAGAAGACAGAUGAUGUGAGAUGGUCAGAGUUCCAACCUAUCAGUUUGUGCAACAUGAGUUCCAAAAUCCUGUCGAAGAUACUGGUUAACAAGAUCAAUAGGGUACUGCCCGAUAUAAUUUCGCCGUUUCAGCCUGGUUUUGUACCAAGCCGACACAUAAAUUAAGGAUAAUAUCUUGUUGGCUCAAGAGUUGUUGACUGAUAUUAGCAGGAAGCUGAGAGAACUGAAUGUCGCUCUUAAAUUGGACAUGGAGAAGGCCUAUGAUAAACUGGACUGGUCUUUUGUUAUGUCCAUGCUCAGGGCAAUUGGCUUUGGCCACUGGUAUAUUGAUUUGGUUUAUCGCUCUCUGUCGAACAACUGGUUCUCAAUUCUGAUAAAUGGAGAACCGGUGUGCUUUUUCAAGUCAUAUCGGGGAGCACGUCAGGGUGACCCAUUGUCUCUGGCUCUGUUCACUAUAGCGGCCAAAUUUUUAAAUUGGGGAAUUCACCAUUUGCUGAAAAUUGGAAGGCAUAUGUUCUACAACGCUGCUGGAGGUCAGAUCCCUAUGCUAUCAUUUGCAGAUGACACAAUGAUCUUCACGUGUAUAUCCCGACAGGGUUUAAGAUGAGUGAAAGACUUUUGGAUUUGUAUCAGCGGGUUUCGGACCAAAGGAUAAACAUCUCAAAGUGCUCUUUCAUUUGGUCCCAUAAAUUGUGUCAGUCAAAAGUUUAGCUAGUUAGCUCUAUCUUUGGUUUCUGUAGAGAACAAUUGCCUCUUCGAUAUUUCGGGGCUCCCUUAUUUACAAGUUGCCUGCAAAGGAGGAUAUUUGAUGGAAUUCUAGACAGGGUAAGAGCCCGAAAUGUAGAGCUGGAGUUGUAGGUUUUUGUCGCAUGGAGGGAGAAUAAUCCACCAAAUGCAAAGGUACCAAAUGCAAAGGUACCCAUGCAUCUCAAAUAUGGUUAAGGCAUUUGGGAUGAAAUUAUGGGUGAGACUAUGUGAGGGUAUUUUGGUUUGGGCAAAAUUCAUAUGACAAAAAUAUUGUCGGCAAGUGCAUCCUAUGUUGGUAGAGGGGUCAAAAGGGUCCAUUAUUUGGCGGCAGCUGUGCUCUGUACGAGAAGAGGAAAAGUAGAUUUUUUGGCAAGAAAGGGACGCCUUGAUAGAGCCUCUGAGUGAGGCUUGCCAGCUGCAACACUAUCCUCAAAUGACCGUGGCGUCUUUCUUUCAAGGGAGGGAGUGGGAUGUUCGAUGGUUAUAGGAAUGGGUACCUUUGCAUUUGGUGGAGAUGAUUCUGAAAGUAGCCUUCUGGCCAUCUUGCAAGGAUGUUUUACUAUGGAACAGCUGUCCCUAUGACUUGGCACGAGAGAAAUGUGGUUCUUCACUUGUAUUGUGAGAGGUUUGGAAUUCGAUGCUACUGGUGAAGAUCUCCUUUUUGGCCAGAAGAGUAGUGAACAACUUUUUGCCGCUUGAUAGUAUUCUGUAGUGUCAUGGAGUUACCUUAGUGUCAAGAUGCCAGUGUUGUUCAUCGCUGGAAACAAUUCGACAUGUUUUUUUUGACAGUGCUAUGGCCCAAGAGGUGUGGAGGUACUUUUGCUCUCUUUUUGGGAUUCGUUUCAUUCAACCUUAUAAUCUAGGUGUCGUUAUUAUGCACUAGCUUUUGUCGAUCGAUAAAGGGCAUCCAUACCAUGUCAGAGGUCUAGUCCCGAUAAUUGUGGUGUGGUUUAUUUGGCGUCAGAGGAAUGCAGCUAGGUUUGAUGGGAUUCAGAUGGAUGUGGAGUGUAUCACUAGGGGGGUGCUCCUUUUCUUAAAGCUGUUAGGAACUGCAACCAGGAUUGACAAGAAGUAGCUAAUAGGGGAUUUAGAUUCGCCUAUAUCUCCUUUCUUCAAAUUUAAGUGUUGCAAAAGGAAAGUAUGUAUUCCAAUAAAAUGGACGGCGCCAAAAUCGACUUCCUUUAAACUUAACACAGAUGCUAGCGUAAAUAAUAGAGGGCAGUUGGAGGGGGGUCAGUUGGAGGGGGGUCCUUCGCGAUCAUCAAGGCAAAAUCAUCAUGACAUUUUAUAAGGAAUUUGGAGACAUGUUGGUGCUAAAGGCUAAGGCCCAAGCUUUGCUUUAUGGGUUAGAGUUAUGCUGCAGUGGGGGCUGGAAUCGGAUUGAAGCUGAAGUGGAUUCAAAGGCUCUCUACCUUUCAAUAAUAUCAAACCUGUCAUCUACUUGGCCACUUUGUAACAUCAUUCGGAAGAUAAAGGUCCUACUAGAGAACCAAAGUGGGAGCUUACAUCACAUCUAUGGGGAAGUGAAUGCGAUGGCAAAUGCCUUGGCGGGUCUAUCGGCUAGCAGCCAGGGGUUUUUUAGUUCCUUGUCAAGUAUACCACAACAUAUUCAGUCGCUAGUUAGGCUUGAUAACUCUUCUUAUGUAGUAGUUAGACGUAUCGAGGAGUAGUACUUCUUGUUUCACAGCUUUUCUCAUGUAUCAGUAGCUUCUCCUUUUCUGAUUAUUAAUAAAAACUAGGUGGCGCCCAUCCCCAUGUAUGGGGUUCGGCCAAAAAAGAACUCAUAAUUUUGACGUUAAAAAUACUAAAUGUCAAUUUCAGGGUGAUUCAAGUUUUAUGAGUUCAAGUUGUAUGAAAAAUUAACAUAAUUUAUUUUUCUUUUGUUUGUUUUAAAUCCUUCAUUUGUUAGUUGAUAUUUUUAUCUAACUUUUGGGGUUUGAUAAUAUGGUAUCUGUCAUUGGUUAAUGUCAUUGAUAGUACAUACACAAAGUCAAAUAAAGGGGAAGGAAAUGUUAAUUUUUAAAGGCAUGAAUUUUCUUGCAAUAAAGAUUUUCUAAUUAAUGCCCACUUAUUUUGGACCCUAUUACUUAUCUUAUGCUAUAAAAAGUUAUCACUUCUGUAAUGAUUGUAGGGUCAAUAAAAUUCUUGACACUCUAAGAUGAAUAGUGUGGUCAAAUGAUUUUAAAAAAUGCUCAUAAAGAUAUGGUCAAGUGUAUUACGAAUAGUUUUUGUCUAAAUCUCUUUAAAAUGGAACAUGAUAUAUAUAGCCAUAUGUAUCUUUAGCUUGCCAAACAAUUUUGUUCCAAAAUUUUCUAAUAAGAUUUAGAUUUGGAGAAGAACUAGUUUCAAAUACAUUGUGUUUGGAAUUAUCUAGUUGAGAAAGAUCAUAUGUUCAACAGAAACUUAGACGUUGUAUCAUAUAUGGUAUGUUUCUGUAAUUAAGUUUUUUAAAGGGCCUUUAUGGAGUUACAAUUUUUCACUAUGGCAUUUGAUAUCAUUCUUAAGGCCUGUGGGAACAAAUUUAGUUUUGCCCAUAUUCUAUCGUUUGGUUAAGAGAUAUUAUUCCAAGAACUUUGAUGUAAAAGAUCUUGGGGGAGCUAGCAUACUUUUGAUAUUGUGAAAAUAAAGAAUGGUUGGGACUUAUCCUUUACAUUGAUUAUAUACUUAAAGUCAAAUGUGAAACUACAUGUCAAUUUGUCUCAAAUGGCUAAAGAUAAAUUGCGGCUAAAAGCAAUACAGUAAAAAUAACCUUUAAGAAUUUCAUGAAAAAUUUGAUACAAUUUGUAACGAGUAAUCUUUAUAUUAGUUUCUUGUAUAAGACCCGAUAUUAUCUACAUAGUAAUUGUGUUGGUGGAUAAAUUUGGCAAAUAUUGGUCUAUGCAUUAUGUAUUUGCUAAUGAAAUAAUAAGGUUUAAGAACUAAAGAUCACUUGUUUUUCUUUGAGCAUUCGAAAAUCUUAAAUGUAGUUUAGACAGAUAUUGUACACACUAGUCUUAUAGGGCAAUUAAGUUAUUUAAAAUCCUCUAGAAUGGCGGUUAUAUCUGUCUUAAUUUAACGCUCAAAGGGCUCAUGUUGAGCAUGUUUUGUUUUAAGGGCUUAUGUUUUUUUUAUUCUAUUUCUGGAUCAAGUUUGAUGUUUCCGCUGCUGUGUUCGCAAUAAUGAGCACUAAACUUUGAAUUGCCUGAUAUGGAUGUUUAUAGUUUUUCCAAUUUUUUUUAUGUAAAGUAAGGGAAUGGGUUUAUAAGUGUAAUGUGGUUUAUGAAUUCAUUACAAUGAUUAAACAUUCAGUAAUUAUUAACCAAGUCACUUACACCAUAAUAGUCUGACAAAUAUUUCAAAUGUGUGGUAUGUUUUAUAUGGUUGUACUUGGUCAGUGGGAGUUAUAAAUAACUCAUAACUCUCAUGUAUGUAGUUUAUAGUUAUUUAAGUUGAUAAAGUUUUCAUUCCUUGAUCUAUGCAGUUAUCAAUAUGAUUUACUCAUAUAUGCGCACAUUUGAGGAUUAUACUGCACAGAACUGAUAUUAAAUAUUCAAUAAAAGCUAUACACUAAUUGCUUCAUAUGUGAAGUGCUUUCGGAUUUGAAACGGUAAAGUGGACGAAGUCCUACGCAUGUUUCCUUUGUGAAGUGGCUUCAGUUUAUAAGCACUAAAGGGGACGCCAAUCUUGUAUAGAAUCGGUUUAAGACUAUGAAGUGGACUGAAUGUUACCUUGACUUGAUUAUAUUUCUUUUGGAUCAUGUGAGUCAAAUCACAGCACUCUUUAUCACACUGGAAUUUGGGUCUAUGAAGUAUUAGUAUUUGUAAUUAUGGAGGUCCUAUAUUAAUAAAUGAUGUAAUAACAUCUAUAGAUCGAUACAAGUACUCUCACUGGAUAAUAAUUGUUUGUUUUGCAUAUUUUAAGCGUGUUUAUUUGAUUACUAUUGGUGUGAAUAAGGGUUUUUAAGGAUGAAACUUGCUCUUCAAUCUUCUAUAUUUACAAGUUUCAUUUUAUAAUCAAAACUUGCAUUUGAGUAGUUUAAUGUGCAAAUUUGGUUGCAUUUGUAGGAUUUGAAAAGCAAUGAUCAUUUUGGAUCAAGGAGGAUUCAUGCAAUUAAGUUGGACGCAAUUCAAGGAUGAUUUGGAGAAUAUUAGACCAACAAAUGUAGUUCUUUAGGCUUAAAACGCGAUCUCAAUACGUGGGCAUCUCUAUUUUUAUCUCCUUGAUGAUAUUGGAGUAGAAAAUGACAAAAAAAUACAGGGGAGGCAAUACACACCCUGAAUAUGCAACCUUGAACAUGCAUAUUCAGCAUGCGUAUUUUGAAGAUGGCCGUACAAUUUGCACUGCCAAUUGCUCAGCUUUCACAUAGCUUUUUCAACUCAUUAACAGAUCAAUUUUGGCUACAUCUUACAAAAGUAACAUUAGAAACUCAAAGAAGCAUCUUUUGGUGAGUUCAAGACACAAGUUGUACAACUUUAACAUGAUUGAUUGGAGCUUAAUUCAUCUACAAAUAGAGGUCUUGGAGAACAUUUUUCAUAACUUUGGAAGGCCAGAGACACUAUCAAAAUAUAGUUUUUACUAGUUUUUUUUAGUUCAUUAGUUUAGUAUAGAAUAAUAUAGUUUCCAUCCAUUCUUGUAUUGCUAAACUUGAAUGAGAUAGAAGAUGAAGAUGGAGAUGCUUGGAACUCAUGUGACAAGAGUGACUUCUCUCCUACCAUUUUAUUUCUUGUAUUAAUUCUUAUGUUUGGCUGCAAUACAAGUCUGAUAUUUGUUUUCAUAUUUAGCACAAUUUAUGUCUAGAGUUAUGGAAGAACUUUCUAUAUUUUAUUUGUGAUAUUGAUGAUAUUAUUUUGAACAAGUUAUUUGGCACUUUUUGCUUAUCUAAACAUGAUUAACUGACCAUUAAUUAUGAUAAUAUUAAGGUGUUAAUUUUAUAAUGAGAAAUAAAAUUUGACACUAGUUUAAGGAAGCGUUAAAUCUAGGGAAUACACUCACGAGAGUAGAAGUGCACCUUUUGUAACUAUAGUGCUUUGUUUCAUGUAAUUUCAUAAAAGAAAUAAACUUGUAGUUAAUUUUAUAACCACAAGAGUAGGCAUGGUUUAAGUACAAGUAUAGUUAAUUUACUACGAAAUUAAGUUUCACAUAUAUUAGAAAAUUACACCACAACUAGCCAAGAUAAUAACAUUCAAUUAACAAAUAAUUUAACUUGCAAGUGCAGUGAGGAAUUCCAUAGCCCUAAGAGAUUUCUAUUAUUAUUUUUAUUACUUUGUUUUCAUGUUUGUAGUGUAGAUUUAAUCUCUUGCAUUUGUGGUAGUCUAAAUAAUAAAGAAAUUCAAAAAUUAUCGGUAAUUGACAAUUUUCUCUUAUGGGAUCGAUACCUAAUAUCCUUGUACUCGAUAAACAAUCUGUAUAUUUGCAAAAAAUGGGUUAUUUAGAUUUCAUUAAAAUUUGGUGCAUAAUAGAAUCUCAUUAAAGAUAUUUUCUUACAGUGACCAACAAAGUUAUGUUUAACUCGAGAGUCACUUUCUAAAAUUAUUUUGAAAUUGACAUUUCAAUUGCUUUUAAACUCAAGUUUCAAUUAAUCAGUUGCCCAAGUGGGAGAAUUUUAGAAUUAUUUUUAAUUUGGGUUACUACUGAUUAAUUUUGUUUUGUUAAAAAUGGAUUAGAUGAAGACCAGUAAGCCCCACUAUAGUAUAAUCCACUACAGUUGGGGCCUAAGUCUGUCUCAGUCAUCUAUUUGGUGUGAUAUGCAAGAUUUAGGGUCUGUUAUUUUAGAUUAGGGUUACCUUAAUAUUGGGAGGCUCCACGAUAGUUAUAAAAAGACCAAGUCCCUCUCUCUCAUCUAAUACUAGCAUCGUAUUGCUAGUGUGGCUCGUCCCAUUGAUAGUCAUUAUACAAAACUUGGAGAUGGAGAGAGAGCCACCUAUACCAAGCACACAAACUAUAACGUGCUGAUCAAGGUUGUUAGGCAUCUCUCCUCGAUCUAUCUUCGAAGAACAAUAUGCGUUUAUAUUAUAAUUAUAUUCAAACAUCUGAUAUUGGAUCCUAAAAAUUCCUGCAAAGUGGUUUCUUUAUUGUGAGCUGCAAUGUGUGUAUGAAUUCUAAGAGUUAUUUGGUGCAAAUGUGCUGAGAAUUUGAUUUGCUUAUAUAGUUGAUGUUAGAAAAUUAGCUUAAUUUCUUUUAGACAUGUUUCUUGUUUCGUGUUGAAAAAACUAGUUUCCUAAUUUGUUUUAGUUACUUGAAAUAGAAACCACGGAAUUUCCUAUUUGUAUAAGUUUAGAAAUUAGAAAUUAUUUUCUAUUCUUUAUGAGAUUAGGAUUAGUGGUUAUUUCCUGUUAUUACAUGGGUAUUGAUCAGCUAAUGUAACUUAUAAAUAGGUGGGUUUGGCAUAAUACAGAGGAACAUACAAGAGCAACAUGUAACCUUAUACAUCGGGUGAGAGAUGAUUCUUGAAUAUGAGAGAUGGUAUAUAAGAUUUGGGUUUGGGUUUAAAUUGUAUUCUUGUAUAGGAUUUUUCUCUCAUAAUGAAGAACAUGCUUCUCUUCAUGGACGUAGGUUCAAUGAUAGGGGUGAACCAUGUUAAAUCUUGUGUGUCAUUUAUCUUUUAUACUUGUGGCUUAUUUGUCAUUAAAUUUUUGUAUUUUUGAUGUCCCAAUAGUUGUUUGUUCCGUACUUGGAUCCUAACAGACUGGUAUUUGAGCAAGAUUCAUGGUUCACGAAUAAUAAUCCUUGAAGUAUCACAAGCAGUUGCUACAAGAAAAAAGUGAUUUAAUGACUGAUAACUGUUCAUUUUGUAUGUUUUUAGUGUGUUUUAUUGCUUGAUUUUUAGUAUGUUUAUUCAUUUUAAGAACUAAAUAAUUAGAUUUUUAGAGAAUUUUUUAUUUUGUGAUUUAAGUAUGAAAAAUUGCAUUUCUAUGGAUUUAAGUAGUGAAAACUUCAUAUUUUACAGGUUUUAAGGAUUCAAUCAUCAAAUGGAGUAAUUGAGAAGAUACUUGGAUAGUUCUUGACAAUUUGAAGUUAAUUUCAAGUGACAUGAAGUCCAAAAUGAAAACGCAAUCAAGUGGCAAUAGAGAAAAGCAUUGGCAACACUGACAUGUUCUAGUAUUCUAGCUAUUGAGUUAUAAGUAUUAAAUUGAGAUGAUUUUUGAAUAUUUUAAAGGUAAGUGUGACAGCCCCACCUUCCCCUAAGGCGAACCAAAGGGGUUAGCGGACUGUCUGCCCAACUCUCGCCAGGACUAACGGUGCAGUUUAGAGCGAUCUAUUGCGUUCCGGAACUUAUAACGCACGUAAACAAGUCAAAAUGGCAAAAUAACCAAAAAUAAAAAAAAAAGAAAUCCGGAGUCGGCCAUAAAUAGUAACCGACCCGUCAGAACCCAAUCAAAUAUCAAAAUACAUACACCACAUAACAUUUAGCAUUUACAAGCCAAAAUGGCAUACAAAAGUGAUACAAAAGUUACUACAUGUAUGGUUUGCCAAAAUCAAAAGUGAAACGGCCCUAAAGGUACAUUUAGGGUUUCGAUUCAUAAGCUAUACAAAAGAGACAUUAAUUUAGCUCAUUCGGCAACCAACUAGCAAGAAUCAUUCCAAAAGUAGUCAUAUGCCUGUAAGGAAAACAAAAGGAAUGGUGUGAGCUAAUUGCCCAGUGAGAUCAUACUACCCAAGCAACCAAGUUCAUGUAAACAUAAAGCUUUUCGGUGAAUAAAAGGCACACAUCCCAUGUGGUGAUAAAAGGAUACGGAUGGCUCUCAAGAGCCAUUUUCCUCGUUUGCAUUUCUUGAUCGGACGUCAUUGACUCUCCAUCAAUGUUCAAAAGUAACCAACCGUAGACUCCACUUUACUUCCAUUCCUUCCACCUAACAUUCCCCAACCGGGCCCGAAAUCCAAACACUUGCAUUGUGGUAUUACUCGAGUAAACCGGAAUCGAGAGUCUCUCAUACUACAAGAUUCCAUAUAACAUGUCCCCAAGGCACAUUAAUUGGCACGACCAAGCCCUCACCGGGUCAAUUCAAUCAAUUACCAAUGGGGUUGAGAUCAAGGAUAACAAUUGUAGUCGUUGGAUACUCGUCCAAAUGACACCAAGUCAUGUGUUUCAUUUCAUAUAACAUUCCAAUAACUUUCCAAUAACAUGCUAAACAAUAAGUGAGAGUGAUAAAGUACACGCUCACUUUAAUCAAUUAACAUUCAACACCUCAAGUUCAAGUAUCAAAAUCAUAUAAUAACACACAAGUGAGUAGUACACUCACCAAGCUUGCAAAUGAGGUUUCAUGCACUUCCGUCACAAGAACGUCGUGAACCACCGUCAUGCCCUAAAGCAUGCAACAAGUAUAAUGAGACUCGAUAAUGAGUCAUAAACCAAUGCCAAAUAUGACCCCAAUAGGGUUCCAUAAGCAUACACAACCAUUAGAGGAAACCAGAAAAUUCAGAAAUGCAAUUCGCUUUGGCCCUGAAAAAUAUAGUUUUUGACCACCUUUUGCGGUAAUGGCACCAAUUGCACUACGAUUAUCAGAUGAAGGUGUAAGAUACACCGUUUCGAAGAUAAAAGAUAGGGCUACAACAUCACAGAAGGUCAGAUGAAGGUGUAAGAUACACCGUUUCGAAGAUAAAAGAUAGGGCUACAACAUCACAGAAGGUCACUCAACCCAGUUUUGAGUGCAACCAUGUCAAAAAUGCAAGAUACUACACCAAAACCGCAAUAACAGUUUCACAGAACGCAUUCUGGUGUAAACUUCAUAACUCAGCCUACCUAAGUCCAAAUCUAGAAUUCCAAUGCCACUCGAAAGCUUAGAAACAAGGCUACAUUUCAUCAGAAGACCUCAACAACCAAUUUCGAAGCAAUUCCAGCCAAAACAACCAAUUACAGGCGCAAUUCUUACAUUCGGACAAAACCAGGAUAGCAAGGGUAAUUUCAACUUUUCUCAUUCUACGCUACUCCGAUUGAGCUAAAAUUUUGUAGGCACCUCUAAAACAUCAUUCCCUACAACUUUUAUGUUUUAAGCCAAGGUCAAUUCGGCCUCUAACUAGUAGCUACAAAAUCGGGCAGAAUGUUCCCACUUAAAACCCUAACUUUCUACAAUUUCUUCCAAAUCAGAAAUUGGUUGCAAUUAAUCACUUUUUCCACCUCCUAGAGUCAUUAAACAUCAUUUUCAAUCAUCAUAGAUAGCAACACAAUCAUGUUCAUAUUAAAACAGAAAAAUCACUAAUAAAUAGAAAACUUCACUAAUCCAACCAAAAAUCAAGAUGUAAUCCAUAAAGUUUCAUCUCAUACCACUACUAAUCAUAAAUUAGGCAUCAUUAAAGGAAGGAAAGUGAUUCUUCACAACUCACCUUAGGAACAAGAGAGAGAGAGCAAUAGGUCCUCUUAACUUUCCAAAUAACUCCACAAAUCAACUCACUAACACUAAUUGAAGAGGUUUUAUGGAGAAAUUGCAAGUUUCAAUGGUUGGUUGGAUGGAUUUGAGUUAAAUGGAAGCAAAACUUGAAGAGUUUCUUUCUUUCUUUUUGAGAGAGAGAGCCGGCCACAAGAGAAGAGAAAAUGGAAAAAUUUUGGUUAAUUUUGUGCUUUAUUUGGUCAAAUAGAAAAGGUGAAUAGUAGUCUUAUUGUAAGAAGCAAUCCCAUGGUGACAUUUGUCACCUUUAUUAAAUGCUUACCUAACUUGUCUCUCUUAUACCAAUCCACUUAACAUCCUCUACUUGUCUCUUAACACCCGGUAAAUUAAUUCCAAUAUCCAAAACUUAAUCUAGUUGGCCGAAUUUUUUCAAACUUUUUGCACUUGUGGGUCCCACUUUCGGUAUACGCUCUUAAUUUCUCAAAACCUAUUCAAUACUAGAAAAAUCAUCUAAAAAUUAUAUCUGCUCCUUAAAAUUAUCUAGAAAUGUUCCUAAUCCCGAAAAUACAGAAAACAAGCCAUGAAAAAUAAUAAAACCUAGAAAAUGAGGAAAAGUACAGGUUCUCACACUCUCUCUCCCUUAAAAGAAUUUCGCCCUCGAAAUUUCUCACCUUAACUCACGAAAAGUUCAGGGUAUUUCUCUCGCAUUUCUUUUUCCACUUCCCAGGUAGCUUCCUCUACCCCAUGGUUUCUCCACAGUAUCUUUACUAACGGAAUCUGCUUGUUUCUUAGCUCCUUGACUUUCCGGUCAAGUAUUUGGACAGGUUUUUCUUCGUAAGCAAGCGAUUCGUCCACGUCGAUCUCCUCUGGUUGUAAGAUAUGGGAUGGGUCGGGAUAGUACUUCUUGAGGAUCGAGACGUGGAAAACGUCGAAAAUUCUCGAGAGACUUGACGACAGGUCUAAUGUAUACGCUACCGCACCUAUCCUCUGUAGGAUCUUGUAGGAUCCAACAAACCUCGGUUGGAGCUUCUUUCCUUUGCCUGCCAUGACACUCUGUAAAGGUGUGACUUUAAGAAAUACGUGGUCUCCAAUCUCGAACUCUAAAUCUUUUCUUCGAUUGUCUACGUAGCUCUUUUGUCGACUUUGAGCUGUUUGGAAUCGUUGCCGUAUCAACUUGACCUUUUCUCGAGUUUCCUCCAUCCAAGGAAUAGUUGUUGGAUCCAGUGCCUUCCUCUCGCCAAUUUCAUCCCAAUAGAUUGGUGAUCGGCAUUUUUGUCCAUAGAGUGCUUCAUAUGGAGCCAUUUGAAUCGACGAAUGGUAACUAUUGUUGUAUGCAAACUCUACUAAGGUCAUGUGUUGACCCCAGUUGCCUCCAAAAUCCAAAAUGCAAGUUCGUAACAUGUCCUCGAGAGUUUGGAUAGUUCGCUCCGAUUGUACAUCCGUCUGAGGGUGAUAGGUAGUGCUCAAGUUGAGUUUCGUUCCUAUCCGAUUGUACAAAAUGAUUAGCUAAGGCCCUUUCCCUAUCCGCCCUAUGCACAGAAGCAAAACUAUCCAAAACAAACCCUAGAAGUCAUGACCUAGAUCGACGACGAGCUAUUAGACCCACCCGACGGAGUGGAUCCAACCUCAGCCUCAGGCCCCGCAUAUGAGUCCUCGUCACUCACGCCCUCGACCACAUCCGCGCAAAGGUUCAAGAUCGCUGCGGCUCAACCCUUAACCUUUCGAGCUCUCUUGGUCUCGCGCUCUUAGAUCUCCCAAAGUUGAGUGCAGAGGUCAUCAACCCUAUCCUCUGCCUCAAGCACGUCGUACUUCAAACCCUUAAUGCGCUCGGCCUGUCUCUCAUUGGCCGCCCUAAGUUGGGUCAACUCGGCCUCAAGUCUCGUAUUCUCUCCGGCCAACUCCUUACGCUCCUCAGCCACUGCAAAUACUAGAGUGUUAGGGUAGGCAUUCUUAUGUCGACACUCGCACCGUCUAAGGCGGUUAGACGGGCUCCAACGCACGACGGCCCCUCCCGGCCGUAUCUGGUACGGUAUCACUGGGAGUGCUCGACGAGGUCUCUCGCCCGGAGGACUAUCACUAUGCUCACCCUGUCCAGCCAUCCUACACCAAAAGAGCAAUUAACCAUAAAUAAGCUUAAAGGCCAUAAACAAAGAACCCUCACAUCGAGCAUUUCUAUUACACCCAGACUAAUUCAAACCAAGGCUCUGAUACCAUCUGUGACAACCCCACCUUCCCCUAAGGCGAACCAAAGGGGUUAGCGGACUGCCUGCCCAGCUCUCGCCUAGACUAAUGGUGCAGUUUAGAGCGAUCUAUUACGUUCCGGAACUUAUAACGCGCGUAAACAAGUCAAAAUGACAAAAUAAUCCAAAAUAAAAAAAAAGAAAUCCGGAGUCAGCCAUGAAUAGUAACCGACCCGUUAGAACCCAAUCAAACAUCAAAAUACAUACACCACAUAACAUUUAGCAUUUACAAACCAAAAUGGCAUACAAAAGUGAUACAAAAAUUACUACAUGUAUGGUUUGCCAAAAUCAAAAGUGAAACGGCCCUAAAGGUACAUUUAGGGUUUCGAUUCAUAAGUUAUACAAAAGAGACAUUCAUUUAGCUCAUUCGGCAACCAACUAGCAAGAAUCAUUCCAAAAGUAGUCAUAUGCCUGUAAGGAAAAUAAAAGGAAUGGUGUGAGCUAAUUGCCCAGUGAGAUCAUACUACCCAAGCAACCAAGUUCAUGUAAACAUAAAGCUUUUCGGUGAAUAAAAGGUACACAUCCCAUGUGGUGAUAAAAGGAUACGGAUGGCUCUCAAGAGCCCUUUUCCUCGUUUGCAUUUCUUGAUCGGACGUCAUUGACUCUCCGUCAAUGUUCAAAAGUAACCAACCGUAGACUCCACUUUACUUCCAUUCCUUCCACCUAACAUUCCCCAACCGGGCCCGAAAUCCAAACACUUGCAUUGUGGUAUUACUCGAGUAAACCGGAAUCGAGAGUCUCUCAUACUACAAGAUUCCAUAUAACAUGUCCCCAAUGCACAUUAAUUGGCACGACCAAGCCCUCACAGACUCGAUUCAAUCAAUUACCAAUGGGGUUGAACUCAAGGAUAACAAUUGUAGUCGUUAGAUACUUGUCCAAAUGACACCAAGUCAUGUGUUUCAUUUCAUAUAACAUUCCAAUAACUUUCCAAUAACAUGCGAAACAAUAAGUGAGUGUGAUAAAGUACGCUCUCACUUCAAUCAAUUAACAUUCAACACCUCAAGUUCAAGUAUCAAAGUCAUAUAAUAACACACAAGUGAGUAGUACACUCACCAAGCUUGCAAAUGAGGUUUCAUGCACUUCCGUCACAAGAACGUCGUGAAUCACCGUCACGCCCUAAAACAUGCAACAAGUACAAUGAGACUCGAUAAUGAGUCAUAAACCAAUGCCAAAUAUGACCUCAAUAGGGUUCCAUAAGAAUACACAACCAUUAGAGGAAACCAGAAAAUUCGGAAAUGCAAUUCGCUUUGGCCCUGAAAAAAUAGUUUUUGACCACCUUUUACGGUAAUGGCACCAAUUGCACUACAAUUAUCGGAUGAAGGUGUAAGAUACACCGUUUCGAAGAUAAAAGACAGGGCUACAACAUCAUAGAAGGUUACUCAACCCAGUUUUGAGUACAACCAUGUCAAAAAUGCAAGAUACUACACCAAAACCGCAAUAACAGUUUCACAGAACGCAUUCUGGUGUAAACUUCAUAACUCAGCCUACCUAAGUCCAAAUCCAGAAAUUCCAAAGCCACUCGAAAGCUUAGAAACAAGGCUACAUUUCAUCAGAAGACCUCAACAAUCAAUUCCAAAGCAAUUCCAGCCAAAACAACCAAUUACAGGCGCAAUUCUUACAUUCGGACAAAACCAGGACAGCAAGGGUAAUUUCGACUUUUCUCAUUCUACGCUACUCCGAUUGAGCUAAAAUUUUGUAGGCCCUCUAAAAUAUCAUUCCCUACAACUUUCAUGUUUUAAGACAAGGCCAAUUCGGCCUCUAACUAGUAGCUACAAAAUCGGGCAGAAUGUUCCCACUUAAAACCCUAACUUUCUACAAUUUCUUCCAAACCAGAAAUUGGUUGCAAUUAAUCACUUUUUCCACCUCCUAGAGUCAUUAAUCAUCAUUUCCAAUCAUCAUAGAUAGCCACACAAUCAUGUUCAUAUUAAAACAGAAAAAUCACCAAUAAAUAGAAAAUUUCACUAAUCCAACCAAAAAUCAAGAUGUAAUCCAUAAAGUUUCAUCUCAUACCACUACUAAUCAUAAAUUAGGCAUCAUUAGAGGAAGGAAAGUGAUUCUUCACUACUCACCUUAGGAACAAGAGAGAGAGAGCAAUAGGUCCUCUUAACUUUCCAAAUAACUCCACAAAUCAACUCACUAACACUAAUUGAAGAGGUUUUAUGGAGAAAUUGCAAAUUUCAAUGGUUGGUUGGAUGGAUUUGAGCUAAAUGGAAGCAAAACUUGAAGAGUUUCUUUCUUUCUUUUUGAGAGAGAGAGCCGGCCACAAGAGAAGAGAAAAUGGAGAAAUUUUGGUUAAUUUUGUGCUUUAUUUGGUCAAAUAGAAAAGGUGAAUAGUAGUCUUAUUGUAAGAAGCAAUCCCAUGGUGACAUUUGUCACCUUUAUUAAAUGCUUACCUAACUUGUCUCUCUUAUACCAAUCCACUUAACAUCCUCUACUUAUCUCUUAACACCCGAUAAAUUAAUUCUAGUAUCCAAAACUUAACCUAGUUGGCCGAAUUUUUUCGAACUUUUCGCACUUGUGGGUCCCACUUUCGGUAUACGCUCUUAAUUUCUCAAAACCUAUUCAAUACUAGAAAAAUCAUGUAAAAAUUAUAUCUGCUCCUUAAAAUUAUCUAGAAAUGUUCCUAAUCCCGAAAAUACAGAAAACAAGCCAUGAAAAAUAAUAAAACCUAGAAAAUGAGGAAAAGUACAGGUUCUCACAGUAAGACCAAGAGCUACAUUUCUUAUUAGAUACGAUAUCUAAUUUACAUGUUUUUGAGGGUCAAAAAGUAAAAAUGCAGUCAUGCAUUCAUGUUGCUACACUCUGGAAAAGGCUGCUGACCAAUUAGGGAUAUUUUGGUUAUUUCUUAGCUUCUAGAGCUCCAAAUGACAUGGUUCUUGAUGUAUUGAAAAUUAAUCUCAAAGGGUUACAAAUUCCACAUUUAUGCAAGAGUUAGUUUGGCCUCUACCAUUGAGAAAUUUGCAGCUCAAAAUUGAUGCAAAAUAGAUCAAUUUUGACGAUUCUUCAAAAAGUGCAAAACUUGCCACACUGUGGAUCCACGGCAUGUUCCACGGAUCUUGCCCCAUGGAUCCAUAUUUCGGCUACGUACGUUGCUCAGCUUUUUUACAGCCUUUUGACCACUUUUUGUGAAAUAAUUUUAGUUGUCUCUGUAGAAGGAAGCAUGGAGAUUUCAAGACGCAAUUUUUUGGAAUGUCAAGGAGCAUUUUUUUUUAUCAACUUUAACAAGUUCUUGAUGCUUUCUUCAUCUAUAAAUAGUGACUUCAUGAUAUAUUUUUUCAACUUUGGAAGGCUAGAAAUCACACCAAAAUAUAGUCUUUUUUUAAAAUUAAUAUUUUUAUUGAUGAAUCAAAACCAAACCAGAAUUACAACGUAUCCCCAACACACCCUGCCGGCUCCUCUUCCCCUCUCAUCCUCCUAACAGAUAACAUGCCUAACUUAUCUAGUCGGACCUCCACCUUUGCUAUUUUUGGGAACAUGCUUAUGUUAUCAUAGAUAACACACCCCUAAUGCGGGUGAGAGACACCCACAUUAGCUAGAAUAUCCGCCACUCGAUUGGCUUCUUUGAAGCAGUGGGAAACUCUUGCCACGUCCUCUACCAGGUCCCAGAUUUGCUCUACCUCAUUUCGGAUCUGCCACGGGCACUGAAAGCAUCGUUGAAGAAUUCCCACCAACACCUGAGAUCCGAUUGAAUCUCCACAUUGACAAACCCUUUCUCCAUACACAUCCGAAGGCCAGUUAAAAGUGCAAGGGCUUCCUCGUGUAAACUCGAUCGUCUUCCAAAGAAUGUUGAGAAAGCCAACAUAAGCCGUCCUAAAGAGUCCCGUAAGAUUCCACCGCCGCCACUCCAUCCUAGAUUACCCUUGGAACAUCCGUUCGUAUUCAGCGUCAAAUAACCUGCCUCCUUUGCCUUCCACCGCACGAGCUGAAAUCUAAUCUUGCCGCCUUGACAUCCCAACCAUUCAUAAAGUUGACGGAAUGAGGUCAUACCAAGCCUCAUAUUAAGAUGAAUCUCCAACCUGAAAUUUAUGUCUGCAAUAAUGGCUUGACAAAUAGUAGUCGGGUGCAUUCGGGUCCCGUCAAACAUCGAUUCGUUCCUUGCCCUCCAAAUGUGCCAGCAAAUGAAACUAGGCAUCAUCGUGAAGAUGAGGCGCCUUUUUGCUGAUCUCGAAGGUGCCAUCCACCACGCCACUACCCUAGCCCUCAAAGAAGACCCCUAAUGCGUGAGACCGUACAAGCUAGUAAAAUUAUUCCAUACAUCUUUAGCAACCUGCCCCUCUAAAAAUGCAUGUUCCACUGUCUCACUUGCUCCAUCAAGACAGCACAAACACUUUGAAGGCAUCAUCUGAAACCCCAUCCUACACAAAACAUCAGGGAAUGGCAACUUACCCAACACCAAACGCAGCAUGAAGAGGGAUACUUUCAAUGGGAUGCGAGGGUGCCAAAAUUGAGAGUGAACGAACGAAGAGCUGCGAGCUUGUUGAAUCUCCUCGAAAGCCGAUGCUAAUGAGAACUCGCCAGAUGAAGUCAACCUCCAUAUUGGCUCAUCAGCCUGCCCACCUCACGGAAUCGGGAGCAGUAAGACAGAAGGAAUUAAGUCAAGAGAGAGGGCCAGUGAGAGUAAAUUUGUGCUCCACUUCCCAUUCUCAAUGAAGUCUUUGAAAGAGAGAGUUGGGCUCACCGUAGCCUUAAGGAACAACGCGCCACUCCCCAACCAAUUAUCAUACCAAAAAUGACAUAAACCCCCAGAAUCCGCCAGACUAUAGAGAGCUCCGCUUGCCUACUAAUGUUUAACAUUCUCCGCCAUGUUCCUGAGGCGUGUCAACUCAGUUCAAUCUGACAUGGGCGAAGGUCUUGAUAAUAUUUAGCCCACAUAAAACUCGUCCAGAGUGAUGCCCCAAUCCUAAACUGCCACCACAAUUUACACGAAAAGGCCACACAACUAUCACUCAACCGUCUAAGUUCCACUCCUCCCUCUUCAACUGGAUAGCAUAAUUGGGACCAUCCAAUUCAGUGAUACUUCGUGCCUUCCUCCAAGAUACCCCAUAGGAAGUUUGCACACACCUUUUCCACCAGUUUGAACAGCGAGGCAGGUAACAUCGCAACUGAUAACAAGUCCACUGGAAUAGACAGCAGCACAUGCCUAAUCAGCUUUCCCUCAAGGGAAAGAAGUUUUGAUUUUCAGGACAGGAUUCUGUUUAAAAUCGCCUAAACUACUUCCCCAAAAUACGAUGAGUUACACCGUCCGAUAUAUAAGGGAAAUCCAAGAUGUAGACACCAAAUUUUUGGUGUUUUAUUAUUUAUUUAUUUGCUAUUCACAAUUAGUUUUAUUUAUUUUUAGUUUUAGUUAUUUUAGCCAUUUUAGCGUAGAAUUUCUCAAAGGAAAAAAAGCAUUCAAAAAAAUAUGAUUUAGUCAUUUGUAAUUUAAAUUCAAUGCUUUCUUGAAAGUAAAAAAAAAGGGAAAAAAAGUGAAAAAUGAUGAAUAAUGAAAAAUGAUGAAAAAGAAAAGAAAAAACCGCAAUUUUGUUAUUUCUAGUUGGUUUAUUUUUGUCCGAUGUUAUUUAAAAUUGUUGUUUUACUUAAUUUUAUUUCUUACUUUUUUUUAAAAAAAAAAAAAGGGAAAAUUGAGUCACAAUUUAGGUCUCCCCGUACCCGUCUUGCUUGCAUUCCCUAGGCUCAUGCAUUCUAAAUUCACUCUAUCAUUCUACACCCUUACUACACUUUCAUUUUCUCCUCCUAUUUUCACACAUGCACCUUUAUAUCCCUUCACUUGCACACAAACACUUGGAUUUUUUCAUACAAUUUCAAACAUGCACCUUUUCAUACACUUGCACACAAACACUUGGAUUUUUUAUACAAUUUCACACGUGCACCUUUUUAUACACUUGCACACUUGCACUUUAGCCAUCAUUUGCAUUAAUCGACCUCUAUAAGAUUUUUUUUUAUUGGCCGCCACAACUCAUGUGGUUGGGACAAAAAACCUUACAAGAGACAUUUUAGAAUCUAGGUUUGCAUUUUUUCUUUCUUUUCGCAUUCAUCUAGUCAAAUCCAAAACAUGCAAUACAUAUUUUUGGUAGAAAAAUUGGAAAGGUGGGGCUAAAUCACGCAACUAGCCUUGGCUAGGUCGGAGGGGUGCCUUGAAUUUUUAUCCUUGCCUUCCCCUCCGUCAAAUGUGACUCCCGAACCUUUUUCGUUGGUUUACGUGGACUAGGAGUCGUUUUAAAAAGGGUUUUUUACUACUUAUCUUUAAAAAACACUUUUUGGGUGACUUGGUACACCCUAAAUCUAUACCAAGUGGCGACUCCGUUUUUAUAUUUAAAAACCCUUUUUAAAUUUCAUUUGGCCAAAUCGUCGCUUUCCAAAGUCCCAUGGCCUUUUAUUUUCCUUUUCACACGUUCACAUAUUCUACACUAUUCACACACCACCACACACACGCACACAUCAAAAAGUGGGGCGCGACACAAGAUAUCGAAAAGGGAAGACCUAUCGUCUAAAUUGCGUGACCCUCUCAAUCAUCUUUCUGCGGACAGGAAGUAGUGACGGAUGAACUAAAUAACCGCUCUUUUGAGCAUUCACCAGUUGCCCCGAGAACUGCUGAUAUACGCCCAAUACUCGCAUAACGCCUGUUAACGCCACAUUAGACCCAUUUGCAAAUAUUAUUACAUCGUCUGCAAAAGCGAGAUGCGUGACAGUGGGACAACUCCUUGGGAUCCGAAAUCCCACAAAAUUCACUUGUCAAGCUAAACUAUUUAAAUCCCGUGAUAACAUCUCUGCUCCAGUAACAAACAGGACAGGGGAUAAGGGGUCUCCUUGUUUGAGACCCCUGCUAGACUUGAAAAACCCAUGUGAUGCCCCAUUGAUGAUCACUGAGAACCAGACAUUCGCCAAUAGUCACCAUACCAUGUCAAUAAACCUUUCCCCAAAGCGAAAUUUUCUCAGGACCAUAAUAAUAUGUACCCAAGGCAUCCGAUCAUAUGCUUUCGUCAUGUCCAAUUUUAACACUACAUUGCCUUGUCUUCUUAUCCAUGCCCGUGAGCAGUUCCUGGGCUAGCAAAUAAUUUUCAGUAAUGCUCCACCCUUUUAUAAAACCCGUUUGUUAGGUAGAGAUGAUUUUCGGUAGAAUCUGUGAGACCCGAAUUUUUAUUUUACUUAUUUUUAUUUUAUAUUAUUGGUUUAUUUAAUUAUUUAUUUAUCCAUUUAUUUUGAAUAAUUUAUUUUAUCCAUUUUAAAUUCAUUUGCACGGAAAAAUGUUUCAUUUAUAUUUUUAAAACGUUUCGUUAACGAAUUUAAUUUUUCUGCGGCUCAUUUAGUGAGAAAUAGCGAGUGCACAUUUUUGAGGUAAAUUCGGUCCGAGAGUGAAAUAAUCUUGAAGAAUUAAGGAUGAUUAAUAGUAGACUAAGAAAAAUUAACGGAGGAAUUAGAGGUGAGUGAGUUAAAUUAAACUCAAUUAGGAGCAUCGAUUGUUGACUUUCGGGCACCAAGAACACCUUUAUGUCAUUCUUCUUGUCACACCAUCAAGUCACCCAACUACCACCCAAAACCCUUCUUUCUCCUUUCCCUCUUGGCCGACUCCCCCUUCCUCAUUUCCUACCAAAAAUUUCAGCUCUCUUGUCUUCCAUUUUUCUCCAAGAAAACUUUCCAAAUUUGCUUCUUUCCUUGGUUCUUCAUACAAGUUUGGAAGGUGACUUGAACAAGGUAGAAACUUUGGUGAUUCAAGAGCUUAUACUAGUGGUUGUUCUUCAUUCUUGGAAGCAAAGGUAAUCCUCCAAGUUUUCAUCUUUUCCCUCUCAACUAUUAGUAGUAGUUAGUUAUGGUUAGUUAGUUGUUGGGUUGUUGAUAGGUUCAUAAAAACCUUGACAUUAGGUAGAGAAUUUAAGGUGACUUUAUAAGUAGAGGCCUUGAGCAUUUUGUAUGUUUACUUGCUUGUUUGAUGUUUAUUUUGAGAAGAUAUGGCUUAGUUUUAGUUGAAAAGUUGGAAAAGAAAACUAAAAGAUGAAGGAUGCUUGCUGUCCGAAAUUUGGCUUGAUGAAACCCUCAUGUUAAUUUUGAAUUUUAUUGUUGUUUUGGUGCUAUAAUGUUUGUUAUAUGACGGUGUUUAUGUGUGUUAAAUAUAUCCCAAAAAGCUUUACAAUUGGUUGACUUAAAGUAGGGUUUAAGUGAGGAAGAAAUCUGAAAAAUUUUCUGACCAGGAGUACCGACUAGUGUUCCCGUAUUGGGUCAUAACUUUUUGUCUGGUAGUUGAAAUCGUGUGCCAUUUGUGGUAUCCGAAACUAGACUCCGAGAGCUUUCCGUCGGUAUAAAGUGCACCUCCUAAUUCGUUUCCUAUGAGCCGUAGUGAACCAGCAAAAUGACUUAAUUUUCUCACUGUUCUCAUCUGAGAAACCAGCCUACCUGCAGUUUGCAGCUCAAUUUUGCCUAUCUUGCAAAUCGAAUUUUAAGACAGUUCCUUCUAGUGAAUUGUAACCUUUUGAAUCUAGUUUUCAACACCAUAAAUCACGCUAAAUUUGAGUUGUGUGGCUUUAGUUAUGGCCAGAUUUUAAAACUCUGUCAAGCCUUCAAAACUGGAAAUUCGUGCAACAGGUUCCAAAAUUCAGUUUUCUUAAAACCAUUGUAUCUUGAUGUAAAAAGGUCCGAAUUGAGUUCCAUUUCUUGUAUUUGAAACUAGAUUUGGAAUUCUAUUAGUGGUAUAAAAUUCAAGGGUUGAUUUCAUUUCUACAAAUUUUACCGAAUUUCCAAUCUUUACUGAAAUUACAAGCUUGUUUUGCUCUGUCCUGUCUAGUAUAGUGACUUUGAACUAAAAUUUGAAUGAUUCCGGAUUGGAGUCUGAGACAAGUGUCUUCUAGAGAGUUUUAGUGUUUUGAGUCCAGUUUCCAAUGGUAUAAAGUUUCCAAUUUUUGGACUUUCGAAACUCGAGAUACGAUUUUUUCAAGUAGUAUCGCACCAAACUGAAAAUUUUCUCGUUUCAACCAAAGUACUCUUUUCAGCACUUUUAACCUUCCUUUGAGAAUGUUGGUCUGUUUUAGGACUAAUUUCAUGGUUGGGCACAAAGUUCCUUUAGAACUUUAAAUCUUCAUUUUGAAUCUUGGUUUCAAAGGAUUAAACCUCUCUUAAUGCGUUUUCUUAGUUGUUCAACUUCCUUAGUUAAUGGCACCUCUUUUCAUACUUGAAAAAUGAACUUCAACCCCUAGUUUUAUACUCUCAAUUUUCAUGAGUUUGAACUUUAAAAAGGGAGCAUUUUGACUAGAGUAAUUCUUGAAAAAUUUCACUAGUUUAUACUUGAAUCUUGGAACCUUUAGUUUUGACAUUUUCUAUGAAAUGAGUGGAGUUUUAGAUAAGUUUUGACUCCAUUAGUUUAGAAAAUAUGAACCCCUUUUACAUUCUAAAGUUUGGAUAUGAGAUGAGAAGUUUUGAAAGAUGAACACUAUUUACCUUUUUCUCAAUUUUCGUGCCGAAAAUGGAAAUGAUACUUUCUUUUGGAAUUGAGAUUACGUACCAUGACUUAAAUAAAAAAUGACCUUGAGCUCUCUUUGAGCAUUAUUUCAACGAUUUAGCAAGAAAAACUUCUUUUAAUUUGACUCGAACUUGUGACCUUGAGAGUGGGUAGUGAAAGAAUAUCUUUUUUAUUAACCUUGGUUGAGCACCUAGGCAAUCGUGAAUGUGUAUGUCUCAGAUGGUCACGAGGACGCUGCAGAGCUCGUUUGACUUUUCACUUUGCUCUUGUUUGCCUUGACUUUCGAUGAGUAUCAAGUGCAUGUUCAAUGCUAAUAUGAUUGAAUUGAUAUUUGUAUAAGUGCUAUAUGAUAUAUGAAUUUAUCGAUGCGAGAGUGUACUUUAUCGCCCUCGUCCUCUCUUUCUUGUAUUUGAAUGAUACUUGUUAAAUGAAUAUAUAUGAUUUGCACUUGUACUUGAAAUGUUUUAACUCGUGAGCACUGAGUGGCUAGAUGUAUCACGCCCUAUUUGGGUGACAGGUACCGCUCAUCCCGACUCAGUGCUAUGAACGAUUUUAAGUCGAUUGGAGCGUUGAAUUAUCGACCAAUCAUGUUUGUAGGGAUGCCCCAAUCCAUUGGCUAACCUUGUGACUCGAACCGGUAAGGGGUUGGUCGAGAAGCUUGGUGAACCUUGGGAAAUGAUAAAGGUUGAUCUUCUGAAAUCUCGCUAGGCAUACUCAAAUAGUAUCACCAUUACAUGAAUGUUUGGUUACAGAUUCGAGUGGGUGUUGUUGGAUGCAGGUAGUAAGUGGAGCACUACGGUCAUGGUACUACAUGAGUUGACGGAGAGUCAACCCUAAAUUGCUUGAAUUCGGUCGAGACGUGGCAAGAGCUUCGGUAUCCUUUCUUGUGUGUUAUUUUCUACUUGUGCACUUAAAUGAAAUGUCAUGUUUAAAAGUUGUUUAAAGCAUGUUAUUUGAUUGAUUUGUGUUACUUGCUUGCCUGUUUAUUUUUCUUGGCCUCACUGAGCAUUUGCUCAUCCCUUUAAGUUUGUUUUCCUUAACAGGCUUUGGAGGUGGAUUGGAGGUUCUAGACUAGUGACUUGGUGGAUACUAGUAUACCUUUUGUAUGAACUUUUUGUGACGCUAAAGUAUAAUUUUGUUAUUGUUGGUUGGUGGAUUGUCAUCAUAACUUUUAGCUUAGAACUUGUGGCUUGUAUAUUCGAAGUAUUUUUUAAUUAAGUCGAUGGUUGUUUUGUGGCUCUAUAUUAAGCUUGAACGAGUGCGUAAGUCCUGACGAGAGUUGGGUAGACGUCCCGCUGAUACCCUAGGGUUCGCCCUAGGAAGAGGUGGGGAUGUCACAGUUGGUAUCAGAGCGCUAGAUUUGAAAUACCUGGAAUAGGGUUAGGAGUUCUUAGUCGUGAACUUUUGGUCAUAGAAAACCGUGGUAGACCUUAGGUUAAAUUCUUAAAUGGUAUCAGUGAAUAUAAGGACCUAACCUUUAGUUGUGAAUUAUUUAUAGGAUAUGGACAGCAGCAAUGAUAAUAAUAGAGUUGAGGGACCUCUCUCCGUGAUCCCGUAUCGUCUGGUUGGAGGUGGACCCCUUCUGCGAUAUUCACAUGCUAGGAGGGGUAGAUCGUACCCAUACCGAGCGAGAUACUCUUACCCUAACCGUUUGGUGUUAAAAGCAGCUGAGUAGUGGAGGCAGUUGGUUCGUGACCUCCGGAUAGCACUAGCGAAGAGAGAGGAGAUGGAGGCCACUGUAGAGGCCUAAACUAUCCGAAUCUAGGAAUUAGAGGCUAGAGUACAAGAGGAGGGUCAGAGAACUGACACCUCCCAUGCUCAGUAUCAGGAGACCGCAGGGCACCUUUUCCGGAUCUUCUAGGAGGCGGGAAAUCGCGUGGAUGGUAUCAUUGCUAAGUGUGGAUGUGACACCCCGAAUAUUAGGAGGUUGUUUGUAAAGAAGAUACUAAAGUGUAUUUCUUUGGAUUUGAUUUAAAACCUUAUUUUGUUUUAAAAGACUAGAAACCCUAAUUUUAAUCACUGAAAUUGUAAAACCCUCACGUUUUUCUUAAAAAUUUCCUUUUAUUUGAAAAUUCAUAAUUUAUUAAAGCCCUACGACCCAAUCGUUCCACAAUAAGUGCAAAUAAACCUAGAAAGUAGGGUUUCACUUUUGGUUUCAAGAUUGGAGCAAAAUUAGGGUUUUCGCGAUUUUUCGCCGGAUGAAUUUUCGGUACUGAGCAAGGAUCAAAUUUGGUGAUUAAAAGUGACUUUUAAGUGAGAAAUAAUAUGUGAUUAGGGGCAAUGAUAUAAGAUUAGUGAAUAGGAAGUAAAAAUCCUAGUACGUGUGUUUUUAAGAAAAACGGUGUGAACCGACGGGUACCGUGCACUACCGAUUGAACGCACCACUUGACCACCACUUUCUUACCAUACAAGCUUAUUGAUAUUUGAGCAAAAUAUCUUCUUAAUUGUCAGCUGCCUUUGACCGAAAAUUGAGAAUAAAAUAACAAGGAAAAGGAAAGAGAAAAAUGAAAGGUGGUGGUGGCGACAAGUGUUGUCGCCACCCUAGAGUUUCUUGACCAAGAGUUGGUUUUUCUUUUUAUCUCCAAAUUUUGCACUUUUCUCUUCAUUUUUUCUGCUGAUGGUCGACCAAAAGAGAGAGAGAAAGGGAGAGCAAAAGAAAACUUCUUUCUUCUUGAAUCUUAGCCAAAUCAAGUGAGAACAUCGAUUUCCAAACCGAUUAAAGUGUUAAUUGUGAGUUGGGAAGCUAGAGGAACUAGAAAUUUUCAAAGGAGGUGGAUUAUCACUCAUCCAAGCUUGUCUUUGAGGUAUUAAAUCUGAUCAUGGUCCUUGAUCUUUUAAAUCUUGCGUUAAGAUGUUAUUUAGCUUAAGUUUUGGCUUGAUUUCAAGAUGUGCAAGUGAUUGUGAUGAUUAUUGGAUGAAAUAAACAAGAUAGGGUUUUGGGGACUUGCUGCCAAACUUGAUGUAUGAUACAUAUAGGUUGUAUUUAAGGUUAUAUAAGGGGUUUUGGUAGUGUUGGAAGUAAGUAAUCAAGGAAGGUUGCAUUGAAUUCAAAAAAUUCCAGAUUUCUGGAAUUUCAGGAUUACAUUCUGUCUGAUUUUAAUACUCAUAGUUAGAGACAAAAUUAGGUUUAGUCUAAAACAUGAAAGUUGUAGAGAAUGGUAUUUUAUAGGUACUUACAAAAUUUCAGCUCAAUCGGAGUAACGUAGCCCAUGAAAAGACCAACAUACCCUCACUGUUUUAAGGUUUUUCCCAGUAGUCCGUUUGGUUAGUUUAUCCAGUUUAUGACGUUUAUUCACCAGGAUCCGUACUGAUUUAACUUUUUGCCAAAACAUGAAAGUUUUAGCAUUCUAACUUAGCUUUUAAACACCUCCAAGAACACCUUAAUCGGACCUUGGUAACCUGAGAUAUGACCAUUCCAGUGCAGAGCGGUUAAAUAGCCGACUAGUUAGAUUGUGGUUCUGUAAAUUGAGGAUUUUACUAGGUUGCAUUGGAAAAUGGACUAAGUGAUCUUCAUGAACAUUGUAGCCCUGUGUCUUAACUUCGAAACGGGAUAAGUUGCGCCUCAAUCCGAUAAGCGUAGCCUCGGAUGUAUUAUUUCCGCAACCACACGUCAAAUCUGUCUUUUGCUAGGUUACAUUUCCGCACUUGUUAUCACUUUGAUUUUGUUCGUAUGAUUGUUAUGAACCUAUGGAACGGCUAUAUACUUGAAUCUAUGAUAUGUAUGACUUUGGGAUUGGCUGCUGGAAAAUUAGGUAAAGACAAAGGGCAUGCUGCCCAAAUUUACGCUCGAGAACUAUAAAAAUACACUUGCGACUUGGGUCGAGUUGAUAUGAAUAGUACUUGAAUCAUCUAGGGUACUUGAGUCUUCUUGUUUCGAGGUAUAUAAGUAAGGAUUUGGGCGAACUUGUACCCUUGAAAAAUGUAAUCAUGAUUGCUCGAAGUAUGUUUUCCUUGUACUUCCAACUCGCAUGACAAUUUCAAGUAUAAAUAUUACAAAGUUUUACUGUUUAAAAAGGCAAGCAAGUGUUUCACGACUACUCUCUAAGUGAAUUCCAAUUUCUUGAUUUUUAUUGAAUGAAACGUCUAAGUUUCGAAUCUUAGUCAUGUUUCAAAGUUCUCAAACUGAGUUUUAUCGCAGAUUUGGACUCCGAACCCGGAGUAUAACCUGAAAGUGACCAGUAAGGCACUAUAUCUUGUGGUGAGUGCUUUCAAAUACCGAAUUGCACUAGAUACGUGACCGAUAUGAGUACAUGUUAUAUACGUGAAUUGAUUGGGUAAGAGUGUACUUUAUCGCACUUGCCCUUACGUGAUAUACUUGUUUAUUGAUUGCAAUUGACUUGAUAUACUUGUUUAUGAUGUGCGCACUUCCUGGAAUUCCAGAAACCCUGUGGCGAGUUACUCUAGUCGAGCCGGCAAGCGCUUGGUCGAUUGGGUAACGAACCCUGGGUCUCUUGUUUUGUCGAGUGGAGUGAUAUCUCCUCGACUAAUCGGUAUACUCGAGUAUUACCACCCGUGUUUAUUGAGAAUUUUGGGCCCAGCAGGGGGUGUGAAUGGUGGACGGAGAGUAGUGUAAGUGGUGCACUACUGGAUUGGUUCAUUUACUUGAAAGUUGAUGGAGUGUCAACUAUUACGUGAUCAAGCUCCUGAUGAUGAAAUGGGAAGUUGGCUCCUGAGAGCCAUCCGUAUCCUUAUGCUUUGGAAUGAUUAUUGUUUAUUGGAUUAUUGUUUCUUCUGAAAACUUUUACACUCGCUCAUUUUGAGAUUGCUACUUGAAGUGUUAUUGCUCACUUUUAUGAACUCUUCAUGCUCGUUACUUUGCUAUAUCGAAAACUUGUACUUAUAAAUAAUGGUCAAUUUUCUAUUUGGAACCUCACUGGGCUUUUAGCUCAUACCACGCUAUUUAUUUUCCUUACAGGGGGUACGAGCGAGGCGUGAGAGGUGAAAAGACUAGCGUAGUCUAGUUGUUUUUGACUUUUGACUUUUGACUUGUACUCGCGCUAUUUCUCGAAUAAAAUGUUUUAUAUAUUGAGGCUUUGUACCUUGAUUUUCAUCAAUGUAAAUUCUAAACUUGAAUUGCGAUGUUAUUUAUGGUCCAUGAAUGAAUGAACGUGAUACGAGCGAGUGAGUCCUGGCGAGAGUUGGGCAGGCGACCCGCCGAACCCUCUGGUUCGCCUUAGGGUGAGGUGGGGCCGUCACAGAUGGUAUCAGAGCUCCUAUUGAGCUCGUGCCGGGAGAGGAUUCUCGGACUGUGGGGAUUGACUUGUUAAGUGUGGAACAAUUGUCUAUUGUUGUGGACCUUAGAUAUGUAUGUUUGGUAGGAAUCUCUAAUAUGGGUGAUUUGCUCUUGAGCCUGGCCAGCUUGAGUGGUGAAUUAUCAUAUUUUAGGAUUCUUGUCCCCGAAUACCAAAGAGUGACACCUUUACGAUAAGUUGAGAUCUCGCGUAAUAUUGGGAUAAGUUUGGAUUGUGAAAGCAAAGGCAAGGGGAAUGCGAAUUGCCUGGACUUGUAAUAUAUUGAAGAUAUUCAUGGGAUUCAGGAUCCUUCUUAUUCACGUGUUUCGAGCCUUGAUUAAGUGUAGUGCCUGAACGAUACCUAGGGUUAAUGCUUUAUAAGUUAUGUGACUUGUUUUGAUUGAAUGUGUUGUAUUGCCUUGUUUUAUGAUUUAGAGGGGUUUAUGAUUUGCAUUAUUCUGUUUUGUGCUGUUUAUAUUUAUAUAGUUAUUUAGUGGCUAUAUUCUAUCAUUGAUUAGUUGAUUAUAUUGUUAUAGUUGAUUCGCUACGAACCAUGGAGGGUAGAAGAAGUCAAGCUAGGGGAACUAACCGAGGACGCGGUCCUAAUCGUAGCCGUGGGGGUAGACAAGCCCAGGAACCGGUACGAGAACCGAGAGAGAGGAAAGAGAGGCAACGGUUGAACCACAACCUGAACCCCAAGCUGCAGGGGGAGAUCAAGUGGCAACUGCCAUUCAGCAGAUGACUAACAUUCUGGCUCGGUUAGUGGAACAACAGGGUCAAGCCCCUGUACAUCAACCUAGGGACCCUAAUAAUGGGCAAGAUAGGGCCUUAGAGAGAUUCCAUAAGUUCUCUCCACCCAAAUUCCUAGGAAGGCCAGACCCGGAUGGGGCCGAGAAAUUGCUGGAGGCCAUGAUAAAUAUUUUUGCUGCCUUAAACUAUACGGAGGAGCGGCAAGUUCAAUUCGCUGUUUUCCAGUUCGAAAGGCCAGCUAGGGAUUGGUGGAACGUAGUGAGGGCCAAUUGGGAGAGAGAGGCGACUGCAUGGACCUGGUUAAAUUUCGUACGGGAAUUUAACGAAAAAUACCUUCCACCCAUCGUCCAGGAGAAGCGAGAGGACGAUUUCAUUAAAUUCCGCCAGGGAAUGUUGAGUGUAACUGAGUAUGAGACUCAGUUUACAAAGUUGUCUAAAUUUGCCCCUGAACUGAUAGCUACGGAGCAAAGAAAAGUACGGAGGUUUGUGCAAGGGCAAAAUGUGGAUUUACAAGAAGCCUUAGCUGCAGCUCAAAUUAACACGUUUACGGAAGUUUUGGAGAAGGCCCAACGAAUAGAAAUUGCUAGGGCACAAGUGAGGGCUUUUCAUGCAAAAAGGAGAGGUGCGCCUGGUGGAAGUCAUAGGCAAGGACAAGGUGAAGUAGAUAUGCCACCCUUUAAAAUAGGACGAGGAGAUGGUGGUGAGAAAACUUCAGGGUUGUGUAAGGAAAGUACUCCAAGGGGAGUUUCGCGUGGUUGGGGCCAAGCAAGAGGUGUCUAACAAGGAGGUCAGACCUCAGCCCCUCAAGUAUCUUGUGGGUACUGUGGGAAGGCCAAUCAUGUGGAGAAUGAUUGUUGGCGAAAGGCAGGAAAAUGUUUAUGGUGUGGUAGUACCGAGCACCAACUUGCAACCUGUCCCCGUAGAUCACACCUAAACCCUGAACAAGCGAAUGUAAGAGGGAACCACUCAAGAGUGCCAGCUAGAGUGUACGCCUUGGAACAAUAGACAUUACCUGAACCAUCGGAGAUAGUAGAAGGUACGAUGCGUGAUUUCUAUUGUUUAACUAAGUUUUGGCUAUAGUGAGACCUGAGAGCUAGAAACGGAUAUACAAGGAAAUACCCUAUGUUAUUUCGAAGUGCAUGUAUGAAUUUCAAAAACGAAAUUCUUUUAAGGAGGGGAGAUUGUGACACCCCGAAUAUUAGGAGGUUGUUUGUAAAGAAGAUACUAAAGUGUAUUUCUUUGAAUUUGAUUUAAAACCUUAUUUUGUUUUAAAAGACUAGAAACCCUAAUUUUAAUCACUGAAAUUGUAAAACCCUCACGUUUUUCUUAAAAAUUUCCUUUUAUUUGGAAAUUCAUUAUUUAUUAAAGUCCUACUACCCAAUCGUUCUACAAUAAGUGCAAAUAAAUCUAGAAAGUAGGGUUUCACUUUUGGUUUCAAGAUUGGAGCAAAAUUAGGGUUUUCGCGAUUUUUCGCCGGAUGAAUUUUCGGUACUGAGCAAGGAUCAAAUUUGGUGAUUAAAAGUGAAUUUUAAGUGAGAAAUAAUAUGUGAUUAGGGGCAAUGAUAUAGGAUUAGUGAAUAGGAAGUAAAAAUCCUAGUACGUGUAUUUUUAAGAAAAACGGUGCGAACCGACGGGUACCGUGCACUACCGAUUGAACGCACCACUUGACCACCACUUUCUUACCAUACAAGCUUAUUGAUAUUUGAGCAAAAUAUCUUCUUAAUUGUCAGCUGCCUUUGACCGAAAAUGGAGGCUAAAAUAACAAGGAAAAGGAAAGAGAAAAAUGAAAGGUGGUGGUGGCGACAAGUGUCGCCACCCUAGAGUUUCUUGACCAAGAGUUGGUUUUUCUUUUUAUCUCCAAAUUUUGCACUUUUCUCUUCAUUUUUUCUGCUGCUGGUAGACCAAUAGAGAGAGAGAAAGGGAGAGCAAAAGAAAACUUCUUUCUUCUUGAAUCUUAGCCAAAUCAAGUGAGAAAAUCGAUUUCCAAACCGAUUAAAGUGUUAAUUGUGAGUUGGGAAUUAGAGGAACUAGAAAUUUUCAAAGGAGGUGGAUUAUCACUCAUCCAAGCUUGUCUUUGAGGUAUUAAAUCUGAUCAUGGUCCUUGAUCUUUUAAAUCUUGCGUUAAGAUGUUAUUUAGCUUAAGUUUUGGCUUGAUUUCAAGAUGUGCAAGUGAUUGUGAUGAUUAUUGGAUGAAAUAAACAAGUUAUGGUUUUGGGGACUUGCUGCCAAACUUGAUGUAUGAUACAUGUAGGUUGUAUUUAAGGUUAUAUAAGGGGUUUUGGUUGUGUUGGAAGUAAGAAAUCAAGGAAGGUUGCAUUGAAUUCAAAAAAUUCCAGAUUUCUGGAAUUUCAGGAUUACAUUCUGUCCGAUUUUAAUACUCAUAGUUUGAGGCAAAAUUAGGCUUGGCCUAAAACAUGAAAGUUGUAGAGAAUGGUAUUUUAUAGAUUUUUACAAAAUUUCAGCUCAAUCGGAGUAACGUAGCCCAUGAAAAGACCAAAAUACCCUCACUAUUUUAAGGUUUUUCCCAGUAGUCCGUUUGGUUAGUUUAUCCAGUUUAUGACGUUUAUUCACCAGAAUCCGUACUGAUUUAGCUUUUUUCCAAAACAUGAAAGUUUUAGUAUUCUGACUUAGCUUUUAAACGCCUCAAAGAACACCUUAAUCGGACCUUGGUAACCUGAGAUAUGACCAUUCCAGUGCAAAGCAGUUAAAUAGCCGACUAGUUAGAUUUUGGUUCUGUAAAUUGAGGAUUUUACUAGGUUGCAUUGGAAAAUGGACUAAGUGAUCUUCAUGAACAUUGUAUCCCUGUGUCUUAGCUUCGAAACGGUAUAAGUUGCGUCUCAAUCCGAUAAGCGUAGCCUCGGAUGUGUUAUUUCCGCAACCACACGUCAAAUCUGUCUUUUGCUAGGUUACAUUUCUGCACUUGUUAUCACUUUGAUUUUGUUCGUAUGAUUGUUAUGAGCCUAUGGAACGGCUAUAUACUUGAAUCUAUGAUAUGUAUGACUUUGGGAUUGGCUGCUGGAAAAUUAGGUAAACACAAAGGGCAUGCUGCCCAAAUUUACGCUCGAGGACUAUAAAAAUACACUUGCGACUUGGGUCGAGUUGAUAUGAAUAGUACUUGAAUCAUCUAGGGUACUUGAGUCUUCUUGUUUCGAGGUAUAUAAGUAAGGAUUUGGCUGAACUUGUACCCUUGAAAAAUGCAAUCAUGAUUGCUCGAAGUAUGUUUUCCUUGUACUUCCAACUCGCAUGACAAUUUCAAGUAUAAAUAUUACAAAGUUUUACUGUUUAAAAAGGCAAGCAAGUGUUUCACGACUACUCUCCAAGUGAAUUCCAAUUUCUUGAUUUUUAUUGAAUGAAACGUCUAAGUUUCGAAUCUUAGUCAUGUUUCAAAGUUCUCAAACUGAGUUUUAUCGCAGAUUUGGACUCCGAACCCGGAGUAUAACCUGAAAGUGACCAGUAAAGGCACUAUAUCUUGUGGUGAGUGCUUUCAAAUACCGAAUUGCACUAGAUACUUGAACUUGAUACGUGACCAAUAUUAGUACAUGUUAUAUACGUGAAUUGAUAGGGCAAGAGUUUACUUUAUCGCACUUGCCCUUACGUGAUAUACUUUUUUAUUGAUUGCAAUUGACUUGAUAUACUUGUUUAUGAUGUGCGCACUUCCUGGAAUUCCAGAAACCCUGUGGCGAGUUACUCUAGUCGAGCCGGCAAGGGCUUGGUCGAUUGGGUAACGAACCCUGGGUCUCUUGUUUUGUCGAGUGGAGUGAUAUCUCCUCGACUAAUCGGUAUACUCGAGUAUUACCACCCGUGUUUAUUGAGAAUUUUGGGCCCAGCAGGGGGUGUGAAUGGUGGACGGAGAGUAGUGUAAGUGGUGCUCUAUUGGAUUGGUUCCUUUACUUGAAAGUUGAUGGAGUGUCAACUAUUACGUGAUCAAGCUCCUGAUGAUGAAAUGGGAAGUUGGCUCCUGAGAGCCAUCCGUAUCCUUAUGCUUUGGAAUGAUUAUUGUUUAUUGGAUUAUUGUUUCUUCUGAAAACUUUUACACUCGCUCAUUUUGAGAUUGCUACUUGAAGUGUUAUUGUUCACUUUUAUGAACUCUUCAUGCUCGUUACUUUGCUAUAUCGAAAACUUGUACUUAUAAAUAAUGGUCAAUUUGCUAUUUGGAACCUCACUGGGCUUUUAGCUCAUACCACGCUAUUUAUUUUCCUUACAGGGGGUACGAGCGAGGCGUGAGAGGUGUAAAGACUAGCGUAGUCUAGUUGUUUUUGACUUUUGACUUGAACUCGCGCUAUUCCUCGAAUAAAAUGUUUUAUAUAUUGAGGCUUUGUACCUUGAUUUUCAUCAAUGUAAAUUCUAAGCUUGAAUUGCGAUGUUAUUUAUGGUCCAUGAAUGAAUGCACGUGAUACGAGUGAGUGAGUCCUGGCGAGAGUUGGGCAGGCGACCCGCCGAAACCUCUGGUUCGCCUUAGGGUGAGGUGGGGCCGUCACAGAUGGUAUCAGAGCUCCUAUUGAGCUUGUGCCGGGAGAGGAUUCUCGGACUGUGGGGAUUGACUUGUUAAGUGUGGAACAAUUGUCUAUUGUUGUGGACCUUAGAUAUGUAUGUUGGGUAGGAAUCUCUAAUAUGGGUGAUUUGCUCUUGAGCCUGGCCAGCUUGAGUGGUGAAUUAUCAUAUUUUCGGAUUCUUGUCCCCGAAUACCAAAGAGUGACACCUUUACGAUAAGUUGAGAUCUCGCGUAAUAUUGGGAUAAGUUUGGAUUGUGAAAGCAAAGGCAAGGGGAAUGCGAAUAGCCUGGACUUGUAAUAUAUUGAAGAUAUUCAUGGGAUUCAGGAUCCUUCUUAUUCACGUGUUUCGAGCCUUGAUUAAGUGUAGUGCCUGAACGAUACCUAGGGUUAAUGCUUUAUAAGUUAUGUGAUUUGUUUUGAUUGAAUGUGUUGUAUUGCCUUGUUUUAUGAUUUAGAGGGGUUUAUGAUUUGCAUUAUUCUGUUUUGUGCUGUUUAUAUUUAUAUAGUUAUUUAGUGGCUAUAUUCUAUCAUUGAUUAGUUGAUUAUAUUGUUAUAGUUGAUUCGCUACGAACCAUGGAGGGUAGAAGAAGUCAAGUUAGGGGAACUAACCGAGGACGCGGUCCUAAUCGUAGCCGUGGGGGUAGACAAGCCCAGGAACCGGUACGAGAACCGAGAGAGAGGAAAGAGAGGCAACGGUUGAACCACAACCUGAACCCCAAGCUGCAGGGGGAGAUCAAGUGGCAACUGCCAUUCAGCAGAUGACUAACAUUCUGGCUCGGUUAGUGGAACAACAGGGUCAAGCCCCUGUACAUCAACCUAGGGACCCUAAUAAUGGGCAAGAUAGGGCCUUAGAGAGAUUCCAUAAGUUCUCUCCACCCAAAUUCCUAGGAAGGCCAGACCCGGAUGGGGCCGAGAAAUUGCUGGAGGCCAUGAUAAAUAUUUUUGCUGCCUUAAACUAUACGGAGGAGCGGCAAGUUCAAUUCGCUGUUUUCCAGUUCGAAAGGCCAGCUAGGGCUUGGUGGAACGUAGUGAGGGCCAAUUGGGAGAGAGAGGCGACUGCAUGGACCUGGUUAAAUUUCGUACGGGAAUUUAACGAAAAAUACCUUCCACCCAUCGUCCAGGAGAAGCGAGAGGACGAUUUCAUUAAAUUCCGCCAGGGAAUGUUGAGUGUAACUGAGUAUGAGACUCAGUUUACAAAGUUGUCUAAAUUUGCCCCUGAACUGAUAGCUACGGAGCAAAGAAAAGUACGGAGGUUUGUGCAAGGGCAAAAUGUGGAUUUACAAGAAGCCUUAGCGGCAGCUCAAAUUAACACGUUUACGGAAGUUUUGGAGAAGGCCCAACGAAUAGAAAUUGCUAGGGCACAAGUGAGGGCUUUUCAUGCAAAAAGGAGAGGUGCGCCUGGUGGAAGUCAUAGGCAAGGACAAGGUGAAGUAGAUAUGCCACCCUUUAAAAUAGGACGAGGAGAUGGUGGUGAGAAAACUUCAGGGUUGUCUAAGGAAAGUACUCCAAGGGGAGUUUCGCGUGGUUGGGGCCAAGCAAGAGGUGUCUAACAAGGAGGUCAGACCUCAGCCCCUCAAGUAUCUUGUGGGUACUGUGGGAAGGCCAAUCAUGUGGAGAAUGAUUGUUGGCGAAAGGCAGGAAAAUGUUUAUGGUGUGGUAGUACCGAGCACCAACUUGCAACCUGUCCCCGUAGAUCACACCUAAACCCUGAACAAGCGAAUGUAAGAGGGAACCACUCAAGAGUGCCAGCUAGAGUGUACGCCUUGGAACAAUAGACAUUACCUGAACCAUCGGAGAUAGUAGAAGGUACGAUGCGUGAUUUCUAUUGUUUAACUAAGUUUUGGCUAUAGUGAGACCUGAGAGCUAGAAACGGAUAUACAAGGAAAUACCCUAUGUUAUUUCGAAGUGCAUGUAUGAAUUUCAAAAACGAAAUUCUUUUAAGGAGGGGAGAUUGUGACACCCCGAAUAUUAGGAGGUUGUUUGUAAAGAAGAUACUAAAGUGUAUUUCUUUGAAUUUGAUUUAAAACCUUAUUUUGUUUUAAAAGACUAGAAACCCUAAUUUUAAUCACUGAAAUUGUAAAACCCUCACGUUUUUCUUAAAAAUUUCCUUUUAUUUGGAAAUUCAUUAUUUAUUAAAGUCCUACUACCCAAUCGUUCUACAAUAAGUGCAAAUAAACCUAGAAAGUAGGGUUUCACUUUUGGUUUCAAGAUUGGAGCAAAAUUAGGGUUUUCGCGAUUUUUCGCCGGAUGAAUUUUCGGUACUGAGCAAGGAUCAAAUUUGGUGAUUAAAAGUGAAUUUUAAGUGAGAAAUAAUAUGUGAUUAGGGGCAAUGAUAUAGGAUUAGUGAAUAGGAAGUAAAAAUCCUAGUACGUGUAUUUUUAAGAAAAACGGUGCGAACCGACGGGUACCGUGCACUACCGAUUGAACGCACCACUUGACCACCACUUUCUUACCAUACAAGCUUAUUGAUAUUUGAGCAAAAUAUCUUCUUAAUUGUCAGCUGCCUUUGACCGAAAAUGGAGGCUAAAAUAACAAGGAAAAGGAAAGAGAAAAAUGAAAGGUGGUGGUGGCGACAAGUGUCGCCACCCUAGAGUUUCUUGACCAAUAGUUGGUUUUUCUUUUUAUCUCCAAAUUUUGCACUUUUCUCUUCAUUUUUUCUGCUGCUGGUAGACCAAUAGAGAGAGAGAAAGGGAGAGCAAAAGAAAACUUCUUUCUUCUUGAAUCUUAGCCAAAUCAAGUGAGAAAAUCGAUUUCCAAACCGAUUAAAGUUUUAAUUGUGAGUUGGGAAGCUAGAGGAACUAGAAAUUUUCAAAGGAGGUGGAUUAUCACUCAUCCAAGAUUGUCUUUGAGGUAUUAAAUCUGAUCAUGGUCCUUGAUCUUUUAAAUCUUGCGUUAAGAUGUUAUUUAGCUUAAGUUUUGGCUUGAUUUCAAGAUGUGCAAGUGAUUGUGAUGAUUAUUGGAUGAAAUAAACAAGUUAGGGUUUUGGGGACUUGCUGCCAAACUUGAUGUAUGAUACAUAUAGGUUGUAUUUAAGGUUAUAUAAGGGGUUUUGGUAGUGUUGGAAGUAAGAAAUCAAGGAAGGUUGCAUUGAAUUCAAAAAAUUCCAGAUUUCUGGAAUUUCAGGAUUACAUUCUGUCCGAUUUUAAUACUCAUAGUUUGAGGCAAAAUUAGGCUUGGCCUAAAACAUGAAAGUUGUAGAGAAUGGUAUUUUAUAGAUGCUUACAAAAUUUCAGCUCAAUCGGAGUAACGUAGCCCAUGAAAAGACCAAAAUACCCUCACUAUUUUAAGGUUUUUCCCAGUAGUCCGUUUGGUUAGUUUAUCCAGUUUAUGACGUUUAUUCACCAGAAUCCGUACUGAUUUAGCUUUUUGCCAAAACAUGAAAGUUUUAGUAUUCUGACUGAGCUUUUAAACGCCUCCAAGAACACCUUAAUCGGACCUUGGUAACCUGAGAUAUGACCAUUCCAGUGCAGAGCGGUUAAAUAGCCGACUAGUUAGAUUUUGGUUCUGUAAAUUGAGGAUUUUACUAGGUUGCAUUGGAAAAUGGACUAAGUGAUCUUCAUGAACAUUGUAGCCCUGUGUCUUAGCUUCAAAACGGUAUAAGUUGCGCCUCAAUCCGAUAAGCGUAGCCUCGGAUGUGUUAUUUCCGCAACCACACGUCAAAUCUGUCUUUUGCUAGGUUACAUUUCUGCACUUGUUAUCACUUUGAUUUUGUUCGUAUGAUUGUUAUGAGCCUAUGGAACGGCUAUAUACUUGAAUCUAUGAUAUGUAUGACUUUGGGAUUGGCUGCUGGAAAAUUAGGUAAACACAAAGGGCAUGCUGCCCAAAUUUACGCUCGAGGACUAUAAAAAUACACUUGCGACUUGGGUCGAGUUGAUAUGAAUAGUACUUGAAUCAUCUAUGGUACUUGAGUCUUCUUGUUUCGAGGUAUAUAAGUAAGGAUUUGGCCGAACUUGUACCCUUGAAAAAUGCAAUCAUGAUUGCUCGAAGUAUGUUUUCCUUGUACUUCCAACUCGCAUGACAAUUUCAAGUAUAAAUAUUACAAAGUUUUACUGUUUAAAAAGGCAAGCAAGUGUUUCACGACUACUCUCCAAGUGAAUUCCAAUUUCUUGAUUUUUAUUGAAUGAAACGUCUAAGUUUCGAAUCUUAGUCAUGUUUCAAAGUUCUCAAACUGAGUUUUAUCGCAGAUUUGGACUCCGAACCCGGAGUAUAACCUGAAAGUGACCAGUAAAGGCACUAUAUCUUGUGGUGAGUGCUUUCAAAUACCGAAUUGCACUAGAUAUUUGAACUUGAUACGUGACCAAUAUUAGUACAUGUUAUAUACGUGAAUUGAUAGGGCAAGAGUUUACUUUAUCGCACUUGCCCUUACGUGAUAUACUUUUUUAUUGAUUGCAAUUGACUUGAUAUACUUAUUUAUGAUGUGCGCACUUCCUGGAAUUCCAGAAACCCUGUGGCGAGUUACUCUAGUCGAGCCGGCAAGGGCUUGCUCGAUUGGGUAACGAACCCUGGGUCUCUUGUUUUGUCGAGUGGAGUGAUAUUUCCUCGACUAAUCGGUAUAUUCGAUUAUUACCACCCGUGUUUAUUGAGAAUUUUGGGCCCAACAGGGGGUGUGAAUGGUGGACGGAGAGUAGUGUAAGUGGUGCUCUAUUGGAUUGGUUCCUUUACUUGAAAGUUGAUGGAGUGUCAACUAUUACGUGAUCAAGCUCCUGAUGAUGAAAUGGGAAGUUGGCUCCUGAGAGCCAUCCGUAUCCUUAUGCUUUGGAAUGAUUAUUGUUUAUUGGAUUAUUGUUUCUUCUGAAAACUUUUACACUCGCUCAUUUUGAGAUUGCUACUUGAAGUGUUAUUGUUCACUUUUAUGAACUCUUUAUGCUCGUUACUUUGCUAUAUCGAAAACUUGUACUUAUAAAUAAUGGUCAAUUUGUUAUUUGGAACCUCACUGGGCUUUUAGCUCAUACCACGCUAUUUAUUUUCCUUACAGGGGGUACGAGCGAGGCGUGAGAGGUGUAAAGACUAGCUUAGUCUAGUUGUUUUUGACUUUUGACUUGAACUCGCGCUAUUCCUCGAAUAAAAUGUUUUAUAUAUUGAGGCUUUGUACCUUGAUUUUCAUCAAGGUAAAUUCUAAGCUUGAAUUGCGAUGUUAUUUAUGGUCCAUGAAUGAAUGCACGUGAUACGAGUGAGUGAGUCCUGGCGAGAGUUGGGCAGGCGACCCGCCGAAACCUCUGGUUCGCCUUAGGGUGAGGUGGGACCGUCACAGAUGGUAUCAGAGCUCCUAUUGAGCUUGUGCCGGGAGAGGAUUCUCGGACUGUGGGGAUUGACUUGUUAAGUGUGGAACAAUUGUCUAUUGUUGUGGACCUUAUAUAUGUAUGUUGGGUAGGAAUCUCUAAUAUGGGUGAUUUGCUCUUGAGCCUGGCCAGCUUGAGUGGUGAAUUAUCAUAUUUUCGGAUUCUUGUCCCCGAAUACCAAAGAGUGACACCUUUACGAUAAGUUGAGAUCUCGAGUAAUAUUGGGAUAAGUUUGGAUUGUGAAAGCAAAGGCAAGGGGAAUGCGAAUAGCCUGGACUUGUAAUAUAUUGAAGAUAUUCAUGGGAUUCAGGAUCCUUCUUAUUCACGUGUUUCGAGCCUUGAUUAAGUGUAGUGCCUGAACGAUACCUAGGGUUAAUGCUUUAUAAGUUAUGUGACUUGUUUUGAUUGAAUGUGUUGUAUUGCCUUGUUUUAUGAUUUAGAGGGGUUUAUGAUUUGCAUUAUUCUGUUUUGUCCUGUUUAUAUUUAUAUAGUUAUUUAGUGGCUAUAUUCUAUCAUUGAUUAGUUGAUUAUAUUGUUAUAGUUGAUUCGCUACGAACCAUGGAGGGUAGAAGAAGUCAAGCUAGGGGAACUAACCGAGGACGCGGUCCUAAUCGUAGCCGUGGGGGUAGACAAGCCCAGGAACCGGUACAAGAACCGAGAGAGGAAAGAGAGGCAACGGUUGAACCACAACCUGAACCCCAAGCUGCAGGGGGAGAUCAAGUGGCAACUGCCAUUCAGCAGAUGACUAACAUUCUGGCUCGGUUAGUGGAACAACAGGGUCAAGCCCCUGUACAUCAACCUAGGGACCCUAAUAAUGGGCAAGAUAGGGCCUUAGAGAGAUUCCAUAAGUUCUCUCCACCCAAAUUUCUAGGAAGGCCAGACCCGGAUGGGGCCGAGAAAUGGCUGGAGGCCAUGAUAAAUAUUUUUGCUGCCUUAAACUAUACGGAGGAGCGGCAAGUUCAAUUCGCUGUUUUCCAGUUCGAAAGGCCAGCUAGGGCUUGGUGGAACGUAGUGAGGGCCAAUUGGGAGAGAGAGGCGACUGCAUGGACCUGGUUAAAUUUCGUACGGAAAUUUAACGAAAAAUACCUUCCACCCAUCGUCCAGGAGAAGCGAGAGGACGAUUUCAUUAAAUUCCGCCAGGGAAUGUUGAGUGUAACUGAGUAUGAGACUCAGUUUACAAAGUUGUCUAAAUUUGCCCCUGAACUGAUAGCUACGGAGCCAAGAAAAGUACGGAGGUUUGUGCAAGGGCAAAAUGUGGAUUUACAAGAAGCCUUAGCGGCAGCUCAAAUUAACACGUUUACGGAAGUUUUGGAGAAGGCCCAACGAAUAGAAAUUGCUAGGGCACAAGUGAGGGCUUUUCAUGCAAAAAGGAGAGGUGCGCCUGGUGGAAGUCAUAGGCAAGGACAAGGUGAAGUAGAUAUGCCACCCUUUAAAAUAGGACGAGGAGAUGGUGGUGAGAAAACUUCAGGGUUGUCUAAGGAAAGUACUCCAAGGGGAGUUUCGCGUGGUUGGGGCCAAGCAAGAGGUUUCUAACAAGGAGGUCAGACCUCAGCCCCUCAAGUAUCUUGUGGGUACUGUGGGAAGGCCAAUCAUGUGGAGAAUGAUUGUUGGCGAAAGGCAGGAAAAUGUUUACGGUGUGGUAGUACCGAGCACCAACUUGCAACCUGUCCCCGUAGAUCACACCUAAACCCUGAACAAGCGAAUGUAAGAGGGAACCACUCAAGAGUGCCAGCUAGAGUGUACGCCUUGGAAAAAUAGACAUUACCUGAACCAUCGGAGAUAGUAGAAGGUACGAUGCGUGAUUUCUAUUGUUUAACUAAGUUUUGGCUAUAGUGAGACCUGAGAGCUAGAAACGGAUAUACAAGGAAAUACCCUAUGUUAUUUCGAAGUGCAUGUAUGAAUUUCAAAAAUGAAAUUCUUUUAAGGAGGGGAGAUUGUGACACCCCGAAUAUUAGGAGGUUGUUUGUAAAGAAGAUACUAAAGUGUAUUUCUUUGAAUUUGAUUUAAAACCUUAUUUUGUUUUAAAAGACUAGAAACCCUAAUUUUAAUCACUGAAAUUGUAAAACCCUCACGUUUUUCUUAAAAAUUUCCUUUUAUUUGGAAAUUCAUUAUUUAUUAAAGUCCUACUACCCAAUCGUUCUACAAUAAGUGCAAAUAAAUCUAGAAAGUAGGGUUUCACUUUUGGUUUCAAGAUUGGAGCAAAAUUAGGGUUUUCGCGAUUUUUCGCCGGAUGAAUUUUCGGUACUGAGCAAGGAUCAAAUUUGGUGAUUAAAAGUGAAUUUUAAGUGAGAAAUAAUAUGUGAUUAGGGGCAAUGAUAUAGGAUUAGUGAAUAGGAAGUAAAAAUCCUAGUACGUGUAUUUUUAAGAAAAACGGUGCGAACCGACGGGUACCGUGCACUACCGAUUGAACGCACCACUUGACCACCACUUUCUUACCAUACAAGCUUAUUGAUAUUUGAGCAAAAUAUCUUCUUAAUUGUCAGCUGCCUUUGACCGAAAAUGGAGGCUAAAAUAACAAGGAAAAGGAAAGAGAAAAAUGAAAGGUGGUGGUGGCGACAAGUGUCGCCACCCUAGAGUUUCUUGACCAAGAGUUGGUUUUUCUUUUUAUCUCCAAAUUUUGCACUUUUCUCUUCAUUUUUUCUGCUGCUGGUAGACCAAUAGAGAGAGAGAAAGGGAGAGCAAAAGAAAACUUCUUUCUUCUUGAAUCUUAGCCAAAUCAAGUGAGAAAAUCGAUUUCCAAGCCGAUUAAAGUGUUAAUUGUGAGUUGGGAAGCUAGAGGAACUAGAAAUUUUCAAAGGAGGUGGAUUAUCACUCAUCCAAGCUUGUCUUUGAGGUAUUAAAUCUGAUCAUGGUCCUUGAUCUUUUAAAUCUUGCGUUAAGAUGUUAUUUAGUUUAAGUUUUGGCUUGAUUUCAAGAUGUGCAAGUGAUUGUGAUGAUUAUUGGAUGAAAUAAACAAGUUAGGGUUUUGGGGACUUGCUGCCAAACUUGAUGUAUGAUACAUAUAGGUUGUAUUUAAGGUUAUAUAAUGGGUUUUGGUAGUGUUGGAAGUAAGAAAUCAAGGAAGGUUGCAUUGAAUUCAAAAAAUUCCAGAUUUCUGGAAUUUCAGGAUUACAUUCUGUCCGAUUUUAAUACUCACAGUUAGAGGCAAAAUUAGGCUUGGCAAAAAACAUGAAAGUUGUAGAUAAUGGUAUUUUAUAGAAGCUUACAAAAUUUUAGCUCAAUCGGAGUAACGUAGCCCAUGAAAAGACCAAAAUACCCUCACUAUUUUAAGGUUUUUCCCAGUAGUCCGUUUGGUUAGUUUAUCCAGUUUAUGACGUUUAUUCACCAGAAUCCGUACUGAUUUAGCUUUUUGCCAAAACAUGAAAGUUUUAGUAUUCUGACUUAGCUUUUAAACGCCUCUAAGAACACCUUAAUCGGACCUUGGUAACCUUAGAUAUGACCAUUCCAGUGCAGAGCGGUUAAAUAGCCGACUAGUUAGAUUUUGGUUCUGUAAAUUGAGGAUUUUACUAGGUUGCAUUGGUAAAUGGACUAAGUGAUCUUCAUGAACAUUGUAGCCCUGUGUCUUAGCUUCGAAACGGUAUAAGUUGCGCCUCAAUCCGAUAAGCGUAGCCUCAGAUGUGUUAUUUCCGCAACCACACGUCAAAUCUGUCUUUUGCUAGGUUACAUUUCUGCACUUGUUAUCACUUUGAUUUUGUUCGUAUGAUUGUUAUGAGCCUAUGGAACGGCUAUAUACUUGAAUCUAUGAUAUGUAUGACUUUGGGAUUGGCUGCUGGAAAAUUAGGUAAACACAAAGGGCAUGCUGCCCAAAUUUACGCUCGAGAACUAUAAAAAUACACUUGCGACUUGGGUCGAGUUGAUAUGAAUAGUACUUGAAUCAUCUAGGGUACUUGAGUCUUCUUGUUUCGAGGUAUAUAAGUAAGGAUUUGGCCGAACUUGUACCCUUGAAAAAUGCAAUCAUGAUUGCUCGAAGUAUGUUUUCCUUGUACUUCCAACUCGCAUGACAAUUUCAAGUAUAAAUAUUACAAAGUUUUACUGUUUAAAAAGGCAAGAAAGUGUUUCACGACCACUCUCCAAGUGAAUUCCAAUUUCUUGAUUUUUAUUGAAUGAAACGUCUAAGUUUCGAAUCUUAGUCAUGUUUCAAAGUUCUCAAACUGAGUUUUAUCGCAGAUUUGGACUCCGAACCCGGAGUAUAACCUGAAAGUGACCAGUAAAGGCACUAUAUCUUGUGGUGAGUGCUUUCAAAUACUGAAUUGCACUAGAUACUUGAACUUGAUACGUGACCAAUAUGAGUGCAUGUUAUAUACGUGAAUUGAUAGGGCAAGAGUGUACUUUAUCGCACUUGCCCUUACGUGAUAUACUUGUUUAUUGAUUGCAAUUGACUUGAUAUACUUGUUUAUGAUGUGCGCACUUCCUGGAAUACCAGAAACCCUGUGACGAGUUACUCUAGUCGAGCCGGCAAGGGCUUGGUCGAUUGGGUAACGAACACUGGGUCUCUUGUUUUGUCGAGUGGAGUGAUAUCUCCUCGACUAAUCGGUAUACUCGAGUAUUACCACCCGUUUUUAUUGAGAAUUUUGGGCCCAGCAGGGGGUGUGAAUGGUGGACGGAGAGUAGUGUAAGUGGUGCUCUACUGGAUUGGUUCCUUUACUUGAAAGUUGAUGGAGUGUCAACUAUUACGUGAUCAAGCUCCUGAUGAUGAAAUGGGAAGUUGGCUCCUGAGAGCCAUCCGUAUCCUUAUGCUUUGGAAUGAUUAUUGUUUAUUGGAUUAUUGUUUCUUCUGAAAACUUUUACACUCGCUCAUUUUGAGAUUGCUACUUGAAGUGUUAUUGUUCACUUUUAUGAACUCUUCAUGCUCGUUACUUUGCUAUAUCGAAAACUUGUACUUAUAAAUAAUGGUCAAUUUGCUAUUUGGAACUUCACUGGGCUUUUAGCUCAUACCACGCUAUUUAUUUUCCUUACAGGGGGUACGAGCGAGGCGUGAGAGGUGUAAAGACUAGCGUAGUCUAGUUAUUUUUUAUUUUUGACUUUUGACUUGUACUCGCGCUAUUCCUCGAAUAAAAUGUUUUAUAUAUUGAGGCUUUGUACCUUGAUUUUCAUCAAUGUAAAUUCUAAACUUGAAUUGCGAUGUUAUUUAUGGUCCAUGAAUGAAUACACGUGAUACGAGUGAGUGAGUCCUGGCGAGAGUUGGGCAGGCGACCCGCCGAAACCUCUGGUUCGCCUUAGGGUGAGGUGGGGCCGUCACAGAUGGUAUCAGAGCUCCUAUUGAGCUCGUGCCGGGAGAGGAUUCUCGGACUGUGGGGAUUGACUUGUUAAGUGUGGAACAAUUGUCUAUUGUUGUGGACCUUAGAUAUGUAUGUUGGGUAGGAAUUUCUAAUAUGGGUGAUUUGCUCUUGAGCCUGGCCAGCUUGAGUGGUGAAUUAUCAUAUUUUCGGAUUCUUGUCCCCGAAUACCAAAGAGUGACACCUUUACGAUAAGUUGAGAUCUCGCGUAAUAUUGGGAUAAUUUUGGAUUGUGAAAGCAAAGGCAAGGGGAAUGCGAAUAGCCUGGACUUGUAAUAUAUUGAAGAUAUUCAUGGGAUUCAGGAUCCUUCUUAUUCACGUGUUUCGAGCCUUGAUUAAGUGUAGUGCCUGAACGAUACCUAGGGUUAAUGCUUUAUAAGUUAUGUGACUUGUUUUGAUUGAAUGUGUUGUAUUGCCUUGUUUUACGAUUUAGAGGGGUUUAUGAUUUACAUUAUUCUGUUUUGUGCUGUUUAUAUUUAUAUAGUUAUUUAGUGGCUAUAUUCUAUCAUUGAUUAGUUGAUUAUAUUGUUAUAGUUGAUUCGCUACGAACCAUGGAGGGUAGAAGAAGUCAAGCUAGGGGAACUAACCGAGGACGCGGUCCUAGUCGUAGCCGUGGGGUAGACAAGCCCAGGAACCGGUAUGAGAACCGAGAGAGGAAAGAGAGGCAACGGUUGAACCACAACCUGAACCCCAAGCUGCAGGGGGAGAUCAAGUGGCAACUGCCAUUCAGCAGAUGACUAACAUUCUGGCUCGGUUAGUGGAACAACAGGGUCAAGCCCCUGUACAUCAACCUUGGGACCCUAAUAAUGGGCAAGAUAGGGCCUUAGAGAGAUUCCAUAAAUUCUCUCCACCCAAAUUCCUAGGAGGGCCAGACCCGGAUGGGGCCGAGAAAUGGCUGGAGGCCAUGAUAAAUAUUUUUGCUGCCCUAAACUAUACGGAGGAGCAGCAAGUUCAAUUCGCUGUUUUCCAGUUCGAAAGGCCAGCUAGGGCUUGGUGGAACGUAGUGAGGGCCAAGUGGGAGAGAGAGGCGACUGCAUGGACCUGGUUAAAUUUCGUACGGGAAUUUAACGAAAAAUACCUUCCACCCAUCGUCCAGGAGAAGUGAGGGGAUGAUUUCAUUAAAUUCCGCCAGGGAAUGUUGAGUGUAACUGAGUAUGAGACUCAGUUUACAAAGUUGUCCAAAUUUGCCCCUGAACUGAUAGCUACGGAGCAAAGAAAAGUACGGAGGUUUGUGCAAGGGCAAAAUGUGGAUUUACAAGAAGCCUUAGCGGCAGCUCAAAUUAACACGUUUACGGAAGUUUUGGAGAAGGCCCAUCAAAUAGAAAUUGGUAGGGCACAAGUGAGGGCUUUUCAUGCAAAAAGGAGAGGUGCGCCUGGUGGAAGUCAUAGGCAAGGACAAGGUGAAUUGGAUAUGCCACCCUUUAAAAUAGGACGAGGAGAUGGUGGUGAGAAAACUUCAGGGAUGUCUAAGGAAAGUACUCCAAGCGGAGCUUCGCGUGGUUGGGGCCAAGCUAGAGGUGUCUCACAAGGAGGUCAGACCUAAACCCCUCAAGUAUCUUGUGGGUACUGUGGGAAGGCCAAUCAUGUGGAGAAUGAUUGUUGGCGAAAGGCAGGAAAAUGUUUAUGGUGUGGUAGUACCGAGCACCAACUUGCAACCUGUCCCCGUAGAUCACACCUAAACCCUGAACAAGCGAAUGUAAGAGGGAACCACUCAAGAGUGCCAGCUAGAGUGUACGCCUUGGAACAACAGACAUUACCUGAACCAUCGGAGAUAGUAGAAGGUACGAUGCGUGAUUUCUAUUGUUUAACUAAGUUUUGGCUAUAGUGAGACCUGAGAGCUAGAAACGGAUAUACAAGGAAAUACCCUAUGUUAUUUCGAAGUGCAUGUAUGAAUUUCGAGAACGAAAUUCUUUUAAGGAGGGGAGAUUGUGACACCCCGAAUAUUAGGAGGUUGUUUGUAAAGAAGAUACUAAAGUGUAUUUCUUUGAAUUUGAUUUAAAACCUUAUUUUGUUUUAAAAGACUAGAAACCCUAAUUUUAAUCACUGAAAUUGUAAAACCCUCAGGUUUUUCUUAAAAAUUCCUUUUAUUUGGAAAUUCAUUAUUUAUUAAAGUCCUACUACCCAAUCGUUCUACAAUAAGUGCAAAUAAACCUAGAAAGUAGGGUUUCACUUUUGGUUUCAAGAUUGGAGCAAAAUUAGGGUUUUCGCGAUUUUUCGCCGGAUGAAUUUUCGGUACUGAGCAAGGAUCAAAUUUCGUGAUUAAAAGUGAAUUUUAAGUGAGAAAUAAUAUGUGAUUAGGGGCAAUGAUAUACGAUUAGUGAAUAUGAAGUAAAAAUCCUAGUACGUGUGUUUUUAAGAAAAACGGUGCGAACCGACGGGUACCGUGCACUACCGAUUGAACGCACCACUUGACCACCACUUUCUUACCAUACAAGCUUAUUGAUAUUUGAGCAAAAUAUCUUCUUAAUUGCCAGCUGCCUUUGACCGAAAAUUGAGGCUAAAAUAACAAGGAAAAGGAAAGAGAAAAAUGAAAGGUGGUGGUGGCUACAAGUGUCGCCACCCUAGAGUUUCUUGACCAAGAGUUGGUUUUUCUUUUUAUCUCCAAAUUUUGCACUUUUCUCUUCAUUUUUUCUGCUGCUGGUAGACCAAUAGAGAGAGAGAAAGGGAGAGCAAAAGAAAACUUCUUUCUUCUUGAAUCUUAGCCAAAUCAAGUGAGAAAAUCGAUUUCCAAACCGAUUAAAGUGUUAAUUGUGAGUUGGGAAGCUAGAGGAACUAGAAAUUUUCAAAGGAGGUGGAUUAUCACUCAUCCAAGCUUGUCUUUGAGGUAUUAAAUCUGAUCAUGGUCCUUGAUCUUUUAAAUCUUGCGUUAAGAUGUUAUUUAGCUUAAGUUUUGGCUUGAUUUCAAGAUGUGCAAGUGAUUGUGAUGAUUAUUGGAUGAAAUAAACAAGUUAGGGUUUUGGGGACUUGCUGCCAAACUUGAUGUAUGAUACAUAUAGGUUGUAUUUAAGGUUAUAUAAGGGGUUUUGGUAGUGUUGGAAGUAAGAAAUCAAGGAAGGUUGCAUUGAAUUCAAAAAAUUCCAGAUUUCUGGAAUUUCAGGAUUACAUUCUGUCCGAUUUUAAUACUCAUAGUUAGAGGCAAAAUUAGGCUUGGCCUAAAACAUGAAAGUUGUAGAGAAUGGUAUUUUAUAGAGCUUACAAAAUUUCAGCUCAAUCGGAGUAACGUAGCCCAUGAAAAGACCAAAAUACCCUCACUAUUUUAAGGUUUUUCCCAGUAGUCCGUUUGGUUAGUUUAUCCAGUUUAUGACGUUUAUUCACCAGAAUCCGUACUGAUUUAGCUUUUUUCCAAAACAUGAAAGUUUUAGUAUUCUGACUUAGCUUUUAAACGCCUCAAAGAACACCUUAAUCGGACCUUGGUAACCUGAGAUAUGACCAUUCCAGUGCAGAGCGGUUAAAUAGCCGACUAGUUAGAUUUUGGUUCUGUAAAUUGAGGAUUUUACUAGGUUGCAUUGGAAAAUGGACUAAGUGAUCUUCAUGAACAUUGUAGCCCUGUGUCUUAGCUUCGAAACGGUAUAAGUUGCGUCUCAAUCCGAUAAGCGUAGCCUCGGAUGUGUUAUUUCCGCAACCACACGUCAAAUCUGUCUUUUGCUAGGUUACAUUUCUGCACUUGUUAUCACUUUGAUUUUGUUCGUAUGAUUGUUAUGAGCCUAUGGAACGGCUAUAUACUUGAAUCUAUGAUAUGUAUGACUUUGGGAUUGGCUGCUGGAAAAUUAGGUAAACACAAAGGGCAUGCUGCCCAAAUUUACGCUCGAGGACUAUAAAAAUACACUUGCGACUUGGGUCGAGUUGAUAUGAAUAGUACUUGAAUCAUCUAGGGUACUUGAGUCUUCUUGUUUCGAGGUAUAUAAGUAAGGAUUUGGCUGAACUUGUACCCUUGAAAAAUGCAAUCAUGAUUGCUCGAAGUAUGUUUUCCUUGUACUUCCAACUCGCAUGACAAUUUCAAGUAUAAAUAUUACAAAGUUUUACUGUUUAAAAAGGCAAGCAAGUGUUUCACGACUACUCUCCAAGUGAAUUCCAAUUUCUUGAUUUUUAUUGAAUGAAACGUCUAAGUUUCGAAUCUUAGUCAUGUUUCAAAGUUCUCAAACUGAGUUUUAUCGCAGAUUUGGACUCCGAACCCGGAGUAUAACCUGAAAGUGACCAGUAAAGGCACUAUAUCUUGUGGUGAGUGCUUUCAAAUACCGAAUUGCACUAGAUACUUGAACUUGAUACGUGACCAAUAUGAGUACAUGUUAUAUACGUGAAUUGAUAGGGCAAGAGUGUACUUUAUCGCACUUGCCCUUACGUGAUAUACUUUUUAUUGAUUGCAAUUGACUUGAUAUACUUGUUUAUGAUGUGCGCACUUCCUGGAAUUCCAGAAACCCUGUGGCGAGUUACUCUAGUCGAGCCGGCAAGGGCUUGGUCGAUUGGGUAACGAACCCUGGGUCUCUUGUUUUGUCGAGUGGAGUGAUAUCUCCUCGACUAAUCGGUAUACUCGAGUAUUACCACCCGUGUUUAUUGAGAAUUUUGGGCCCAGCAGGGGGUGUGAAUGGUGGACGGAGAGUAGUGUAAGUGGUGCUCUAUUGGAUUGGUUCCUUUACUUGAAAGUUGAUGGAGUGUCAACUAUUACGUGAUCAAGCUCCUGAUGAUGAAAUGGGAAGUUGGCUCCUGAGAGCCAUCCGUAUCCUUAUGCUUUGGAAUGAUUAUUGUUUAUUGGAUUAUUGUUUCUUCUGAAAACUUUUACACUCGCUCAUUUUGAGAUUGCUACUUGAAGUGUUAUUGUUCACUUUUAUGAACUCUUCAUGCUCGUUACUUUGCUAUAUCGAAAACUUGUACUUAUAAAUAAUGGUCAAUUUGCUAUUUGGAACUUCACUGGGCUUUUAGCUCAUACCACGCUAUUUAUUUUCCUUACAGGGGGUACGAGCGAGGCGUGAGAGGUGUAAAGACUAGCGUAGUCUAGUUGUUUUUGACUUUUGACUUGUACUCGCGCUAUUCCUCGAAUAAAAUGUUUUAUAUAUUGAGGCUUUGUACCUUGAUUUUCAUCAAUGUAAAUUCUAAACUUGAAUUGCGAUGUUAUUUAUGGUCCAUGAAUGAAUGCACGUGAUACGAGUGAGUGAGUCCUGGCGAGAGUUGGGCAGGCGACCCGCCGAAACCUCUGGUUCGCCUUAGGGUGAGGUGGGGCCGUCACAGAUGGUAUCAGAGCUCCUAUUGAGCUCGUGCCGGGAGAGGAUUCUCGGACUGUGGGGAUUGACUUGUUAAGUGUGGAACAAUUGUCUAUUGUUGUGGACCUUAGAUAUGUAUGUUGGGUAGGAAUUUCUAAUAUGGGUGAUUUGCUCUUGAGCCUGGCCAGCUUGAGUGGUGAAUUAUCAUAUUUUCGGAUUCUUGUCCCCGAAUACCAAAGAGUGACACCUUUACGAUAAGUUGAGAUCUCGCGUAAUAUUGGGAUAAUUUUGGAUUGUGAAAGCAAAGGCAAGGGGAAUGCGAAUAGCCUGGACUUGUAAUAUAUUGAAGAUAUUCAUGGGAUUCAGGAUCCUUCUUAUUCACGUGUUUCGAGCCUUGAUUAAGUGUAGUGCCUGAACGAUACCUAGGGUUAAUGCUUUAUAAGUUAUGUGACUUGUUUUGAUUGAAUGUGUUGUAUUGCCUUGUUUUACGAUUUAGAGGGGUUUAUGAUUUGCAUUAUUCUGUUUUGUGCUGUUUAUAUUUAUAUAGUUAUUUAGUGGCUAUAUUCUAUCAUUGAUUAGUUGAUUAUAUUGUUAUAGUUGAUUCGCUACGAACCAUGGAGGGUAGAAGAAGUCAAGUUAGGGAAACUAACCGAGGACGCGGUCCUAGUCGUAGCCGUGGGGGUAGACAAGCCCAGGAACCGGUACGAGAACCGAGAGAGGAAAGAGAGGCAACGGUUGAACCACAACCUGAACCCCAAGCUGCAGGGGGAGAUCAAGUGGCAACUGCCAUUCAGCAGAUGACUAACAUUCUGGCUCGGUUAGUGGAACAACAGGGUCAAGCCCCUGUACAUCAACCUUGGGACCCUAAUAAUGGGCAAGAUAGGGCCUUAGAGAGAUUCCAUAAGUUCUCUCCACCCAAAUUCCUAGGAGGGCCAGACCCGGAUGGGACCGAGAAAUGGCUGGAGGCCAUGAUAAAUAUUUUUGCUGCCCUAAACUAUACGGAGGAGCGGCAAGUUCAAUUCGCUGUUUUCCAGUUCGAAAGGCCAGCUAGGGCUUGGUGGAACGUAGUGAGGGCCAAGUGGGAGAGAGAGGCGACUGCAUGGACCUGGUUAAAUUUCGUACGGGAAUUUAACGAAAAAUACCUUUCACCCAUCGUCCAGGAGAAGCGAGAGGACGAUUUCAUUAAAUUCCGCCAGGGAAUGUUGAGUGUAACUGAGUAUGAGAUUCAGUUUACAAAGUUGUCCAAAUUUGCCCCUGAACUGAUAGCUACGGAGCAAAGAAAAGUACGGAGGUUUGUGCAAGGGCUAAAUGUGGAGUUACAAGAAGCCUUAGCGGCAGCUCAAAUUAACACGUUUACGGAGGUUUUGGAGAAGGCCCAACGAAUAGAAAUUGCUAGGGCACAAGUGAGGGCUUUUCAUGCAAAAAGGAGAGGUGCGCCUGGUGGAAGUCAUAGGCAAGGACAAGGUGAAUUAGAUAUGCCACCCUUUAAAAUAGGACGAGGAGAUGGUGGUGAGAAAACUUCAGGGAUGUCUAAGGAAAGUACUCCAAGGGGAGCUUCGCGUGGUUGGGGCCAAGCAAGAGGUGUCUCACAAGGAGGUCAGUCCUCAGCCCCUUAAGUAUCUUGUGGGUACUGUGGGAAGGCCAAUCAUGUGGAGAAUGAUUGUUGGCGAAAGGCAGGAAAAUGUUUAUGGUGUGGUAGUACCGAGCACCAACUUGCAACCUGUCCCCGUAGAUCACACCUAAACCCUGAACAAGCGAAUGUAAGAGGGAACCACUCAAGAGUGCCAGCUAGAGUGUACGCCUUGGAACAACAGACAUUACCUGAACCAUCGGAGAUAGUAGAAGGUACGAUGCGUGAUUUCUAUUGUUUAACUAAGUUUUGGCAAUAGUGAGACCUGAGAGUUAGAAACGGAUAUACAAGGAAAUACCCUAUGUUAUUUCGAAGUGCAUGUAUGAAUUUCGAGAACGAAAUUCUUUUAAGGAGGGGAGAUUGUGACACCCCGAAUAUUAGGAGGUUGUUUGUAAAGAAGAUACUAAAGUGUAUUUCUUUGGAUUUGUUUUAAAAGACUAGAAACCCUAAUUUUAAUCACUGAAAUUGUAAAACCCUCACUUUUUUCGUAAAAAUUUCCUUUUAUUUGGAAAUUCAUUAUUUAUUAAAGCCCUACUACCUAAUCGUUCUACAAUAAGUGCAAAUAAACCUAAAAAGUAGGAUUUCACUUUUGGUUUCAAGAUUGGAGCAAAAUUAGGGUUUUCGCGAUUUUUCGCCGGAUGAAUUUUCGGUACUGAGCAAGGAUCAAAUUUGGUGAUUAAAAGUGACUUUUAAGUGAGAAAUAAUAUGUGAUUAGGGGAAAUGAUAUAAGAUUAGUGAAUAGGAAGUAAAAAUCCUAGUACGUGUGUUUUUAAGAAAAACGGUGCGAACCGACGGGUACCGUGCACUACCGAUUGAACGCACCACUUGACCACCACUUUCUUACCAUACAAGCUUAUUGAUAUUUGAGCAAAAUAUCUUCUUAAUUGUCAGCUGCCUUUGACCGAAAAUUAAGGAUAAAAUAACAAGGAAAAGGAAAGAGAAAAAUGAAAGGUGGUGGUGGCGACACUCGUCGCCACCCUAGAGUUUCUUAACCAAGAGUUGGUUUUUCUUUUAUCUCCAACUUUUGCACUUUCCUCUUCUUUUUUUCUGCUGCUGGUUGACCAAAAGUGAGAGAGAGAGGGAGAGCAAAAGAAAACUUCUUUCUUCUUGAAUCUUAGCCAAAUCAAGUGAGAAAAUCGAUUUCCAAACCGAUUAAAGUGUUAAUUGUGAGUUGGGAAGCUAGAGGAACUAGAAAUUUUCAAAGGAGGUGGAUUAUCACUCAUCCAAGCUUAUCUUUGAUGUAUUAAAUCUGAUCAUGGUCCUUGAUCUUUUAAAUCUUGCGUUAAGAUGUUAUUUAGCUUAAGUUUUGGCUUGAUUUCAAGAUGUGCAAGUGAUUGUGAUGAUUAUUGGAUGAAAUAAACAAGUUAGGGUUUUGGGGACUUGCUGCCAAACUUGAUGUAUGAUACAUAUAGGUUGUAUUUAAGGUUAUAUAAGGGGUUUUGGUAGUGUUGGAAGUAAGAAAUCAAGGAAGGUUGCAUUGAAUUCAAAAAAUUCCAGAUUUCUGGAAUUUCAGGAUUACAUUCUGUCCGAUUUUAAUACUCAUAGUUAGAGGCAAAAUUAGGUUUGACCUAAAACAUAAAAGUUGUAGAGAAUAGUAUUUUAUAGGUGUUUACAAAAUUUCAGCUCAACCGGAGUAACGUAGCCCAUGAAAAGACCAAAAUACCCUCACUAUUUUAAGGUUUUUCCUAGUAGUCCGUUUGGUUUUAUGACGUUUAUUCACCAGGAUCCGUACUGAUUUAGCUUUUUGGAAAAACAUGAAAGUUUUAGUAUUCUGACUUAGCUUUUAAACGCCUCUAAGAACACCUUAAUCGGACCUUGGUAACCUGAGAUAUGACCAUUCCAGUGCAGAGCGGUUAAAUAGCCGACUAGUUAGAUUUUGGUUCUGUAAAAUGAGGAUUUUACUAGGUUGCAUUGGAAAAUGGACUAAGUCAAAUCUGUCUUUUGCUAGGUUACAUUUCUACACUUGUUAUCACUUUGAUUUUGUUCGUAUGGUUGUUAUGAGCCUAUGGAACGGCUAUAUACUUGAAUCUAUGAUAUGUAUUACUUUGGGAUUGGCUGCUGGAAAAUUAGGUAAACACAAAGGGCAUGCUGCCCAAAUUUACGCUCGAGGACUAUAAAAAUACACUUGCGACUUGGGUCAAGUUGAUAUGAAUAGUACUUGAACCAUCUAGGGUACUUGGGUCUUCUUGUUUCGAGGUAUAUAAGUAAGGAUUUGGCCGAACUUGUACCCUUGAGAAAUGCAAUCAUGAUUGCUCGAAAUAUGUUUUCCUUGUACUUCCAACUCGCAUGACAAUUUCAAGUAUAAAUAUUACAAAGUUUUACUGUUUAAAAAGGCAAGCAAGUGUUUCACGACUACUCUCCAAGUGAAUUCCAAUUUCUUGAUUUUUAUUGAAUGAAAUGUCUAAGUUUCGAAUCUUAGUCAUGUUUCAAAGUUCUCAAACUGAGUUUUAUCGCAAAUUUGGACUCCGAACCCGGAGUAUAACCUGAAAGUGACCAGUAAAGGCACUAUAUCUUGUGGUGAGUGCUUUCAAAUACCGAAUUGCACUAGAUACUUGAACUUGAUACGUGACCAAUAUGAGUACAUGUUAUAUACGUGAAUUGAUAGGGCAAGAGUGUACUUUAUCGCACUUGCCCUUACGUGAUAUACUUGUUUAUUGAUUGCAAUUGACUUGAUAUACUUGUUUAUGAUGUGCUCACUUCCUAGAAUUCCAGAAAUCCUGUGGCGAGUUACUCUAGUCGAGCCGGCAAAGGCUUGGUCGAUUGGGUAACGAACCCUGGGUCUCUUGUUUUGUCGAGUGGAGUGAUAUCUCCUCGACUAAUCGGUAUAUUCGAGUAUUACUACCCGUGUUUAUUGAGGAUUUUGGGCCCAGUAGGGGGUGUGAAUGGUGGACGGAGGGUAGUGUAAGUGGUGCUCUACUGGAUUGGUUCCUUUACUUGAAAGUUGACGGAGUGUCAACUAUUACGUGAUCAAGCUCCUGAUGAUGAAAUGGGAAGUUGGCUCCUGAGAGCCAUCCGUAUCCUUAUGCUUUGGAAUGAUUAUUGUUUAUUGGAUUAUUGUUUCUUUUGAAAACUUUUACACUCGCUCAUUUUGAGAUUGCUAUUUGAAGUGUUAUUGCUCACUUUUAUGAACUCUUCAUGCUCGUUACUUUGCUAUAUCGAAAACUUGUACUUAUAAAUAAUGGUCAAUUUGCUAUUUGGAACCUCACUGGGCUUUUAGCUCAUACCACGCUAUUUGUUUUCCUUACAGGGGGUACGAGCGAGGCGUGAGAGGUGUAAAGACUAGCGUAGUCUAGUUAUUUUUUACUUUUGACUUUUGACUUGUACUCACGCUAUUCCUCGAAUAAAAUGUUUUAUAUAUUGAGGCUUUGUACCUUGAUUUUCAUCAAUGUAAAUUCUAAGCUUGAAUUGCGAUGUUAUUUAUGGUCCAUGAAUGAAUGCACGUGAUACGAGUGAGUGAGUCCUGGCGAGAGUUGGGCAGGCGACCCGCCGAACCCUCUGGUUCGCCUUAGGGUGAGGUGGGGCCGUCACAGUGGAGCCAUGGCCGAUCGUAUAGAGGAAGUUUUGCUCGGGAAUGUACUUGGAGAGGCUGCACCUGCUGUGGAGGUGGAGAUUACACCGAUGGAGGAGGAGCCCGAAGAGGAGCCCGAAGAGGACCCUUCUGAAGCUGUAAGAUCUUCUAGUUCGGUCCACCUGUAUUAUAGACCUCUUGAUCUUUUGACUUUUGUUCAGGUCUUUGAAAGGGUGAAUCUCACUGUGAUGCCUUUUGUAUUUUGUGCAUUUACCCCUAUAUUUAGAGGCACUUGAAUGUCUAUGUCCUGUAUUUGAUAUUAUUGACUCGUUGUAUACACUCUUAACAUGUGACAUGACUUCUAAUCUAUAUAAAGAUCUAUACUUUGAUUUUAAAGUGUUCUUGCAAUCUGUAUUUGUUUUAAAUUUUUGUGCUUAAUUUUCCCUCUUUUAAUUAUGCUCUUCGAAUCUUGCUAUAUGGAUUGACGAGAACAUGAAAGGGGGCGUGGGCGUGAGUUUCGAUAACUCCGCACUCCCGAGAGAGGUUAGAGAUCUACGAUUGGUCCAAACCAAAACCCUAAGAACGAAGAGGGUGACCAAGUGGCUACGGCCCUUAACCGUAUAACCGAUGUUCUCGAGCGUUUAGCUGAGCGCCAAGGUCCUGAGCCAGUUAACCAACCUAGGAACCAAGAGAAGGGUGAGAAUAGAGCUCUAGAGCGAUUCUUGAAGUUCACUCCACCUAUGUUUCAUGGAGGGUCUGAUCCCGACGUAGCGAAAAAUUGGUUUGAAAAGAUGGUCGAGAUCUUUGUUGUUUUAGCUUAUACCUAGAAAAGGCAAGUGAAUUUUGCCAUUUUUCAACUUGGGGGAGCAACCCACUCGUGGUGGAACAUUGUUAGGGUGAAGUGGGAAAGAGAACAAACCCCUUGGAUUUUGGCAAGUUUUGAGAGGGAGUUCAAUGCCAAAUUCCUUCCGCCAAUGAUACAAGAAAAGAGGGAGGAUGACUUUAUUAAAUUGAAACAAGGGUUACUAAGCAUGGCAGAGUAUGAGAAGCAGUUCACUAAAUUUUUUAAAUUUGUGCAUGAACUUGUGGUCACAGAGUGAAAAAGGAUAAGAAAAUUUAUUCAUGAACUAAAUGUAGAAAUCCAAAAAUUUCUAAUAGUUGCCUAGAUCACAACUUUCACGGAAGUCUUGGAGAAGGCAUAGAGAGUAGAAAAUACUAAGUACCAAUCUAGAGUUUUUCACGCUAGAAAGAGGGGUUACCCAAGUAACGUCCCUGGAUCGUCCGAAAAGUCUACCCAACCACUUAAGAUGGGAAGUGGGGCUGGAAGAGUGAGAACGUCCGAAAAAUCAGUAGGAACUCCAUCAAGGGGAGCCCCGUCAAAAGGAAAUCAGGAUGGGCGAGGUCAGUAAAAAGUAAGUUUUCAAGUUAGUCAGGUCGUUACCCCUCUUGUGAUUUGUGAAUAUUGUAACAAGCCUAACCAUACUGAGGCUGAAUGAUGGAGAAAGCAAGAAAAAUGUUUGAUUUGUGGUAGUGCCGAGCACCAGAUUUCGAGUUGUCCUAAUGCCUCCAAGGAAGAAGGAAAUACCCAACAACCUGCUAGGUCUACUUCAAAACAGUCAAGUGCCGGAAGGAGCCAAUCAAAAGUGCCAGUUAGGGUUUACACCUUAGACAAUUAGCAAAUUUUAACCCAAUUGAAGUGGUGGAAGGUACGAUUCCCAUUUUUCAUCGCUUAACUAGAGUUUUAAUUGAUCUCGGGGCAACCCAUUUUUUCGUAGAUCCUAACUUUAUGAAGGGUGUAGAUGUAAAGUGUGAAUUAUUGCCUUUUGAUUUAGAAGUUAAGAUUCCUACGGGGAACCAAUGCCUGACUGCUAAUAAAAUUUAUAGGAAUUAUGAGAUUUGGGUUGGUGAGAGAACAUUGUUGACGGAUUUAAUGACUUUAACAAUUAAGGGGUAUGAUGUGAUACUAGGGAUGGAUUGGUUAGUUCGAUACCAUGUUCAAUUGGAUUGUAAGAUGAAUCUAAUAGAGUUGCACAUUCCUGGGGAAGCAAAUUUGAAAUUAGAUGUGAGAGGUAAACUAGCAUCGUCUGCUUUAAUCUCGGUGAUUCGAGCUAGAAAAUUAUUGAGUAGUAGAACUAAAGGAUAUCUAGUCUUUCGUAUCAAUACAUCUGGGAAUACGGUGAACUUGGAAAACGUGCCGGUAGUGAACAAGUUUUUUGAUGUCUUUUCCGAGAAAUUAGAGACGUUACCUCCGGAGAGGAAAAUAGUGUUUAAAAUUAAUGUGGCUCCGGGGACAACCCCUAUCUCUAAGACAUCUUACAGGAUGGCUCCAACUAAAUUAAAGAAAUUGAAGUUGCAAUUAUAAGAUUUAUUAGGAAAAAGUUUUAUCAAACAAAGUGACUCAUCAUAGGGAGCUCAAGUGUUUUUCGUUAAGAAGAAAUAUGUGAGUUUGAAACUUUGCGUAGAUUAUUGAGACUUGAAUGAUGUAACCAUUAGGAACAAAUACCCUCUGUCUCACAUAGAUGAACUAUUUGAUCAGUUGCAAGGGACAGUGGUAUUUUUCAAAUUAGAUUUGAGGCAAGGAUAUUACCAAUUGAUGAUUCUAGAAGCUGAUGUGCCUAAGACGGCUUUCAAUUCAAGAUAUGGGCACUUUGAAUUUGCAAUGAUGCCCUUUGGGUUAACUAAUGCGCCAGCAGCAUUUAUAGACUUGAUGCAUCGGGUUUUUAAGCCGUACUUGGAUCAAUUUGUGUUAGUAUACAUCGAUGACAUACUAGUGUAUUUUAAGUCUCGAGAAGAUCAUGAACGGCACUUGAGAAUAGUUUUGCAAACCCUGAGAGGGCACAAACUUUUUGCUAAGUUUAAUAAAUGUGAGUUUUGGUUGGAAGAAGUAGCUUUUUUAAGUCACAUAAUUUCUAAGAAAGGAAUUACUGUGGAUCCAACUAAGGUAGAAGCUGUUUCUAAGUGGAAACGACCAGAAAAUCCUACCAAAGUUCGGAGUUUCUUAGGGUUAGCCGAAUAUUACUGUCGGUUUAUCAAGAACGUUUCUAAAAUUGCCAAACCCUUAACUGAGUUGACUAAGAAGUAUGGUAAGUUUAUUUGGAAUUCUAAAUACGAGGAAGGGUUUCAAGAGUUGAAAAGGUGUUUGACCGAGACACCUGUGUUAACAUUGUCGAGCGGAGGAGAUGGAUUCGUGGUUUAUACAGAUGGCUCAAAGGAUGGUUUAGAGUGUGUAUUGAUGCAAAACGGGAGAGUGAUUGCGUAUGCCUCUCGUAAGUUGAAAUCUCAUGAACGGAAUUAUCCGACCCAUGACUUAGAGUUAGCGGCAGUAGUGCUUGCCUUGAAAAAGUGGAAACAUUAUUUAUAUAGAAUGACUUUCGUGAUUUUCACAGAUGACAAGAGUCUUAAGUAUUUGUUCUUCCAGAAAGAGUUAAAUUUGAGACAAUGUAAAUGGAUAGAAUUUUUGGAGAAUCAUGACUGUCCGCUUAACUAUCACCCCGAAAAAGGUAAUGUAGUGGCAGAUACUCUAAAUCGUAAAGUGCAAGUAGCCGAUUUAAUGGUGAAAGAAUGGCACAUGCUAGAAAAAAUUAGUGCUUGGAAUCCGCGUCUUGAGCCACAGAAGGUAAUCUUUGGAAAUAUUACUGUGAAAUCUACCUUGUUAGAUCGAAUCAAAGAAGUUCAAAAAGGAGAUCUUGAAGUGCAAAAAUGGAUUGAGAAAGUUCAAAAAGGGGAAAAGUUUGAUUUCAAUUUGGGGACUGAUGGAGUGUUAAAAUUUAGAAAUCGCCUAGUGGUACCCAAGGAUGAAGGUCUAAAGAAGAAAAUUUUGGAUGAAACUCACCGUUCUAAGUAUACGGUGCACCCUGAAGGUAAUAAGAUGCAUCAAAACUUUGUCAAGAGCAGGGACGUAAUUGCAAUUGGAGCAAGAGUUUUAGGGGUGUUAGUGUAAUUAGCUUAUGGAGCCAAAAAACUGUUAAAAGUUAGUUAUAACUGAAUCUAUUAAAAUCAAUUCAUUGCAUGGGAAUUAUGUGCCAAUUGGAUUCAGAUCCAUCAUUGAAGUUGUAUAAAUCCAAGACAAUGUAAUGAAUUGGACAACAAGAAAUACAAUCACAAUUUUUCCUCCCAAAUUCUUAUUUUCUCUCUCUCUCACCUCUUUCCUCCCUUUCUGUUCUUUCCUUCUUCAUUCAAAUUUUCCCUGAAUCUGCUGGUCACAUUUCCUUCUCAAUUCUACUUUGGACGGGCCUGACAAAUUGGUAUCAGAGCUGAUGAUUCUUCGGCAGCUCAGAGAUCAACCAAUGGCAGAGAGCACACGCUUCAAGACCUUAGAAGAUCAUCUCCGGAAGCAGGAACUCAAGUUGCAAGAAGUCAUGGAGGAUAUGAAGAACGUACAGCUGCAAGUAAUGGAAGAAAUGGUAGGCAGGGAUAUGAUCGCACUCAGCAUGGAGCAGAAGUUUGAGGCACUCAGUUCAAUGAUGAGGACACUACUGAGCAAGGAGAAGAGUGCAGAAGAAGAAGGCAAAGCUGGUCGAGAUCGUACACCAUUACUGCCCACACCCCCCAUCUAUCAGAGGCUGAACUUGGGAGCAGAUGAGAAAGCUAAAAGUUGCGAGUUCUUGGGUAAGAUUUCUGACUAUAAUCCUCCAAAAAUUGAGUUACAUAUGUUUAGUGGGGAAAAUCCUAGGGAAUGGAUCAGAAAAUGCAACAAGUACUUCUUGCUGAAUAAGGUAUCUGAGGAACAUAAAUUGUUGGUAGUAGAGAUGUUUUUAGAAGGUAGAGCUGAUAAUCGGUUCCAAGGAAUCAAAUUAGAAAAACCAAGGCUAACAUGGGGGGAAUUUGGGGAGCUGCUCUGUCAGAGAUUCAAAGGAUCAUGCUGUAGAGAUAUUGUAGAGGAAUUCAAUAAAUUGCAGCAGAUGAGUACAGUAGAGGUUUACCAAAAAAAAAAGUUUGAGGAGUUAAAGACCUUGAUGCUAAUUCAGAAUCCAAGCCUCAGUGAAGAAUACUUCAUUUCCAGUUUCACCAGUGGUCUCAAGGAGGGGAUUAAACCUAUGGUGAGAAUGAUCAAGCCAAACACUCUUUCUGGAGUUAUGGAGGUGGCUCAUUUGCAAGAACAGGCUCUCAGGUUACAAGGAAGGACAGUCAAGGAUGGCAACAAGGUGAUGGUUGAACCAAAGUUUGGGAUGUACAGGCAUCCAACCUCUGCCAAUGAAGGAAUCAGUACUUACAAGCUAUCACAGAACAACAUACCUAGGGUAGUUCCUAAAAUUCCAGACAAAAGUCCAGAAUUUAAGAGACUAUCCUCUUAGGAACUGCAGUUCAGAAGGAGUAAUGGACUGUGUUUAAGUGUGGGGAGAAAUUUGGGGUAGGACAUCAGUGCAGGAUGGAACACUUGAACCUUAUGUUGUAUGAAGAAGAGGAGGACACUGAAUUCCAGGAUGCUCAAGGGGAACAGGAUGAGCUGACUGGGAAUCCAGGAGAACCAAUUGAAAUUUCACUCAAUGAUCUAUCAGACUCACUCAGACGAACACUAUCCUGUUACAAGGACAGGUGGCAGGGGAACCUGUCAAGAUUUUGGUGGAUACAGGUAGCAGUGAUAGCUACAUCCAUCACAAGCUGGUGUCUGCACAAGGCAUUCCUUUUGAAUAUGUCAAGCCCUUCACUGUCACAAUGGGGGAUGGAAGCUUAGUAACCAGUGGAGCUCAGUGUCCAAAGGUCCUGUGGAAUGUUCAGAAUAAUAAAUUUUGCUUUGACCUUAGGAUUAUGGAAUUAGGUGAUUGGGAUCUUAUUUUGGGGGUAGAUUGGAUGCACAAUUACAGCCCCAUUACUUUUGAUUUUCAUCAACUAAAAAUCUCUAUGUUCCAUCAAAGAGAGGUGGUCACAUUGCAUGGAGUAGUUAAUGAUGCAACCAAGGAACUUAUUAGGAGGAAGGAUCUCAGAGGCUUUUUGCAAGAGAAGAGGAGGUGUAGUGUUAUUUCAGCACAAAGUAAAGAGGACACAGGGAAACAAGGAGUUCCAGGAUCAAUUACUGCAGUUUUGGAGCAAUUUUCAGAAGUAUUUCAGGAGCCUACUCAGUUGCCUCCCAAUAGGCCAUUGGAUCAUCAGAUUCCUCUAAAGCCAGGAGCACAAGCUUUUAAAAUGAAACCAUAUAGAUACCCUCACUCACAGAAAGCGGAGAUUGAAAAGCAAAUAGCAGAUAUGUUGAAGUCUGGAAUCAUCAAGCCAAGCAAUAGUCAUUAUGCUUCACCUGUGCUGUUGGUCAAGAAAAAGGAUAACACCUGGCAUUUUUGUGUGGAUUACAGGCAUCUAAAUGACCUGACAGUCAAGAACAGAUAUCAUAUCCCCAACAUUGAAGAACUGCUGGAUGAGCUCUAUGGAGCCAAGUUCUUCUCCAAAAUUGACCUGAGAUCAGGUUACGACCAGAUCAGGGUUAAGAUGGCAGAUACACACAAAACAGCCUUUCAGACUCAUCAGGGACACUUUGAGUUCCUAGUGAUGUCAUUUGGGCUCACGAAUGCACCAGCAACAUUUCAAGCAUUGAUGAAUUAGGUUUUUGAGCUAUUCUUGAGAAAGUUUGUCCUAGAAUUUUUUUAUGACAUUUUAAUCUACAGUGCUACCCUAGAUCUUCAUAAAUAGCACCUAAAACAAGUACUAGAGGUGCUCCAACAUAACCAAUUGUAUGCCAAAUUAUCCAAGUGCUCUUUUGCCCAGCAAGAAGUGGAGUAUUUGGGGCAUGUAGUAUCCAGUACAGGAGUGAGUAUGAACAUGAGCAAGGUGGAGUGCAUACAGUCAUGGCCUAUUCCUAAGAAUAUUAAAGAAUUCAGGACAUUCUUAGGCCUCAUAGGCUACUACAGACGUUUCAUAAAAGGCUAUGGAACAAUCAGUAAGCCAUUAACAAAUCUGCUGAAGAAGGAUGCCUAUGACUAGAAUGCAGAAUCUUACAAGGCUUUUAGUUGUCUUAAGCAGGCCAUAAGUAGUGCUCUAGUGCUAAGACUGUCCAACUUUGGUAUUCCCUUUGUGGUGGAAACUGAUGCAAGUGGACAGAGCAUGGGAGCUAUACUCUUACAGGAGGGUCAGCCCAUAGCAUUCAUUAGCAGAGCAUUCUCCCUCAAGAACAUAGGGUUGUCUGUCUAUGAGAAAGAACUGCUGGCAUUGGUUUUUGCAGUGACUAAGUGGAAGCAUUAUUUAGUAGGGAACCAUUUCAUCAUCAGGACAGAUCACAAGUCGUUGAAAUUUUUGCUAGAACAAAGACUGACCACUACUGCUCAGUAUAAAUGGUUGACAAAGUUGCUAGGCUUAGAUUAUGAGAUUCAGUAUAAGAAAGGUUCAGAAAACACUGUUGCUGAUGUCUUAUCUAGAAGGACCAUGAUGGAACUACAACCUGAACCACAACAGUUGAUGGCCAUUACUGGUGUUCAACCUCUAUGGAUCCAAGAGCUGUAGGAUAGUUACUUUCAAGACGCACAGUGCAGAGAAUUAAUAAGUCAACUACUGCUGGAUCCUACACCACAGGACUCUGAUUUUCAGCUCAAUAAAGGGAUACUCAGGUAUAAGGGGAAGCUGUUUAUAGGGAAUAGCAGGGGAGUUAAGCAGAAAAUAAUCAAAGCUCUGCAUGAAUCCCCUAUUGGAGGGCAUUCUGGUCAGAGAACAUGUAUACAGAGGGUGCAAAGCAUAUUUCACUGGCCAGGGAUGAAGAAAGAGAUCAUACAGUUCAUACAGGAGUGUGAAGUCUGCCAAAGGAACAAAAGUGAACGUGUCCUAUAUCCAGGAUUACUGCAGCCACUACCAAUUCCCACCCAAGUUUGGUCACAUAUCACUAUAGACUUUAUUGAAAAGCAACCUUGCUCUAGGGGAUUUGACACUAUUUUGGUGGCCAUAGAUAGACUGACAAAGUUUGGCCACUUCAUGCCACUUUCUCACCCAUUUUUAGCUACUCAAGUGGCACAGGUCUUCCUAGAUCAUGUCUACAAACUCCAUGGAUUACCAGAAUCCAGCAUAACAGACAGAGAAAAUGUAUUCACUAAUAAAUUUUGGCAGGAGUUAUUUAGGAUGGCUGAAACUGAGCUACACUAUAGUUCUUCCUACCAUCCUGAGGCUAAUGGUCAGAGUGAGAGUUUGAAUCAGUGUUUGGAGACUUAUCUGCGACGUAUGACCAGUGAGAGUCUAACUCAGUGGAGUCAUUGGCUCAGUUUAGCAGAACUUUGGUAUAAUACUGCAUAUCACACCAGUUUAGGGGUGUCACCAUUUGAGGCUUUAUAUGGUUACAAGCCCCUGUCACUAUCAAUGGGCCCUACCAUGACACAAUAAUCCUAGCAACUCACAACAUGCUGCAAACAAGAGCUCAAAUGCUUCAAAGAAUCAAAGAGCAUCUGCAUCAAGCUCAGAAUAGGAUGAAGUUGUUUGUUGACAAACAUAGAACUGAAAGGGAGUUUGAGGUGGGGGAUUGGGUCUUCCUGAAGUUGUAGCCUUAUAGGCAGCAGACUGUAGCACUCAGGAAAAAUCUAAAAGUGACUGCAAAAUUUUUUGGACCUUUUCAAAUUAUGGAGAAGAUCAGUGCUGUGGCAUACAAGCUCAGGCUCCCACCUGGAUCUAAAAUACAGGUGGCCAUAAAUAGACUGACAAAGUUUGGCCACUUCAUGCCACUUUCUCACCCAUUUUCAGCUACUCAAGUUGCACAGGUCUUCCUAGAUCAUGUCUACAAACUCCAUGGAUUACCAGAAUCCAGCAUAACAGAUAGAGACAAGAUAUUCACCAGUAAAUUUUGGCAGGAAUUAUUUAGGAUGGCUGAAACUGAGCUACACUAUAGUUCUUCCUACCAUCCUGAGACUGAUGGUCAGAGUGAGAGGUUGAAUCAGUGUUUGGAGACUUAUCUGAGAUGUAUGACCAGUGAGAGUCUAACUCAGUGGAGUCAUUGGCUCAGUUUAGCAGAACUUUGGUAUAAUACUGCAUAUCACACCAGUUUAGGGGUGUCACCAUUUGAGGCUUUAUAUGGUUACAAGCCCCUGUCACUAUCUAUGGGCCCCUACCAUGACACAAUAAUCCCAGCAACUCACAACAUGCUGCAAACAAGAGCUCAAAUGCUUCAGAGAAUCAAAGAGCAUCUGCAUCAAGCUCAGAAUAGGAUGAAGUUGUUUGUUGACAAACAUAGAACUGAAAGGGAGUUUGAGGUGGGGGAUUGGAUCUUCCUAAAAUUACAGCCUUAUAGGCAGCAGACUGUAGCAUUCAGGAAAAAUCUAAAACUGACUGCAAAAUUUUUUGGACCUUUUCAAAUUAUGGAGAAGAUCAGUGCUAUGGCAUACAAGCUCAGGCGCCCACCUGAAUCUAAAAUACGUUCAGUUUUUCACGUUUCCCUUCUUAAGCCUAAGUUGGGACCCCAUCAGGCUACUACUUCUACACUACCAGAGUUUAAUUGCCAAGACCAGUGCCUCCUACAACCUGCUACAGUUUUGAAAAGAAGGGUAAUCAUGCAAAAUGCUACCCCUGUGGUCCAGUAUCUCAUCAAGUGGCAUCAGCUAGGAGAGGAAGAAGCGUUGUGGAAAGAUCAAUCUUUUAUCAGUAGUCAAUUUCCUGAGUUUCAGCCUUGAGGACAAGGCUGCUUUCAAGGGAGGAGUAAUGUCAGGAGCAGGGAUGUAAUUGCAAUUGGAGCAAGAGUUUUAGGGGUGUUAGUGUAAUUAGCUUAUGGAGCCAAAAAACUGUUAAAAGUUAGUUAUAACUGAAUCUGUUAAAAUCAGUUCAUUGCACGGGAAUUCUAUGCCAAUUGGAUUCGGAUCCAUCAUUGAAGUUGUAUAAAUCCAAGACAAUGUAAUGGAUUGGACAACAAGAAAUAUAAUCACAAUUUUUCCUCCCAAAUUCUUAUUUUCUCUCUCUCUCUCUCUCUCACCUCUUCCCUCCCUUUCUAUUCUUUUCUUCUUCAUUCAAAUUUUCCCUGAAUCUGCUGGUCACAUUUCCUUCUCAAUUCUACUUUGGACAGGCCUGACAGACUUGAAAAGCCUUUAUUGGUGGGAGAAUAUGAAGUGAGAAAUUGCUCAAUUUGUUCGAACUUGUCUCACUUGCCAGCAGGUUAAAUCCGAGCAUCAGAAGCCAUCUAGAUUAUUAUAACCGUUGGAGAUACCUGAGUGGAAGUGAAAAAAAUAUCACAAUAAAUUUCAUAUCAAGUCUACCAAGGACUCAGAGAGGGCAUGACGCUAUUUGGGUAACAGUGGAUCGAUUGAUCAAAUCCACUCACUUUUUGUCGAUUAGUAUGAAGUAUUCAUUUGAAAAGUUGGCUAAGUUGUACUUGGACAAAAUUAUAAGAUUGCAUGGAAUACCAGUGAAUAUAGUCUCAGAUCGGGACCCUAGGUUUGUGUCACGAUUUUAGCAAAAGAUGCAAGAGAGUUUAGGUACUAAAUUGAAUUUUAGUACCACUUACCACCCGCAAACCGAUGAACAAUCAGAAAGAAUAAUCCAAAUCCUAGAGGAUAUGUUGAUGUCGUGUAUUGUGGAUUUUGGAGAGAAUUGGAGUCAGUACCUUACGUUGGUGAAAUUUGCUUAUAACAACAGUUUUCAUUCUUCGAUACAAAUGGUUCCUUACGAAACUCUUUAUGGUCAAAAAUGUCGAUAUUCGAUUUAUUGGGACAAAAUUGGAGAGAAAAAGAUUUUGCACCCAACUAUUGUACCUUGGGUUGAGAAAACUUAUGAGAAGGUGAAAUUGAUACGUCAGAAGAUCCGAACGGCUCAAAACUGCCAAAAGAACUAUAUAGAUAAUCGGAGGAAUGAUUUAGAAUUUGAGAUUGGAGGUAAAGUAUUUCUUAAAAUUACACCCUUGAAAGCAAGUCUAACGGCAGGAAAAGGAAAGAACUUACAACCGAAAUUUGUGGGACUCUAUAAGGUUAUUCAACGCAUAAGAAGUGUGGGUUAUAAGUUGGAAUUACCUUUGAAUUUGUCCAGGAUUUAUAAUGUCUUCCAUGUUUCCAUGCUUAAGAAAUAUAUCAUCCCGAUCCUUCCCAUGUGUUACGACCGGAAAAAGUAGAGAUUGAUGAGAAUUUGUCCUAUGAACAAAGGCCGGCAAAAAUUUUAGAUAAAAAACUGAAGGAGUUAAGACGCAAGCAAAUCUCUCUAGUGAAGGUCUUAUGGAGAAAUCAUGGAAUGGAAGAAACGACUUGAGAAGUAGAAGAGGAGAUUCGAAAGAAGUACCCAAGAUUGUUCCUAAAUCAAGAUAUGAAUUUCGAGAACGAAAUUCUUUUAAUGGGGAAGAAUGUGAGGACCCGAAUUUUUAUUUUACUUAUUUUUACUUUAUAUUACUGGCUUAUUUAAUUAUUUAUUUAUCCGUUUACUCUGAAUAAUUUAUUUCAUCCAUUUUAAAUCCAUUUGUGUGAAAAAAUGUCUAAUUUAUAUUUUUAAAACGUUUCAUUAGCGAAUUUAAUUUUUCUGUGGCUCGUUUAGUGAGAAAUAACGAGUGCAUAUUUUUCGAGGCAAAUUCGAUCCGAGAGUACAAUAAUCUUGGAGAAUUAAAGAUGAUUAAUAGUAGACUAAGAAAAGUUAACUGAGAAAUUAGAGGUGAGUGAGUUAAAUUAAACUCAAUUAGGAGUACUGAUUGCUCACUAAUCGAUUGUUGACUUUUGGGUACCAAGAACAUCUUUAUGUCAUUCUUCUUGUCACACCAUCAAGUCACCCAACUACCACCCAAAACCCUUCUUCCUCCUCUCUCCCUUGGCCGACUCCCCCUUCCUCAUUUCCUACCAAAAAUUUCAGCUCUCUUAUCUUCCAUUUUUCUCCAAGAAAACUUUCCAAAUUUGCUUCUUUCCUUGGUUCUUCAUACAAGUUUGGAAGGUGACUUGAACAAGGUAGAAACUUUGGUGAUUCAAGAGCUUAUACUAGUGGUUGUUCUUCAUUCUUGGAAGCAAAGGUAAUCCUCCAAGUUUUCAUUUUUUUCCUCUCAACUAUUAGUAGUAGUUAGUUAUGGUUAGUUAGUUGUUGGGUUGUUGAUGGGUUCAUAAAAACCUUGACAUUAGAUAGAGGAUUUGAGGUGACUUUAUAGGUAGAGGCCUUGAGCAUUUUGUAUGUUUACUUGCUUGUUUGAUGUUUAUUUUGAGAAGAUAUGGCUUAGUUUUAGUUGAAAAGUUGGAAAAGAAAACUAAAAGAUGAAGGAUGCUUGCUGUCCGAAAUUUGGCUUGAUGAAACCCUCAUGUUAAUUUUGAAUUUUAUUGUUGUUUUGGUGCUAUAAUGUUUGUUAUAUGACGGUGUUUAUGUGUGUUAAAUAUCUCCCAAAAAACUUUACAAUUGGUUGACUUAAAGUAGGGUUUAAGUGAGGAAGAAAUCUGAAAAAUUUUCUGACCAGGAGUACCGACCAGUGUUCCCGUAUUGGGUCAUAACUUUUUGUCUGGUAGUUGAAAUCAUGUGCCAUUUGUGGUAUCCAAAACUAGACUCCGAGAGCUUUCUGUCGGUAUAAAGUGCACCUCCUAAUUCGUUUCCUAUGAGCCGUAGUGAACCGGCAAAAUGACUUAAUUUUCUCAUUGUUCUCAUCCGAGAAACCAGCCUACCUGCAGUUUGCAGCUCAAUUUUGCCUAUCUUGCAAAUUGAAUUUUAAGACAGUUUCUUCUAUUGAAUUGUAAUCUUUUGAAUCUAGUUUUCAAUGCCAUAAACCACGCUAAAUUUUGAGUUGUGUAGCUUUAGUUAUGACCAUAUUUUGAAACUCUAUCAAGACUUCAAAACUGGAAAUUUCGUGCAACAGGUUCCAAAAUUCAGUUUUCUUAAAACCAUUGUAUCUUGAUGUAGAAUAGUCUGAAUUAGGUUCUGUUUGUUGCAUUUGAAACUAAUUUGGAAUUUUAUUAGUCGUAUAAAUUUCAAGGGUUAAUUCCAUUUUUAUGAAUUUUUCUGAAUUUCCAAACUUUACUGAAAUUGCAAGCCUGUUUUGCUCUAUCCUAUCUAGAAUAGUGACUUUGAACUAAAAUUUGAAUGAUUUCGGAUUGGAGUCUGAGACAAGUGUCUUCUAGAAAGUUUUAGUUCUUUGAGUCUACUUUCAAACGGUAUAAAGUUUCCAAUUUUUGGACUUCCAGAACUCGAGAUACGAUUUUUCCAAGUAGUGUCGCACCAAACUGGAAAUUUUCUGGUUUCAACAAAAGUACUCUUUUGAGCACUUUUAACCUUCCUUUGAGAUUGUUGGUCGGUUUUAGGACUAAUUUCAUGGUUGGACACAAGGUUCCUUUAGAAAUUUAAAUCUUCGUUUUGAAUGUUGGUUUCAAAGGAUUAAACCUCUCUUAAUGCGUUUUCUUGGUUGUUUAACUUUCUUGGUUGAUGGCACCUCUUUUCAUACUUGAAAAAUGAACUUCAACCCCUAGUUUUAUACCCUCAAUUUCCAUGAGUUUGAACUUUAAAAAGGGAGUGUUUUGACUAGAGUAAUUUUUGGAGAAUUUCACUAGUUUAUACUUGAAUUUUGGAACCUUUAGUUUUGAUAUUUUCUAUGAAAUGAGUGGAGUUUUGGAUGAGUUUUGACUCCAUUAGUUUAGAAAAUAUGAACCCCUUUUACAUUCUAAAGUUUGGACAUGAGACGAGAAGUUUUGAAAGAUGAACACUAUCUACCUUUUUCUCAAUUUUCGUGCCGAAAGUGGAAAUGAUACUUUGUUUUGAAAUUGAGAUUACGUACCACGACUUGAAUAAAAAAUGACCUUGGGCUCUCUUUGAGCAUUAUUUCAACGAUUUAGCAAGAAAAGUUUCUUUUAACUUGACUCGAACUUGUGACCUUGAGAGUGGGUAGCUAGAAAAUGUCUUUCUUAUUAACCUUGGUCGAGCGCCUAGGUAAUCGUGAAUAUGCAUGUCUCAGGUGGUCACUAGAACGCUGAAGAGCUCGUCUGACUUCUCGUUUGCUCUUGUUUGCCUUGACUUUCGGUGAGUAUCAAGUGCAUGUUCAAUACUAAUGUGAUUGAAUUAAUAUUUGUACAAGUGCUAUAUGAUACGUGAACUUGUCGAGAUGAGGGUGUACUUUAUCGCUCUCGUCCUCUCUCUCUUGUACUUGAAUGAUACUUGUUAAAUGAAUGUAUAUGACUUGCACUUGUACUUGAAAUAUUUUAACUUGUAAGCACUGAGUGGCUAGAUGUAUAACACCCUAUUUAGGUGGGAGGUACCGCUCAUCCCGACUCAGUGCCAUGAAUGAUUUUAAGUUGAUUGGAGCGUUGUCUCGUCGACCAAUCAUGCUUGUGGGGAUGCCCCAAUCCAUUGGCUAACCUUGUGACUCGAGCCGACAAGGGCUUGGUCGAGAAAUUUGGUGAACCUUGGGAAAUGAUAUAGCUUGAUCUUCUAAGAUCUCGCUAGGCAUACUCCAAUAGUAUCACUAUUACAUGAAUGUUUGGUUACGGAUCCGAGCAGAUGUUGUUGGAUGGAGGUAGUAAAUGGAGCACUACGGUCAUGUUACUACAUGAGUUGACGGAGAAUCAACCCUAAAUGGCUUGAAUCGGUCGAGACGUGGUAAGAGCUUCUGUAUCCUUCCUUGUGUGUUAUUUUCUACUUGUACACUUAAAUGAAAUGUCAUGUUUAAAAGUUGUUUAAAGCAUGUUAUUUGAUUGAUUGGUGUUACUUGCUUUCCUGUUUAUUUUUCUUGGCCUCACUAAGCGUUCGCUCAUCCCUUUAAGUUUGUUUUCCGUAACAGGCUUUGGAAAUGGAUUGGAGGUUCUAGACUAAUGACUUGGUGGAUGCUAGUAUACCUUUUGUAUGAACUUUUGAUGGCUCUUAAAGUGUAAUUUUGUUAUUGUUGGUUGGUGGAUUGUAAUCAUAACUUUUAGUUUAGAAGUUGUGACUUGUAUAUUCGAAGUACUUCUUAAUUAAGUCGAUAGUUAUUUUGUGGCUCUAUAUUAAGCUUGAAUGAGUGCUUGAGUCCUGACGAGAGUUGGGCAAGUGUCCCGCUGAUACCCUAGGGUUCGCCCUAGGGAGAGGUGGGGGCGUCACAGAAUCGGAGCGAUCCAUUCUACCAGAAUCUUGGAAAUUGCAACUUAUUGAAGAAAGCAACUUAUUGAAGAAAUUGCACAGACUGAUAGGCCGAAACUUAGAGAAAUCUUGGGGAUAUGGAACUUUGGGAAUCAGUACUAUGGAUGUAGAGGUGAGAAACUGAGGCAACUCCACCCCAUAAAAGAAACUCACAACCGCCUUAUGGAUAUCUUGAGCAAUGAUGUCCCAAGCAAAGGUUAAAACUUCCCCAUGAAGUUAUCCGGGCCUGCAGCACUCUCCCCAUCCAUUGCGAACACCACUCGUCUAACUUCCUCUAUGGUCGGCACCUCUUCUAAAACCAAAUUGUCCUUCUCCGUAAUCAAUGUCGGGAUUAAGUUGAGUAACUCAUCCAAGUUUGACGUUGCAUCACUAGAAAACAGAUUUGAAAAGUAUGUAACCACCUCGGUUUCUAUUGCAUCAUCGUCAUCCACCCAAGCUCCAUCGGCCUUCUUUACCCUGUGUAUCAUUCCUUGAACCCUCCUCUGCUUAACCACAGUAUGAAAGUACUUGGAAUUCCGAUCCCCACUACGGAGACAUUUCACUCUAGCCUUCUGAUGCCACUAUUGUACUUCUACCGCUAGAGCCCGUCUAAGCUCUGCUUGGCCCUUUGUAGCUCAAUCUACGCCUCUUCAGAGGCAUCAUUCUCCACACCCUCCUUUGCUCUUAGUAGCCCCACCUCCGCCGCCUUGACUGCAUCAAAGAUAUUUCCAAAGACUUGUUUAUUCCACCCCUGAAUACUCCUCCGAACUGCCAUCAAUUUGGAACAUAAAAUCCGCAAGGGGGAGCCUUGCACUUCCCCAUUCCAAGCCUCUCGAAUAACCCCCAACAAGUCCGGCCUAAUUCAUUAGAACUUCCUAAUUCACUAGUUUAGUAUAGUAUAGUGUAUAAUUAUUCGAUCUUAUAUCAAGCCAAAUAUAGAUGAAAAUCAAAAUGAAGAUGGAGAGUUGAAACUCAUAUGACGAAGGAGACUUCUUUUCUAUCAUUUUAUUUAUUUUAUUUGAACCUAAUGUAUAGUCGUAAUAUAAGUUUGGUUGUUUUUCUUUAUUUUAUGUUUUGUUAGUUUGUAUACCUAGGGAUGGAUGAACUAUCUACACUUGCUAUAUGAAGUUUUCAUGGUUAUUUGAUGUUUAUUUCUUGUGCAAGUUAUUUAACGUUUGCUAUUACAAUCAUGAUUAAUUGACCAUUAUUAUCCAAAAGCGUUGUUUUGUCAAUGAAUAUUUGGAUUGAAUAUUAGUUUAUGGAAGUGUUUAACCUAGAGAAUUAACUCACUAAUGUAGGGUUGCACUUUUGUGGCUUUAACCAAAUAAUUUUAUAGUAUUUAAUGAAUAUAUAUUUAGUUUCAUUAUCACGUUAGUAAGUGUGGAGUAGUUAUAGGUAUGGUUGGUAUAUCUAUGAAAACAAAUAUCACAUAUAUUUGGAAAUUAUGUCAUUAUCAACCAAUGUAAUAACACGCAUUUAACCGAGUUUCACUUGCAAGAAUAGUUAAGAAACUAUAACACUAGGAAUGUCUUUGUUAUUAUUUUUACUACUUUUAUUGCAUACUUAUAGUGCAGAUUUACUUGCUUUGUUUGUGAUCAUCUAACUAAUAGAGAAGUUUGAAUAUCAUUAAUACUUGACAAUCUUCCCUGUGGGAUCGACAUUUAAAUAUUCUCUAUACUUAUGUAUGACCAAUGCACUUACAAUAUUGGAUGUUUGAGUAUAAUUUAAAACUUUGAAGCAAACAAGUUCAAACUUCACACACAUCAAUGGCACUAAAAAUUGUCAUUAAACUAAUUUUAAGUGGCACUUUUUUUCUAUUCUUUUUGGGUCUUUUUAUUAUGGUUUAGACAACAAAUUUUUGAGAUUUUCAUUGCAAAAUUAAUUGCUUUUAAUAGCCGAGGACUUCAUUGUCUAGUGGUUAAGUUUUUUUGUUUUUAAAGUUUCUAGUGGCUAAAGUUGAAACUUUAAGAAUUAGAGGCCUUGGGUUCAAAUCCCUUAUUUUCCUCCCUACUACUUAAAUCUCACAUUUCUCUUGUUAGAAAAUUUUUUAAAAACAAAAUAUUUCAUGUUCUUAAUAACUAGGGAUAAUUUCACAAAUUUACCUUGAGAUUUAUGACAAUUUCACUCAACUACCCUCAUUUUACAAAUUACACUAACCUUACUUGUCACAAUAGAAUAUAUAAUGAACUUUACUUAAUAAAUAAUUCAUCGUAUAAUGAAAUGAAAUAGAGAAAAAAGAAAUCCUACCUCUCCAGCUCUCCUACUUACAAGUCACAACCAACAACGAUAAUUCUCUAACGACAAAUACUUGGGUAGAUCCAAUCUAUAUAGAUCAUAUGGUCCAAAUUUUAUCACGCAAUUUCAUCAACUCAAGAAUUGAAGACGUGGCAAAAUUUGAGCCACAUGGUUUACAAGAUCAGGUCUAUCCAGGUUUUUGCCUUCUCUAACACUUACCAUCUCUCUUUCUCAUCCAUUAGUCCCUUCCUCCCAUAACUAGCUCUCAAAUCCCACAACCAUUGCCUACAACUCCUACCAAUCACACCACAAGUGAUAUCUUCAAAUUCUACUUUAUAUCCCACUUCUCCUAUCUUUCCUUUGGAAUUGCCAAAUUACAAGUUCAAUUGAGGGAUAAGAUUUCAUGGUUAAAAUAAAAUUCAAUUUCAUGGUCAAACUUGAAGAAGAUGAAGAGGCUUAGAAUAAUAGUGGAACAAACAAUGCAAUUUUUGGCCAAAAUAAAUUUGGGAGGCAAAAUUAUUUUAUUUUGAGAUGGUGUGGGCAUUGGGUUGAAGUUUGGUGUGAUAAGUUGUGAAUAGAAUUUCAAUUUUUGGCAAAAUGAAUUUCUUGAAGACCUCUAUAGUCAUAAUGAUGUCUUUCUCUUAAACUUGAUUAAUCCUCAUCCAUGUCUAAAACUCCCGUGAAGAUUUUCUUCGAGGCCAUGAUGAGACUUAGGAGUUGUGCAACUUGUAUGGAACCAGACCGUGGCAUCCUAUGUUGAAAAUUAUGCAAACAUAAGAGUAGUUGAUUAUGAGCUUAACCAUUCCAUGAACCAUAUGGUGAGAAUAUUUUUGAAGGAUGAAAUGAAUCUUCAAGAUCAGAUGUUUGGGAGAAGUAAUUUUAUGACUAUGAUGAUGGAAUUGCUUGGGUUUGGAAUUUGAAAGUAAAGCAUUUGUUAGGCUGGUUUGUUAGUAUCAGUGGCGGAGCCAGAAAAAAUUUUCAGUGGGGGCAAAAAUAACUCUAAAAUUUUCUACCUACUCUUUUUUUAGUCUUUUACGGAAAAAAAUAUUCACCACCAAGUACAAAUAAUGCAUAUAUUUCAUGAAAAAUAUCAAAAGAUAAAUUCAAAACUAUUAAUGUAAUAAUAAUUGCAAACUAACCCAUUUACAAUUGCUCGUGACAAGUUCUCAUAUUUUGAUAACGGUUUACAAUCUUUUUAUUUUGAACUUCACGAAAUAUAUUUUUCUCAAUAUAAGUAACUAAACAAUUAUUUAUCCAAGUGUCUUCCAUUCUAUUUUGUAACCGAUUCUUCACUAUAUUCAUCAUUGAAAAAACCGUUUCUACGGUAGCUAUAAUAACAGGUAAAAUCAAAAACAACUUUAAAAGCAUAUAAACCAAUAGAUACACAAAACUGUAGGGGGUACACUUGAAAUUACAUCAAAUUUUUAUAGGUAUUAUAGAAAUUUAAGAGGGGUAGUGGGGGCCUAUAAACCAAUAGAUACACAAAACUCCAGCGGUACAGUUGAAAUUACAUCAAAUUUUUAUAACUAUAAUAGAAAUUUAAGGGGGCAGUGGGGGCCGUGCCCCCAGUGUAAAUCCGCCACUGGUUAGUAUAAUAGGUUUGGCAGCAAUGUGGACCAAGGUGAUUGACAAAUUUUUUUUGUUUUGUUUUAGUACAAGAAGGGUAGUUUAGGAUUCUUGAGAAAAAAUAUAGCCUUUUGGAACUAUAAUGUUACCUGAAUAUGAAAAGUAAGAGAGGUAAGUGUAAUUUAAUAAACUUGAGGGGAGCUCUCUAUAAUUUGUUAGAAACCUCAAGGGAGGUUUGUAAAAUUAUCCCUAAUAACUAAUCAGGAUAAUAUGAAUUUAAUUAGUUUUAAAAGAAUGUAGUUUACUUAAUUACCUAUACAAUCCUUAUUAUCUUUUGUAUAAAAAGAUUAUUAAGUGAUGUAGUAUUGUAAUACAGGUAAAAUUAUUAAUUUUAAUGGCAGGACAUGGCCAUAUGACACUAAGUCAGCAUUGUAAACUUGUAAGUGCCGCUAAAAGUUACUUUAUUGUGGCACCUAUAUGGUAAAUGCCAUUAUCUUGUAGCACUUGUUAGUUAAAUGUCAUAAGAGUGUUGGUAAAUCAUUUUUUUGGGCACUUUAAACAAAGUGUCAUUAAGCAAUAAGAGCAUAUGCCACCAUAAACUCAUACUGUAGCAUACAUUGAAUAUGUCAUUAAUUUAAUGCCACUAAAUUACUUUUUUUUUCUUACGAAGGCACAAAAGCACAACCAUCCAUCCUAAUUGCAAUGGAUGUUAGAAUGACAAGUAACUCAGCUGCAAAAUAUUACUUUCACAUAUUUUUUUCACAUUGAAAGCCCAUCUCCAUGUCCGUAGAAGCUAUUCUCAACCAUAACAAAACAAUUGCAAGCACGCCACUACAUUCAACCCAUUUAGCAUGAUACUACUACGACCUAAUAACAAGAGAGCGUCCCAACACAUAACGUUUUGCAAUAAAUGUACAUGUUGUCCAUGGGCCUAUAUCGGGACCCGACACUAAAUAGGCAAAUCAACAACAAAUCAAUAGAUUUUUUUUUUUAGGGUAAUCAAUAGAUUUACUUAAGCUGAUUAAGAAUCCAAACUAUCUUUUUUUUGUGCCAAGUAUUGGGCAGCACAAUCCAAUGCAUAUGUGAAAUAAUGAACUACUAUAGUUUUCAAAAUUACCCAUCCAAAAUUACCCCUUCAAAAUAAGAUUGUACCCAAUUGUUAAGGAAGAAAUGGGUACUAAAUCAGGCAAAGGCUUAGAUAGUAUAAGGACAGCUGACUUUUUAACUAAGUGCAAGUGUUCCAUGACUAUCUUGUCACUUUCCUUGAGCUCAAAGUGAAGUUGCAAAUAAUGAAAAGAUGAUUUACUUUCUUUGCACAUUGGACGAGAAUUGAAAUACUAAAAAUAAGAAAAGAAUGCACCAAAAGAUACAUUAAAUUAAGUCUUGUUGAACCCAAAUUUUAGUUUCUAAUAAUAAUCAAUGCGUGCAAGAUUACAGAAUUAAAUGGAUAAAACAAACAUUCAAAAUAUACAUGGAAGAGAAGAAAAUAAUUAACUCACAAUAUUAUUUAAAUCCCAAACAAUAAAGAAAGUCAUCCCACUAUAAAAAAUCUGACAAAUUCUUCUAGACUCUCUCUGUCUCUGUCUCUGUCUCUCUCUCUCUCAAGAAAAUAGUCUAAACUAAUGUCCUAUCUAUAACUUACCAGACUUGUUAGAAAAGAAACCACUUGCAUAAGAAAUUAUCAAACAAAACUCAAAUUGCUAAAUCAAACAACUACUAAAAACCGGACUCCAAUAAAACUAAUAAACAAAUAAAUAAAUACUUCUACACUUAGUUUAGUUUAUUGCCUCGCUUAAACCAAAUUCUCCAUUGAAGCAGGUCCAACACCAUCUCAAGCAACAAUUUCUAUGCAAAUAUCGGUUGUUGUAUAGCUGACAUGCAAUUCCAUCUUGUUGCCGGUUAUUAACUUUAUCUUUACACGUGGGAGUGGACGCACUUUGUUUUUUGCAAGUAAUUUUUCAGUAAUUUCUUUUUGAUCAAAGUACUCAUUCAUACAAAUCCAUUCAUCAAUAAAAUCACCAUACUUACCACCAAUGUAAGUGUCCAAAAAUACAAAAUCAUAGACUGCUCUCUUACCAAAAUUAUCACCAAAAAUUUUAUACUGUCAAUAAGCUCUUUUAGAGCAAAAAUUUUUUGAAUUCCAAUGAAAUCCAUAUCUAUCAAAUCAAAUAUCUUUCCACCAUCUUGAGGAGAGUCCAAAUCAAUGAUUUUUUCAAUAAUAAUUUCUUUGUCUUCAAAUACCAAAUCAGACUUCUCUUCUUCCUUUACCAGAUAAAGGCAUUCUUUUUCUUCAACAAAUUCAUCACUCCUAAUCUCUCUAAACAAGUUAUGCAAAUCAAAACUAUCAACUGAUUCAAAAUUUUCAAUAUCCUCCAUAUCAUCAAUAAAUCUAUCAUUUUCAAAAUUCACAAACCAUGUCCAACAACCAGACUUUGGUUUGAAAGUAUAAUUCUUCUCAAUCGUGUGCAAAACAUAGUAAAUAUCCUUCCAAAAUCUCCAAGGUAUUUUAGUAUGAUGAACAAAAAUUUUUUAAAUACUUUCUUCCAUUGUUUUACGCAUCACUUGAUAAAAUAAUGGUGCUUUCUUCUUGAAAACAUGUUUUGACAACUCACUUACAUCAACCCAACAAAGAAUAUCAUCCAAAUUAUAUUGAUUAAGAUAUUUUUUCACUAUUAAAACUCAACCAAAAUAUGUAUGUCUAUUUGUACUUACGGGAAUCAAUAUGGAAAAUUUUUCUCCGUCAAUCAGAUCUCUAUAAUAUUCCAUUAUUUAACAAUUCAUAUACCUAAAUAAAUUUUUCUCUCCCUUCUGUCAGGUUUUCCUGGUCUCCCUGGUUGAUUGACCAAUCAAAUUCUUCAAUUUGACAAUUCGCAGCAAUCAACAAAUCUGAUAAGAUUUUUUUUUCGAUCUUUGUCUUCACACCUACAAUAAUCUAACAAUUUUCCAACCAAUCUUAUGGUCAAAUUUUUCACCAACUACACACUUCAGGACCAACUUUGCGGUUUAACUUGAUUAACUGAAUUUUUUUUGGUAACUUUUUGGCUAAUUCUCUGAUAGUGGAAACGCAUAGAACUAACCUCAUAGUCUGGCUCUGAUGCCAAUUGUAGAAUACAAAUUUUAGAGUUCUAAUAAUAAUCAAUGCGUGCAGGGUCGCAGAAUUGAAAAGAUAAAACAAACACUCAAAAUAUAUGUGGAAGAGAAGAAAAUAAUUAACUCACAAUAUUAUUGAAACCUCAAACAAUAAUGAAAGUCACCCCACUAUAGAAAAUCUGACAAACUCUUCUAGACUCUCUCUCUCUCUCUCAAGAAAAUUGUCUAAACUAAUGUCCUAUUUAUAACCUACCAGACUUGUUGGAAAAGAAACCACUUGCAUAAGAAAUUAUCAAAUAAAACAUAAAUUCCUAAAUCAAACAGCUACUAAAAACCAGACUCCAAUAAAACUAAUAAACAAAGAAAUAAAUACUUCUAACCUUGGUUUAGUUUGCCAACAAGUCUACUUAAUGUACCUAGUAGUUUUUGCUCCUGCAAUGAUAUCUUCUAAAAUGAAAUGAAAGACAAAAAUCAUUAGCUUCAUUUUUUCGCGAGUCCCUAGCGGCUAGCUAGUUUGAAAAUUGUCACCCUAUAUCUUGCUGGCAAGCAAAUAUGUCUGUUUUGGUCAUGCAAGUUAGCCAAAGUAGAACAGCAAGAACACUACUGUUUACCUUUUUUUUGAAGCUUAGCUAUGGACUGGUUUAUAACGUGUUUAUGAUAUGAUUGAAUACGGACUUGGAUUUUUGUAAGAUAAAAAUGACCAAGUGGAAGGAAAAUGACGAGAAGCAUCCUCUUUUACCUUCCCGGUUCCCAUUCACUUUAGAGCUGUGUCAAGCUAUUGCUCCUAAAUCUAGAGCUCCUCAGGCAAGGGAUCCAAAUCCUACCCAACAUAAUGCCUGUAGAAAAGGCUAGAAUUAUGAAGUUCCUAAUAUAAGAGACAUCAUUCAGUACUUAGUUGAAGGAAAUUAAACCAAACUAUUUUAGUAUUUAGUUUCUAAUUUUUUUGGUGUCUUGUUUGUUAUGAUGGGAUUAAGACACGUGUGCAAGUUUAAUUCCAAAUACACUUGUUUUACUACAAGUAUACAGGCCAACUUAAUAAUUUAAGGUAUAUUCUGGUCGAUCACAUGAGAAGCUAUUAUACAAGUACUAGAUCCUUAACUUACCUUAUUAUUUAGAUUAAUAUCAAAUAAAGAUCAAGAAAAAGCAACUAAACUAUUUAUUACUUUUUAACUAACAAACUUGUAGAAAGAAAUACUUGGAGAAAAGUAACUAAAUAUUAAGUUCUAGGGUAUAGAAUCCACUUAUGGUCCAAAAAUAGAAGUGAACGAAUUUUACCUCUUGUUACUACUCUUGUUUAACUGAAAAUUUAUUUUUAAUAUUGUCAAAACUCAUUCUCAUGAUGUAGUGGUUUAAACUAGUUUAGCCGUUCCUAUUCUCAUGGUAAAAAACUAAAUCUAGUCAUUUAACUUCAUGAAACAGUAAGAAAAUCCACUCAAGUGUACCUCUACUCUCGUGAGCCUACUCCUUAAGUUUCAUUUAUCUUAUUCCAUCAUUAUUAUCAAAUUUCAUUGAGCAACAAUAACUAGAAUCUUGUUAUUGGUGAUCAAGCAAUAAUAAUUAAUAACAUGUAUAAAUGGACAAGUUAAUACAAGAAAUAACAAGAAUAAAUCACACUCAACUCAUAUUAUGGUACCAAAAGUUUCAUCUACUCUGUAGAUCUAAAAGUUUAGCUCAUGAUAAAAAAAUAAGACAAUAGAGCUCAAGAUUCAUUGCAUGAACUCAUAUUGAAUCACAAUUAAAGAUAGAUAAGAAAAGUUUAGCCAAAUAGAUGAUCAAUCUCCCAAGAUCUUCAAUUUCUUCACCAAAAUGAGUUGUACAAUGAAGUAUUUUUUCAAGUUCCUCCUUACAAGACUUUCUCUCCUGAUGAGAGAAAAAGAUACACUAAGUUCUUGUUCUAAGACUACCUAACUCUUUUUUUAUGAUUCUUACAAUAUAAAGAUGUUAAGAGAGUCAAAAGUCUUGUUUGAAGUGACAUAAAGCUUCCUUUACAAUCUUCCAGAAUUUCUUGGGCAGAUACAACCAAAAUUCUAAGCUAACAAUAAGCUGAAAAAAAUAGUAUGAAUGUAGAACAAGUUGCAGAACCGAUUGCAGAAUAUGCACUGUAGAAUGACCUUCUUGAGAAUUCAUGAAAUGCUAAAAGCCAUUGAACCACAAAAGAUCAUAAGUGCAUUCAUGAAUAUGUCCAUUAAAGAUCAAGUUUCAAGUCACCAUAUUUUCUAGAGUUCCCUAAGAAUUCAAGAAAUCAUUCAACCAAGCACAUUUUCAUUCAUUAGGUAAUCUAGACUACUCACAUGAAUAUCAUAAACUCCCAUACGCUAAAUAAAAUGCUACAUUGGCCAUUUAAUAUACAACUUUGUCACCGAGUCAAAUUAAGCAUAAAAUUAGCAAAAUGUCACCAAAUUUAGCAAAUAUUCACAAGCUCAUGAUUUGUUCAUCAUCAAUAAUCAUCAACAACAUGAAUAAGUAUAUUAAAAAUCACCAAACUUCAUAAAGACAAGAAAUUUGAAAUUGCCAAAAAGAUAGGAAAUAUUCACAAAUGGCAAUAAUCAAAAGACAAAGUUUAGUGGAGAUUGUUACCUCUAACAUAUUGAGUAAUGAUUAGAGAUGCAAAUAAUGUGAAAUCUCCCUAAAAAUGCACUCCAAUUAGGCUCCAAUUGAAAGAUAUAAUAAGAUGAAACCCUAGCCUACUUGAAGCUUAAAUGCAAAUUUGGAGGUACUUUUGAAAGAUUUUAAACCAUGAAAAUCACUCUAGAGGAUGUGGGGUGUGAUUUGAUGAAAUUUGUUUGAAGAGUAAAUGGUGAAAAGUGGGAUUUUGGUGAGUAGUGUGUGUUUUGGAUGUGAGUGUGUGUGGAGUUGAGGAAGAAGAAAUGAGAAAAAUGAGAAAGAAGUAAUUAGACCCUUCAUUUUUGAACUAUUUCUGAACCGAUCCGAGGUCAGAUCAUGGUGAACAGACUUGGAUUGAAAAGCUCGGAUUGGUCUUUGAUUGCAGAAGUGGAUCCGAGGUCGGAUCUUUAUAGAUCCGAGCUCGGAUCCUUUGAAUCUACAUUUAUUGUAGAAUUUUCUGCAAUUGUCAGUUUAACCCCAAUUCAAAACACACUCUCCAAUUCGCGCUCUACAACGAAAUUUUCAACAAUUUAACACUUUACGCACAUGAAAUAUCACUUAAACAUGAAUCUCAACACCUCAAAACAAAUAAAAAACAUAUAGAAUACAAACUGAGGAUUGAGGUCCUUGGAUCAAAAAGUCCCCUCGGCAUUUUGAAUGCACAUGAUGGUGCUCAAAUGGUUAAAAGAGUGCAAAUAGGUCAUGAACACAUUUGAACACUUGAAUUCACUUCAACUUCAUACAAAUGACUAACUUAACCUUAUAUUAAGAAAUUAAACAUUGUAGCUUCAAAAAGAAAGGUUAAACUUCCUUUUUUCACAUUGAUCUCCGAUCCUUAUGAACAAUUGCUUUUCAAACUUGCAUCUUCUACAAAACCAAUGAAACAAACAUAAAUAGCAUCUUCCUAAAACAUAAAAUACACACUAAACUAACUAACUUCAUUAAAAUUAUUGGGUUGCCUCCCAACAAGCGCUUCUUUAUAGUCAUUAGUUUGACUAUAUAACCUCAUUUUUUAAAAAAGAUUUUGUCAAUGAAUAAUCCACCAUUAGAGGACGUGGUGGAUCAUCGAAAGGUGGCUUGAUAGCAAAAGCCACAUGUUCUAAUGAUGUAAGAGAUGGAAGAGGCUUGCCUAUCUCAAGUGACUCAUAAAUAGUACCUUGAAUAUGUGUCAUUUGAGUACUCACCAAAGGAACAUCCAUAUAACCUUCUUGGGCAAUUAUGAUUUAGGAACCUUCAGUUGUAACACACUCCUCAAGAGAGGUUAUAUAUGAAUUAUUCAUGCUUGCCUCUUGAGGUUCAAACUUUACUCCAAAGGCAUGAUCAUGUGACAUUGAUAUUUCUUCAUUGAAACACACAUUAGAUGCACCACUUUCAUCAAAAUGCAAUCCAUUUUCACAUACAACAUUCCCACCAUUCAUGUUAGGGUCAUUUUGCAUACAUUAGGAGAAAUAACUUCACACAAAACAUGUAAAAUGAUCUUGUAUUCUACCAAAGUGAGAAGCCAAUUCAUCUAACAUUUCCUCUACCCAAGCAAAAUGAUCGCAGGUUGCAUUAGCUAGUUUUUCCAUAGUUAAAUCAAAUUGAUUAGAAAAUUUUUCUAUGGCUAGCUUCCAAGAUGGUUUAGAAUUAUUAGCUAAUGGUUCACUUUCUAAUUCCCAAGAUAAAGAUGCAUUAGCUAACCUUUCUAUUGCUAAUUCUCAAAAUGGUUUAGAUUCAAAUUGGACAAAUUCGGGUUGGUAAUCAUAAAAAUAUGGUGAAUCAUUAAAUGCACAUUGAUUAUCCCAACAGUAAGCAUAAGAAUUACCCCAACUAGGGUUGCCUUGAUCAAAACAAGAAUCAUAAUGCCCAAAUUCAUCAAAAUAAUCCACAUUUUGUACUUGCCUACAUAUAUUAGUAGCAUGAUAACCUCCACACAAGUCACAAAUUAUAUGAUAAGAAUGGAAAGUAUUAACAUUCCUCUUCUGUUCAAGCAUAUUCAUGAUGGUGUCCAAUUGAACUUUUAACGUUAAAAAAUCAAGUUUAGCCUUUAAACUUCUUAAACCGUCUUCAAAAGACAUACCUUCGGUAAUUUCUUGGUUAUCUCUAUUCAAGGAGCUUUGCAUUUGAUAACAAUCCAUUGCUGAUCUUCCUUCUCUCAAGCAUUGUCUGUCCAUGUGUUCUGCUCUCCUUGACUCCCUAAACAUGUUUUCAAUGUUGCUCAAAAACAAGUUUGGUCAAGAAGAAUAGUUGACUCGACACAUACAAAAAACACACAAACAAAGACUCCAUAAACAUACAAGACAUAACAAACACAAAAUAAAGGGUUAAUCACAUUUUAUCCCCUUAAAGAAUACCACAUUUCUCAAUUUACCCCAUAACCUUUAAUUUUGCUCAUUUAACCCCCUUUAGGACAAAAUUGCCCUUGCAUUAUUUUGACUUUUCAUUUACCUUGUUUUCUUUUUUUUUUAGUUCUUUUUCUCUUUUUUUUUUUUAUUUAAUUCUUCCUCUUUCCCACAAAAAUUUUUACCUUAAUGAUUGAAAUUAAAAAAGAGGAAUUGCAGAGAUCUAUCUUCUCCUUAAAUGAUUAAAAAAAUAUUCAAAUCACUUUCUUAAAAUACAAUUUUUUUAGCCUUUCAAUUUUUUUAAUUUUGGGUUUUCCUCUUUUCUUUCUAGUUUCUCAUUUUAUUCUCAAGAAAAUAUCAUAAGAUGAAAUUGUUUUCCUUUCUUUUAUUUCUUUUCUCUUUCUUCUCUCUUUCAUCCUUUCCAAUAGAAAUUUCAUUUCAACGAAAAUUUUUGUUUUGAGUUUGUAAUUGCAUAUUUCCGAGUGAAGGUUUAAAAGGCAUCAAAAACUAAUUUUGAUUUUUUGUAUGAUGCCACGUGUCACAAAUUUCAAUUGAUGAUUAUUAAUCAGGUCACAAUUUCAUCUUAAGAAAUUUUCUUGGGAAUAAAAUAAGAAACUAAAAAAUAACAAGGAAAAUCCAAAAUUAAAAGAAUUGAAAGAUUAAAAAAAUUGUAUUUUGGGAAAGUGACUUGAAUAUUUUUUUUAAUCAUUAUAGGAGAAGAUAUAUCUCUGCAAUUCUUUUUUUUUAAUUUCAAUCAUUAAGGUGAAGAUUUUUGUGGGAAAGAGGAAGAAUAAAAUAAAGAAGAAAGAGAAAGAGAAAAAGAAAUAAAAGAAAGAAAAAUAAGAUAAAUGAAAAGUUAAAAUAAUGUAAGGGCAAUUUUGUCCUAAAGGGGGUUAAGUGAGUAAAAUUAAAUGUUAGGGGGUAAACUGAAAAAUGGGGUAUUCUUUAAGGGGAUAAAAUGUGAUUAACCUCAAAAUAAAUGACUCAAUAAGACACUAACACUACAAAAGAGACACAACAACACAAAAUAACAAGUAAAAUGUCUAAACUAAUAAAGUUGUUCUUCACACCGAUAUUACCAAAUCUUCCCUGGCAACGGCACCAAAAACUUGGCAAGUACGGGAUAUACAUAUAACAAUUAACUCAUCUACAGUCAAGUUUUGCAUUUACAAAAUUCUAAAUACCUCACACACGAUUUUUUUCAAGUAUACGAGUCGAGAGCGAGUAUAGGGUAUUAAGAAUCGAUCCUAUAAGGAAGAAUGGACAAUUACCAGCACUACUAAAGUUCCUCUAUUAUUUAGACUAUCACAAGUACAAGAAAUUAACUCCACACUAUAAACAUGAGAUAAAAGUAAUAAAAAUAAUAAUAGAAAGCUCCUAGAGGUAUGGAAUUCCUCACUACUCUUGCAAAUGAAAUUACCAGUUAAGUGAAUGGUAUUAUCUCAGCUAGUUAUGGUGUAAUUUCCUAAUAUACGUGAUACCUACUUUUGCCGAUAUAUCAACUAUAUCUAUAGUUAAUUCAUAUCUACUUUGUGGUUAUGAAACUAUUUACAAGCUCAUUUCUUGUAUGAAAUUAUAUGAAACAAGUCACCAAAGUUACAAAGAUGCAUCUCUACUUUCGUGAGUGUACUCCCUAAAUUUAUCACUUCUUUAAACUAGUGUUAAAUCCCAACUUUCAUUACAAGCUUAACACCUUAAGAUUAGCACAAUUAAUGGCCGGUUAAUCAUGAUUAGAGAAGCAAAAAUGAUAAAUAACUUGUUCAAAAUAAUAUCAUCAAAUAACCACGAAAAUAUCACUAACAAGAUAUAGUAUGUUCAUCCAUAACUCUAGGUAUAAGCUUUAUCAAAACAUGAAAACAAAUACCAAACUUGUAUUAUAGUUAAAUAUGAAAUAAAAUACACAAGAGAAAGUGAGAGGAGAGAAGUCACCCUUAUCACAUGAGAACCAUCUUUCCAUCUGUACUCCUCAAUGCUUCAUCCAAAUCUAAUUACAAAUAUAAGAAGGAUAACCUACUCUAACUAUCUUACACUAAUGAAUUAAGAAAAACUAGUGAAAACUACAUUUUUGUGAAGUUUCUCUAGCAUUCCAAAGUUGUAAAAAUGAUCUCUAAGGCUUCUAUUUAUAGAAGAAUCCAAGCUUAAAGUGAGAUGUUAAAGUUGAUGUGAAAUGCUCCUUGAGAUUCCCAAAAGAUGUUUCUACAAGUCUCCAAGCAUUUCCUUUACAGCUGCAGUCGAAAUUCUGAGUUUGGAUUAGCUGGAAAAGCUAUGUGAACGCAGAACAAAUUGAUGUACAAGUUGCAGAUGUGACGCCCCCACUUCUCCUUAGGGCGAACCCUAAGGUAUCCGCGGAACGCCUGCCCAACUCUCGCCGGGACUCACUACAAUCAAUAAUUCAAAAACUAGAAAUAUUUCAGAUAUUUUCAAUACACAUUUAAAGUACUCCAAAACGUUAAUAUUUAAAAUUCGCUAACCUUCAAACUUAAAUACAACCCAAGAGAAUAUGUACUACAGUCGUCUGCUAUAAUACAACUUAAAGUUUCCAAAAAAAAAUAAUUUAGUACUAUUUGCGAGUACUCUCGGUCUUGAACCCUGUUAAGAAAAACAAAAGCGUGGAAUGAGCUAAACAACCCAGUGAGGUUCCAAAAUACACUAGCAAUUCUAAUAAAUCAAGUAAAUUGAGCAUAACGCACAUACGGUUCAAGGUUGCACAUUGGCACAUUAGAAUGAAACAGUUAUCAUUGUACAAAAAUAAACACACAUUGAAAGGAUACGGUGUUCACUUGGAACGAUUUCAAUCCACUUCACCUUAUAACUCCAGUGAUCCCCUCGGUUUGUCUGGCCAUCACCUUAUCCCUCCAGUGGUAAUACUCGAGUAUACCGAAACGGUGGCCCAGGGUUCCAACCUACCCCCGACCGAGUCCAAUCCUGACUCGAGCAGGUUAGUAACCAAGGGUAGGAUCCAGUUCAGCUUAGAGCUUACAACAUGCGCAAGUAAUCAAGUAAAUCGAUAAACGGUAGUAGUUCACGGUUAACGGUAGAAAUUUACGGUUAAACGGUAGAAAUUCAUUAUUUUAGUAGGUCGAGUGUGAUAAAAUACGCACUCGCCUUAAAACGGUGGACAAUUUCAUAGUAGCAAUUAUAGAUAGCACUUAAUACUUAAACACACAAUAACUAUGAAGUAAACAUGUAGCAAAACUGUUCAAGUCAUGUACACCUAUAAGGAACACUUACCAGUUCAAAAUAGGGAGUAAGUGCUCAAACAAGCGUUUAGGCGUCCGCUUCGAGAUUCUCUUGGUCCCCUUGAGCGCCUGAGCAAAUAAUAAUUGACUACCACACACUAUCGCUUAUAAACCCCUUGUCAACCAAGAAGAUUGUACACUUGUACAAUACCAAGAAAAUGUCAUGAAAGAGAGCUUUAAUUACUCAAAAAUCGAGACUCAAGAGUGGGGUUUAAUAACACAAGAAAAACUGAUUUUCUCCAUGAAAUCAAGUUUAAAACGGUCAAUCAAUAUUAAAAGGAUAGGGAAGAGUUUCCAAAAACUCAUUUCCCAUUGAGUCGAGAAAUUUCAGUUUUGCACGUCAAAUUUAGAAAAAUCAGAACUUGCACUCAAUAGGUCCAAAAUUGGAAAAAUUUAUACCUUGGAAUCUUGGUUCGGAGUACUAAAAGUUUCUAAAAGACACUUUUUCAAGAUUCUAAAUGGAAGACAUUCAAAUUUGAGCUCAAAGUAGCUGAUCUGAACAAGCAAGACAGUUUUGGUCAUGUUUUUCGGUAAAUUUUGGAAAUUCGGCAAAAUUCACAGAAAGUGAACUAGCCUCUGAAAUUUGUAACACAAUAAGAAUUUCAAUCAAGGUUUCAAACACAACAAACGGAACUAAAUUCGAAAUUUCGAGUAUCGAGAUACAUCAGUUCAAAGUUGGUUGCGUUUUGCAAACUAUUCAGUCAUUUUCCAGAUUUGAAAAGCUAUCUUUGAAGUAUCAUUUAGCCAUCAAAAUGGCAUUGAAAAUACACCAAAUUUGGUACACUAAACUUUCCAUAUGUGAAAUACAUUUCUACCAAAUUUCAUGUGAAAAAUCACGUGGGAAGGCAGUUAACAAAAUAAUCAAAGUUCGGAAAAUUUCCAAAGCAAAUCUUCCAUCUCACCAUUUUCUUUCUUUCCAAAAGCUUAGUACUAUGAAAUCAGUCCCAAGUCAUCCCAUUUUGAAACCAUGAGUCCAAAACACUUAAUAAGUAGUUUAGAGGUAAUUAACAUCAAGAUUUUUGAAAUAUAACUUUCCAAAUCAGAUUUGACCAUUCGGCCAAGAAGAAAGGAAAAGUUUCUGGUUUUCCAGCCUUGUCACAGUUUGAAAAUUAAACCAUAUCUCACUCAAUUCAAUUUUAAAUUGAGAAUGGUUAGUGGCGUUGAAAACUAGGUUCAAAAUUCCACAUUUCAUCAGAAGAAAAUGUUUCCAAAAUCAGUUCCCAAGUAGUUUGAAUUCAAGCCACAAGUUGCAGCUUCUCAUCUCCAUUCGAACGGAACAAGCAGACAGAACAUAACAGAACAGCCAAUUUUAUCAAUUCACUGCAGUUCACUCAGAUCAAACUAGCAAGUAUUUUUUUACCGUUAGAAAGCUACAGAUGUCUAGUUUCAAAUGCCACAAAUGGCACUCGAUUUUGACUUUUGUACAAAGAGUUAUGUUCGAUCAAAGGGGUACUGUUCAGACUGCCUGAACACAUUUUCCAGUUUUCUUCAAAUUUCGAAACUUCAAAUUUUGCUCAACCAAUUCAAAUGAUUUUUGGUAGAAACUUUCUACACAUUAUAUACAACAUAUAUCAACCAAUUUCACAGCCAACAAACAUCAAAAAUUUCGAAUAUGAAAUAGAACAACAUGUCCAGAAAUUCGGCUAGCUCUCUCUUCUCUCACGGUGCCUCUCUUUCUUUUUCCUCUUCUAAUUUCUUCCAUCAAAACUCAUCACAAACACACUAACACACACAUAAACAUCAUGGCAGCCCUUAUUUAACCAAGGUGAGAGUUCAUAGAGCUCACUUCAACCAUCCAAAUCCAAGCAACAACAACAAGAAGGAAGCUACAAGCUUCAAAACCAAGAAAUGAAACAAGAAAGUAAAAGCUUUGUUGGAGGUGUUUAUACCUUCAAACUCAAGAUGAAACUCUAUAUUUUUGUUGUGAGAAACUCCUUAAAACAGCCCUAACCAGCUGCCCCUCUCUUCCCUUCAAGCUAGAGCAAGAACCCAAGGAGUCUGAUGGUUGGAUGAUGUUUUGCAAGCAAGGAGUUCUUUUCUUCCCUUUCUUGUCUUGAGGCUGGCCGAAAUUUGGAGUGAGAGAUAAGGGAGUUUGGUGGUUUGACUCUUGUAAAACUUGGGGAGAAAGAAUGGAAUAGUAGCUUUAGAUUGUGUGCAAAAAGUCAACUUUUACUAGUGUCGCGCGCGGGUUUUGUACUACCGUUUUCUCUCGGGUUUGAUACACUUCUGUACUAAUCCUCUAAGGUACUUCCUUUAAUAUGAUAAUUAUUCACUCUUAGUAGUCUAGUAUUAAUUCCUCAAAUCUCCAAUUUGUCAUACCGGAGUGACUUUUGGAAAAUUAUCGACGCACGCGCAGUAAAAGUUUACUUUAAACUCACUCAUAUCUAAUCCCUCAAUUAACUUUUCUUAGUCUAGUAUUGAUCAUUCUUAAUUCUCUAAGACAAAUGUACUCUCGAAUCGAAUAUAGUCUCGAAAAACGUGUACUCAUUAUUUCUUGCUAAACGAGCCGUAGGAAAAAUUAAAUUUGCUAACUAAACGUUUUAGAAUUAUAAAAGGGACAUUUUUGCAUACAAAUGGACUUAAAACGGAUGAAAUAAAUUAUCUGGAGUAAACGGGCGAAUAAAUAAUUAAAUAAACCAGUAAAAUAAAAUAAAAAUAAGAAAAAUUUUGGGUCUUCACAGCAGAGCCACAAUUUGGGAUCCGAGGGCAAGACUCGAGUCGGAUCGUUUCAAAAUACCCCUUAGAUCUCAUAUUUCUCUUUUGUUUAUUUUCACUACACAACAGGAAUCGAGGCCUAUAGCUGGAAGAUUCGAGCUCGAAUCCUACUCUUGGAUAAUGCCUCUGGGUACAAAAGUUUAUCCAAGGUUAGAUCUAAGGGUUUCAGUUUAGAUAUGAACUCAAAUCUGCUUCCUCUAGUUUUGCACCAACUUCAACUGAUAUUUACUCGAUAAUAUAGGCUGAACUAACUCUUGUACAAAACACCAAAAUUGUAGCCCUUUGAGUUAACUUUCCAAUGUCUCAAGAAUCAUCCAAUUUAGGGCUUUGUAGACUCAGAAAUUACCAAAAUACCCUCAACUAAUCAGAACUCUAUUUCAUCUUUCGACAAUGAAAAUGCACUUCUGUAUUUUGACCUUUUAACAAUGGAAAAGACUAAGAUGUUUUCACAAGAAAUGUAUAGCUAUGUGUUAGCUUCAAGAUGGUUCAAGAAUCAUCUCAAUCCGAUACCUUUAGCUCAAGUUAUACCCAAAAUACCAACAGGUGUAAAAGCUGUGAAAUUCCCUUGAUUGCAUUUCAUCUCUUGCACUUGAUAUUAUCUUAUAAACCACUUCAAAUCAUCAUCAAUCAUCCAAUUAUCUUCUCAACUCACUCCAUUUGAUGAUUGAAUCAUUAAACUUACAAAAACAUGAAGUUUUCAACAUUAAAAUCCAUAGAAAUGCAAUUUCUAUCACUUUAACCAUAAAAUGUAUAUUUUCACUCGAAACUUGGUUCAUUAGCUAGAAACAUGAAUAAAUACAGCAAAACUAAAUAAUAAAACAUGUUUAAAACACUUAAAAUAUGAACUUAUUAGUAAUAUAUUUUCUAACUUUAAAUCUCAAUUUAGCGAUAUGUAUUGAGCGCUAUUUCAAUUUUCUAUGAUAUGAAAAAUUAAGUUCAAUAUUUAAUAUGAAUUUUUAGAGUAAGUUAAAAAAGCUGGUGAGCUGCUGCCUUAAAUCAUCAAUGACAUUAAAUUUAUUAUUUUGUAAAAUGAUAACUAAAUGUUCACUUCUAAAUUUUCUUCUAAGGUUAUUGUGGAAUUUAGAGAAAUUAAUUAUGCGUCAAAAAAAAUUCUUUUGAACAAAAAAAAAUUUAUUUUCUUUCUCUAAGAAAAGAAAAUCUAAGUGGGAAAAAUUUACCCCAUGAGAUCUUUAGAUGUACAAUUAUGACCCUUAGGUUAAACAUUUAUUGAGUUGUGAAGCCUCACCUCACAACUCAAUAAAUGUUUAUGAGCAUGUGCUUGCUUUCAAAUGUAAUUUAAUUGUAAGGGGGCCAGUUGCAUUAUCACUCAAUAGUUCGUACCAACAACUUUUUUUUUUAUUUUUAUCUCUGUACUCUCCUUAGCUCCCUUAACAACUAGGGGUGGGCGCGGGUCGGGUACCCGCCCCAUUCACCAUUUGGUUGACCCGACCUGCACCUUGCGGGUCAGCCAUUUUUUGACCCUUACCCGCACUGCAUAUCAGUGGGUAUCCGAUUAUAGGGUACCCGCUGAGAUAGGAUCGGGUCAGCGGGUAUCCGUCCCGCCCCAUUUAUCAUUUAAUUUUUUUAAAAAAAUAAUUAAAAAAUAAUUUAUGCCAAUUUAAUUUUAUAUUUUACACAUUCAUCUAAGAUUUAAUAAUUUUUUUUUCUAAAAAAAGGUUUCGCACAAAGAAACAAGCAUGUGAAGAGAAUAUAAGAUAAAAGAAUUCAAAAUCAAUAAAAGUUUGAAAUAAGUAGCACAAUUUUUAAUAUAUGUUCCAUAUUAAUUAAACUUUUUUCUAUAAAAUAUAAGAUAAUGACACCUACAAAUGAAUCUUAUAAAUAAACUAUAGUAUCUCAUAUUUGUAAUACAAUUUGUUCAAUAAAAUUACUUAUUUAGUUCUAAAUUAUUAUUUUAUAGUGUGUGUAUAAAAAUAAAAAUAAAAAAUAUAUAUGCAGGGCGGAUGGGGUACUCGCGGGUUUUUAAUUAUGUGAUCCUAACCCGCCCCGCAUCUUAGUGAGUACCCAACCCUCUUUUGACCCGAUCAAAUAAUAAAAAUCGGAUAUCUUCAUUUUCGGAUCGGAUCGGAUCAGAAAUGACGGGUUUUCGGCUUAGCGGAUAAUUUUGCCCACCCCUAUUAUCAACUCCAAAUCCUGCCUCCUACCUAGGGGUGGCAAUCGGGUCGAGUUUGGGUUGACAGGUCGUGUUAAAACUCGGGUAUAACAGAAAAUCUGUUGAUCUGAAUCUGACUCAUCAACCCGAAACGGGUCAGGAUACCUGACAUGAACCCGAAAAGUUUGGGUUAGCGGGUUGACGGGUCGACCCGAAAUGACCCGAAACUUAAUUUUAAUUUUUUAAUUUAUCACUGUAAUUUUUAAUAAAAUCAAUUUCUCACAAAAUUAAUUACAUAACCAAGUAAUAAAAAUUUAAAUAAAUAAUUCCAAACCAAAUCUGAAAUAAAUUAAACACCGUAAAAGUGUUUUAUCCCAAACCAAAUAUAAAAUAAAUUAAAAUAGUAUAAAAGUAACUUCUGACUCGAAGUGCCUAGUCAAGGCGACUUCCAACUCAUCCCUGUCUUCAAUUUCAAAAACUUCUUGUACAGCAGGGUCAAUAACAUUUAUAGAGAAAACAGAGCCAACAUGUGAUUCUGAAAGAUAUUUCAUGGUUUCAAAGAUAUUAAAAUGCACAAUCUGCCCAUCAAAUUUCAUAGACAAAGUACCCUUAUUAACAUAAAUUUUGGUUCGAGUUGUGCUCAAAAAGGUUCUACCUAACAAUAAAGGUGAUGGGUCGUGGGAGUGUUCAUCAUCCAUGUCAAGCACAUAAAAAUCAGCGGGGAAUACUAAUUCAUUAAUUUUAACCAAAACGUCUUCAAUCAACCCGUCAGGGUAUGCAUUGGUUCGGUCAGUCAGUUGGAUUAUUAUUCCAAUUUCUUUCAAAGGACCUAAGUUCAAAGAAGCAUAUAUGGACUUUGCCAUGACAUUAAUUGAUACUCCUACAUCUAACAUAACCUUUUCAAUCAAGGUAUUACCGAUCCUACAAGGAAUAGUGAACAUAUGUGGGUCCCCACAUUUCGGUGGAAGUUUUCGUUGCAGCAUUGCUGACACAUUAUCCCCUACUACAACUCGCUCAUCUCCUUUCAACUACCUUCGAUUGACACACAAGUCCCUCAAAAACUUCGCAUAUCUAGGCACUUGUUUAAUCGCAUCCAGUAGGGGCAUAUUAAUCUCUACCGUGCGAAAGAUCUCCAAGACCUCUUUCUCCUUGUCCUGUUUCUUUGGUUUUUCUAGCAUGCUAGGAAAGGAAGGUGGAUUAGUUUUAACUCUAGUAAUCAGAUCCGGAAGUACCAUUUUAUCUUUGUUGUCUCUGCCCUCCUCUUCCAACUCUUUCUCGAUUCGUUCCUCGUCCUUGUCCUUAGGAAUCACCGGUUCGGGUUCUUGGACUUUCUUUCCAUUUCUCAAGGUCAUUGCACUCACAUUCUUCAGGUUCAACUCAAGUUGAGGUGGCAGCUUCCCUUGAACCUGGGGCUCCAAAUGGUUGAUUGCGAUGGCCAUUUGAUUUACCUGAGUUUGCAAUGAUUGUACUUGUCCUAGUUGAUUUCUCAUGCUUUGCAAGUCCGAAUCUGUCUUUUGUUGGUUGGCAAGUAAUUGCUUCAUCAUGUCUUCCAUGGACGGACUUGAGUUCGAAGGGGGUGGUGGCGGGCGAGGUUGAUACUGCUAUUAAUGCCCUUGCUGUCCAUUUGGCAUGAAAUUAGACGGCUUAUUCCCUCCGUAGCUCAGGUUGAGGUGGUCCCUCCAACCAGGAUUGUAUGUACUUGAGUACGGGUCGUACUGUCUUCUUGGCGUGAGUGUGUGGCCAGCCAUGUUCACCUGUUCUGCAGUCUCCUCCUGAACCAGUGGGCACAUUUCUAUAGAAUGUCCCGGGAUAGUGCAUACCCCACAUACUCUAACUUGUGAGGCACUUCAUACGGCUAGUUGUCAAACGAAAGACGUCAAUUCUGAGAGUUGUUGUUGGAUGGAGGAGGUCUCUACCUCAUUCACCUUACGCGUCGGAACAUCCUCUCUCGAACUGAACUGCUGUGAAUUCUCAGCCAUCCCCUCAAUCAGCUCCCAAGCUGUCCGAGGGGUUUUGUUCACCAACGCCCCUCCACUUGCAGCAUCAAUUAUACUCCUGUCCCUAAAGAGUAGCCCCUCAUAGAAAUAUUGGAUGAGCAGUUGUUCAUUUAUUUGAUGCUGAGGGCAUUUGGUGCACAAUUUCUUAAACCGUUCCCAGUACUCAUACAGAGAUUCGCCUGGGUGUAGUUUAAUGCCGUAUAUCUCCUUUCUUAGGCUUGCAACUCGAGAUGCAUGAAAGUACUUAUUCAGAAAUUUUUUCUUCAGUUGGUCCCACGUGAUGAUACUACCUGUCGCGCCCCACUUUUUGAAUGAGUUGAAUGUGAGUGAUGUGUGUGUGAAGUGUGGUGUGAACGUGUGCAAAAUGAAAAGUAAAAAGGCCAUGGGACUUUGGAAAGCGACGAUUUGGCCAAAGAAAUUUUUAAAAAAGGGUUUUUUAAAUAUGAAAACGGAGUCGCCACUUGGUAUAGAUUUGGGGUGUACCAAGUCACCCAAAAAGUGUUUUUUAAAGACAAAGUAGUAAAACCCUUUUUAAAACGACUCCUAAUCCACGUAAGCCAAAGAAAAAGGUUCGGGGGUCACGUUUGACAAAGGGGAAGGCAAGGAUAGAAUCCAAGGCACCCCUUUGACCUAGCCAAGGCUAGUUGCGCGACUCAAACCAAUUUUUCCUAAUUUUUCUACCCAAGGUAUGUAUCGCGUAUUGGAUAUGUCUAUAUGAAUGCAAAAACCUAGACCUAGGGGGAUUGGGGGAAAUUUCUCUUCAAAAGUUGAGUGGUGCCAAUCACAUUAAUUGUGAAGCCCAAUAAUGAUCCUUUUGGAGAGGUCACACCUAAACCUAAAUGACGUGAAAAAUGAGUGGAAUGCAUGCCAUGUGAAAGUGUGAGUUUGUGUGAAGUGAGAAAAAUGAUAAAAGUAAUAAGAUAAGAGUGAAGGUGUGCAAAUGUAGAUGAAAGUACUCGUGUGCGAGCGAAGAUAAAAUGCUCGUGUGCAAGUGAAGAUAAAAGGGUUCAUGUGCAAGUGGAGACAAAAAAGUGUUCGUGUGCAAGCGAAGGUGAUAAAAAGGUGCAUGUGUGCAAAUGAGACAAAAGUGAAAGUGUAAUGAUAGAGUGGAUUGAGAAUGCAUGAGCCUAGGGAAUUCAUGCAUAUUGGGUACGGGGAGACCUAAAUCGUGACUUGAUUUUCCCUUUGAUUAGAAGGCGAAACUAGCGUGCUAAGGCUAUCGAGUAGCCACACUCGCUCGUUUCCCUUAUCGGAAGGGGACACUCAAGCAAAAUGAACCCUAUAACUAUCAUGAUAUGCAAAAAUCCUAAAAUGAAGGGAAAGGGGGUUCGAGGAGCAUGCCAAGUGAUAAAACUAAGAGAAAUGCAUGAUAUGUGGUGAACAAGCAAAUGAUAUGCUAAUGAGGGGAAAUCCCUAAGGGUCUAGCGUUGGACUAGCCCAUUCUAUGAAUUCCGACUAGCGUUGGACUAACGGAAACGUACAUUCAUCCAUUCCAUUCAUUCAUGGCUAUGAAAGCAAGUAGACAUGCCAAAAUACUCGUAAACACAUAGCACAUAGCAUUUAGCAUGCUCGACUAGAUGCAAGAGCCUAAUAAAGCAAUUAAACAUGUAGCAACAAAAACAAGCAAGGGGAAGGGGAAGUGGACCAGAUGCUCUCCGAGCCCUAUCUAUUACAAGCCAAGAGGUGUACACAUACCCCAUAAAAGCAUAAAGGGGAAGGGGAAAUGGACCAGAUGCUCUCCGAGCCCUAUCUAUUACAAGCCAAGAGGUGUACACAUACCCCAUAAAACUUAAAUAAAAGUAAAAGCAAGUAAAUGCAUGCAAGGAGGUAAGGAAAGCGGAGUAGGCAUGUAUAUUCACGUAACACGUAGGAGCACGUAGGGUCAAAUGAAGUGCAAAUGAAGGAUAGAGUGUACCUCCCUUGAAGCGACGCCCUAACGUAGUGAAAUUACUAAUUUACCCUCCAAAAUAAUGAAAAGGGUCAAAGUACCACUUUAUUUAAGAAAAAUCAUAUGUAACAGAAAUUAAACACAAAAAUGGAAAUUAAGCAUGAAAUGAGCAUUAAACAUGGAAUAAAUCAUGCAAGUGUAGGCAAACUCGGUCCCAGAUAAAAGGUUCCAAAAUCCUAAGAUGAAGUUUUAAAUUGAAUGGAUUAAGGUGGACAAAACUUGGCUUGGGCUAAAUCCAUCAAAACACAAGAUUAAUGCACUCAUUUAAAAGCAAAAUAUGAACAAGACAAUUUGAAUUCACUAACUCCUUCAAAAAUCAAGACACCACAAGUAGCUAUGGAAUUUAACCAUUAAAGCCCUUCAAAUAACCAAAACAAGUCCAUAUUCAUCAAAUGAGAUUCCAAUUUGAAAAGGAAAGAAAAUUCGAAGGAUCAAAUUGAUUGAUCUUUUCAGAUGCUUGGGCCAUGGUAGAAUAAAGGGAAACUUGGGGGGGGUUAAAAUGCAAUUUUUGAAAGUCAUUUACAUGCAAUGUUCAUGCAAUCCACGUAGAAGGCUUCUACGGUUCCAAUUCCCAUACAACACAAUUUCUGCAGCUUUAACUUUCAACCAUGCAAUUCAUUUGCACAAACAAAAGAAGAAUAUGGCAUUUUAACCAGAAAAAUCAUCUCGGCAAACCGUCAUAAUGAAGCAAGAAUUGAAAAAGUUCAAGUUACGCCAGAAAAUUCAGCAACUAAAGAAAGGAAGAGCUGCUACAACAAGCCAUGAGUUCAGGCUUAUUGCAGCAGAUUUUUAUGCCCAAAUCCCAACCGCGUGCAAUCUAAAACCAAACAAAAGGAUCAUCGAACACGUUGCUCUUUGAGCUUGCAUCGGCCAAAACAGAUUCCAUAAAACAACUUUGAGAUUGCUCCCAUUAAAACAUGGUUAAACAUCACUUAACAAAUCAAAUAGCUGGAAGAAAUCCAUGCAAAGUUGACAUGCGAAUACUACAAAGAAACAAACGGCAACCUGAAGCUAUUGUUCUACAGCAAGAACAUUUAUUAGUGAAGCUUUCUGCAAUCCAAACAAUACCGCAGCAGCUAUCAAUCUCAACAAAUUUCUGAUAAAACUUUUCAAACCAAACACUCAAAAUUUAAUCUAAGCAACCUGACACAGCAUGUCAACAUCCAAACAAACCAAAAACAUAGAAAGAAAAUCACACAAGUGCUUAGAGAAAAGUCCAGCAAGCAUUCGGCAAUUGGAGUUGCUCAUUUUCCAGCAAAGCUGUGAUCAUGGCUCAAGUGCUUAAGACCCAAAUAUGCAAACCCAAACACCACUCAUUCUAUUUUCUUUCAAGGCAUCAGGUCAAGAAACAAACCAGGUAAUGAACUCAAAUGAUAGACAUGACAUUCAGAUCAGAUUUUCACAAUCAUCAACUUAACUCAAAUGCGUGAACUUGGGGACAGGGAGAUCAACCACGGUGCAACCAUGACAUCAAGAUCUAACUGCUAACCAUGUCUAAUGCUCUUUUAAUAAAUCUUUUGGCCAUUAAAGCACAGAUCUUUGAAUCGAAAGGGAUCAGGAAAGAGAAACUAACGGAUAAAAUAUGCAUUAACCAAGAAAACUCAUGCGAUGGUUCACCGAACCUUCAUAAAAAAAUUGAGUUGGCUGGAUCAAGAUGUACUCGUUACCUGCACAUUGUUAGAGAUCGAACCGGCUUGAGGAGAAACGAGAGCUUACAUCUGAAGCAAAUGGACACGGAGUAGGAGAUUGUCCGCAACUUCAUAAGCUUGAUGAAGUGAACAGGUGAGGUCUCGUCCAAAGCUUCUUCCCAGAUUUCAGCAUUUAGUUUUGCUCUCCCGAAGUUUCCUUCUCCCAAUCUCCCUCUUGAUCUCGGUUUUGCUAGGUUUUCUUGUUUUUUUCCUUUUAGUUUUUCCGUUUUCCAACCCCCUCUUCUCUGCUCGCAACCCAGAAAUUUUCCCUUACCGCCCUCUUGUUUCCUUGCUUAACUCCGUCAAACCCCUCUCCCUCAGUCCUCUCUGGUUUUCUCUCUCCUUCUCUGUUUUCUUAGCCGAGCUUCCUCUCACUCCCUCUUGCUCUCCUUUCUCUCCCCAAAGCCCGCAGCCUUUCUUUCUUUUUCCUUUGCUGUUUUUCUUUUCCCUAACCGAGCUCUCCCUCGUAUCUUCUUUCCGAUCCUAUCCUCCCUCUCUUCUCCAAAAAUCUCCCCCCUGCGGCUGGCUUUCUCCUUUGCUUUUUAUACCAGAAACCUCACAACCCUAAACACUCCCAGCCAUCUUCUGUAUUUGCAGCCCAAGGAGCCGUCCCAAACUUUCCUUGCAAGCUGCUACAAAUGCAGCUUGCCGCGGCUAUCCUUUUUUUUUUUUUCAACUUAAUAAAUACAUAAUAUAAAUAAUAAUAAUAAUAAUAACAAAAUGACCAAAACCAUGUAAUAAUAAUAAGAAUGAAAACAAAUAAAUAAAAAAACAAACUAAAUAAAUAAAAACAACAAAAAUGUCCAUUUUUUCAAAUUUUCUUCAUUUUUCCUUUUUUCUCUUUUUUUUUUUCCAAAAUAACUUAAUAAAAAUAACUAAAGUGCAAAAAGGUUGAAUUUAAAGAAAUAAACAUAUUUUUGUGAACAAAUUUCCCUUUUUCUCUUUUUUUUUUUUUUUUAUGAUUUUUCCAAGAAAACUAAAAACCUAUUUUUUGAAUGCUUUUUUUUCCUUUUUCUUGUUUAACAAAUUCUAUGAUAAAACUUAAAAAUAAAAAUAAAACUGGAAACUAAAAACUAAAAAUGAACACAACAAAUAAAAAACUAAAAAUGGAAUUUCACCAAAAAUUUGGUGUCUAUAGUUUGCCCCUCUUUGUCUGAGUUUUGGAAAAACUUGAGACAAAGAAGUAGACACCAAAACUUACCUAUGUUAUUCAGCUGCGAAUGACUCAAACGAUGGGGACUGACCCCUGACGGGAAAUUUUAAAAGCGGGACUGACCCGAGAUAGAAAUUUAAAUUUGGGAUAGACCCACGGGAUAGACCCGGACAGAAAUUUAAAAUUGGGAUAGACCCACGGGAUAGACCCGGACAGAAAUUUAAAAUUGGGAUAGACCCGGACAGAAAUUUAAAAUUGGGAUAGACCCACGGGAUAGACCCGAACAGAAAUUUAAAUUGGACGGGAUAGACCCGAACAGAAAUUUAAAUUGGGAUAGACCCAGACAGAAAUUUAAAUUUGGGAUAGACCCAGACAGAAAUUUAAACUUGGGAUAGACCAACGGGAUAGACCCGGACAGAAAUUUAAAAUUGGGAUAGACCCACGGGAUAGACCCGGACAGAAAUUUAAAUUGGGUUGGGAUAGACCCACGGGAUAGACCCGAACAGAAAUUUAAAUUGGGAUAGACCCAGACAGAAAUUUAAAUUUGGGAUAGACCCAGACAGAAAUUUAAACUUGGGAUAGACCCACGGGAUAGACCCGGACAAAAAUUUAAAAUUGGGAUAGACCCACGGGAUAGACCCGGACAGAAAUUUAAAAUUGGGAUAGACCCAUGUUUAACGGCAAUAAGAAUGAAACGCGCGCUAGUGGGACUGACCCACGGCUAGCGACAAUGAAAGUAAAAUGCUGGUGUGUAUGAAGAGGCUGUGUAAGACUUGCUCGGUGGUAGGAUAGGGACGCACACGUUAGUGAGAUAAACUCGAUGCUAACGGUGGUUGAACAAAAUGCACACGUUAGUGAGAUAAACUCGAUGCUAACGGUGGUAGAAAUGAAACACGCACGUUAGUGAGAUAGACUCGAUGCUAACGGCGGUAGAGAUGAAAACACGCACGUUAGUGAGAUAGACUCGAUGCUAACGGCGGUAGAACGAAAACACGCACAUUAGUGAGAUAGACUCGAUGCUAACGGCGGUAGAAAUGAAACACGCACGUUAGUGAGAUAGACUCGAUGCUAACGGCAGUAGAAAUGAAACACGCACGUUAGUGAGAUAGACUCGAUGCUAACGGCGGUAGAACGAAAACGCGCACAUUAGUGAGGUAGACUCAAUGCUAACGGCGGUGAAAACAAAAUGCACACUAGUGGGACUAACCCAUGUUUAGUGGCAAAAUACAAGAAAUGCACGUUAGUGGGACUGACCCAUGUUUAACGGCAAUGAGAAUGAAACGCGCGCUAGUGGGACUGACCCAUGUUUAGCGGCGAAGAAAACAGAAUGCACACUAGUGGGACUAACCCAUGUUUAGUGGCAAUGGAAAAUAAAAUGCACGUUAGUGGGACUGACCCAAACAGGAAUGUAAAAUUGGGAUUGACUAGAGAAGGAAAUUCAAAUCAUGGGACUGGCCCGACCAAGCUUUAAUCACAGGACCGACCCGAAUAAGCUUUGAAUAGCGGGACUGAGCCGAACAGGCUUUGAAUUGUGGGACUGACCCGAAUAAGUUUUGAAUCGUGGGACUGACCCGAAAAUGCUUGUGAUCGUGGGACUGACCCGAAAAUGCUGUUGAUCGUGGGACUGACCCGAAUAAGAUUUUAAUCGCGGGACUGACCCGAACAGGCUUUGAAUCGCGGGACUGACCCGAAUAAGUUUUGAUCAUGGGACUGACCCGAAAAUGCUUUUGAUCGUGGGACUGACCCGAAAAUGCUUUUGAUCGUGGGACUGACCCGAAUCUUUUGAUCGUGGGACUGACCCGAAAAUGCUUUUGAUCAUGGGACUGACCCGAAAAUGCUUUUGAUCGUGGGACUGACCCGAAAAUGCUUUUGAUCGUGGGACUGACCCGAAAAUGCUUUUGAUCGUGGGACUGACCCGAAAAUGCUUUUGAUCGUGGGACUGACCCGAAAAUGCUUUUGAUCAUGGGACUGACCCGGAAAUGCUUUUGAUCAUGGGACUGACCCGGAAAUGCUUUAAAAUUGGGAUAGACCCACGGGAUCUUUGGAAUGUUGGCGGCACAAAAUCCAGGCCCAACGUGAUAUUUGGAAUGUUGGCGGCACGAAAUCCAGGCCCAACGUGAUUUUGUGAAGUUGGCGGCACAAAGUCCAGGCCCAACGUGAUUUUUGAAAUGUUGGCGGCACGAAAUCCAAGCCCAACGCGAUCUUUAGAAUGGUCAGUGGGAUAAGACCCAAUCCUGCCAUCCAAUUGGUGAAGAAAUUGAAUUUGAUUUGUCAAAAUACAAGAAAUUAAAUUUGAUUUUCCAAGAAACAAAAUUUUGAACUUGAUUUUUGAUUUUUUUGAAUUUUUCUGAUUUUUCGAGAGAAUCUUUUUCAAAAAUAAUUUGCCCCAGUGUAGGGCCCUUUUCUCUUCUUUCUUCUCUUUCUUCGGCAUCGGCCUUCUACAUCGCCAGAUGCUUUUCGUCGACUUCAACUGUGAAUACCUGCACAGGGCUUACGUGCACUCAAAUGAGCGUGACUGAUUUGAAAAAUGCAUUAUUCUGAUUCUUGGAUGAAAUCCUCAAUUGGACUACAAAAAUAUUUGCCCCUGUGUGGGCUUAUCUAAUUGCAAAAAUGUGUUUGGAUGAAGCUUCAUUUAUUUGAACAAAGUAAGGAACUGUGUUUCCUAUACAAUGCGAAGAAAUCUAAAAUGUCUUGCUUAAACUCAUACAGAAAAUUUCAUGAUGAAUUUUCUCAAGAUAACACCAAAUUCAAGAAGAUUUCUUCCUCACUUUUAGCAUCGGUGUUUUGGGGUAACGGGUCACCACUUUCGAUUGGCUCAUCUUUCAAGACCAAUCAAGUGGGCGUUAUUUCUGACUUGGAAGUGGCUGAAGGAAAUGGGAGGUCAUGAUUUGUCUCAUUUUGUGCUCAUUCGAUAUCACGUCUUCAUGAAAGCAAAAUAGUUUGUCACCCUUAUUUCUUAAGAAAACUUAGUCAACGUAUAAGCUUCAUGGGCUUGCAAAAAUUUUGGGUAGAAAUGAUAGCUAAACAUGUGAAAUCUGGUUAUACCCUUAUGAUCAUGAGUGAUCGAUGGAUUUUUAUGAGCAUAAUCCUCACUUUGGAUUGUCAUGAAUGAAUAAGUCAACGAUGGACUUUAUUAGCUUGUAAUUUGGCUUGAGAACGACAGCUAAAGAAAUAAUUUCCAAAGGACAUUACACCACAGAUCGCAUUUUUCAACAUUGCCUUCAUCUGGACUCCAGAUUCUUGGACUUUGUUUGACUUUUUAUCAUCACCCAACAGGGUCUUUCAACAUCAAAUCUUUUUGCAUCUUUCUUUUGCAUUCAUUUCGCUCGUUUUUCUUUUCUUUUUCCCUCUUUUCAGAAAUACCUUCUCGGGGUUUCAUAUGAAGAGCAGUGUCAACCUCACGCCAAAUCAAUUCAGAAAUACAGCUAAAAUUUUCGACAUCAGAAAUUUUCUUAACAGGGCCAUUGCUAAGAACAGAAGUCAGGGCUUUCGGCUUUUGUAAUGGGGUCAGGUGGGGUGCUUAGAAAAGUUAAGGCUUGAAAACGGAUUUCAAAGUGGUUUGAAAAAUCCGUGAUCGCAUUGUUGCGCCAACCCUAUUUCAGGGUUAAAUCAAAAUCUGCCUCAGUUUUUGCUCAAUUGAGGCUUUUCACUUUCAUUUUUCUUUUUCCUUUUGACUUUUCGGCCUUUUUGCCAUUCUUUGAAAUUUCACAAAAUUUGCCCCAGUUUACUUUUGAACUGAGGUUCUCUUUUCUUCUUUUGCCUUUUGAUUUUGUGGGUUUUCACUUUUUCGCUUCUUGAAAUUUUCUUUUUCAACCCAACUUGCCCCAGUGUGGGGUUUGCGAUUCUCAGGGGGUGCCAAAUGAAGUAUUUUAUUCUGAAGGCUCAAAAGGGAUAACUAGGGAUAGAACGUUUGAUUGGAAAAGAAGAUGGCCUGACUUGUAUUCCGUUCCUUACAAUAACUCUGAAAGGAAACUUUCAUUAAUAGGAAAUUUCUGGCAUGUAUCUGAAUUAACUGAUUGGGGAAGACCCUUGUUCAUCCAUAUUUGUGAAACAUAGGUGAUCCACGCGGACAAAUCUCUUCCUUUUCUCUUUUUUCCAAAAUUCGGAACCCAAGUGGAGUCAAAUUUCCCCAAUUUGCGGUUCCCUCCUUAUUCGAGCAUUUUUGCUUUUCCCCAUUUCUUUUCCUUUUUAAAAUUUCCCAAUCUCCUUCCCCAAUGCGAGGUACGAUCAUAAGUGCAUUCGAAAAGAACCACCAAUUUUAGCUCAAAUGAGGACGCAAGGGAUAAAUGGUGUUUAGAUUGAAGAAAUGAUGGCCAAAGUAUCAUUCUUACACUUCAUGACAACCAGAGAAACGAAAUGCUCAUUGACAAUCCAUUCCCUUUUGAAAGUUUUCCAAUGUAGGGUAGAGAUCAUUAAGGCGUUUAUUUGGAAGGAAUUUAUUCUUCUAUAGGCUCAAAUGGGAGAGCAAAUGAUAAAAAUCUGUAUAGGUAGUGAAACGAAUGCUUGAAGUAUCAUUCCAAAUUUUCAAACAAAUAAGAAUAAUGCACAUUUUUGCUUUCACUUAGAUGUGAUUGAAUCGGAUUAGUUACCGCGGACAUUUUCAAGCAAAAGUUGCCCCAAUUUACAAUUUAUCAAUCAAUGUGACUGAUUUUAUUUUGGGGUCAAAUGAAGGAGAAAAGGAAUCUCAUAGGGCCUUUUGAGUGACCUCUUUUAAUUCUGAACACUCUUAUUAUGAAUUUUCAGGCCGGAGGUUGAAAAAAUCCCAAUUUAGUCUUAUUUCUUAAAAUUCAUCAUGAAAUCUCCAAUGAAUAAGAAUAAAGAAUGAAAUGUACAUAAAUAUACACAAAACAAUGAUUGUCCAAAAAUUUUAUUGCUGAAAAAGUUUGAAACAAAAUUUCUCAUUCGAUUACGAUACAAAUGAGAAGAGAGAGACUUGUAAAGAGCUCCACAUAUACACUUUUUGUCUCCUUUUCAAAUAUACAAAAUUUUCCUUUGGAAAACAAUUACAACAUCUCUCAGAGGCUUUGGCGUAGAGCUUCCAGAUAAAUCAUUUAUGUUUUCGUUGUAGGAUCUGCCCAAGAAUCAAAUAACACUUGCAGUUUUGACACUUUAUUAGAUCGAAAGUGCCGUCAGAUAUAGAAAAAUAUUUUCCCUUUAUUGAAGUAUUUUUAUGAAUGCAGGGAAGGGGGGAAAACAAAAGAAAAAUACCCAAAGUUAGUAAUCAAAACCAUAAAAUCGGUAUGCAUGCCCUAUGGUGGAAUCCUUUUAUGCCAAGGGUAGGCCUAGCAUGAAAAUGCAAUCCUCUAGGGUAGGCACCAUACAACACCUGAUGAAUCCGAUCAACCGCUAGAGUGAAAAAUGAUUUGGAAAAAUUUGGCCAAUUGAAGUGAAAAGAGACAUUUGUCCUAAAAUGAGGGAAAAGUCCGAAUGGAUUGCUACUUUGAUCGAUGCAUGGAAUAAUGUGUAAAAGGGAUUGCAAUGUCUCAAUUAAUUUAUUCGGUGACCCUUAGACUUAAACCCUAAAAAGGGAAAAAACGGGUCAAAUAGAUUGGAUAAAAUUGAUGAUUUAUUUAAAAAUGACCAAAUUGCCCUAAAAAUAGGUAAACUGGCCAAAUGAAUUAAAUGAAAUUGAUGAUUUAUGCAAAAAUCGACCAAAUCACCCUAAAAGGGUAAAUUGGUCAAAUGAAUUGAAUGAUUUUCAAAAAUCGACCGGAUGACCCUAAAAAGGGUAAAUUGGUCAAAUGAAUGGAUGACUUCUCAAAAAUCGACCGGAUGACCCUAAAAAGGGUAAAUUGGUCAAAUGAAUGGUUUAUUCAAAAUUGAUUAUGAAUUGAUAAAAUGGAUCGAUUGAAUCGUCCGACCAUUGGUGGUUUCAGAAAAUUAGUCUAUGAGCCUUCUAAAAUCACGAUUUGGCCUCAAUUUAUUUAUCGUCUCAAUAAGAGGAAUCAUUUGUGAAUUUCUUCAAAUUAAUGUCCUUCACGCAGGGGAUUUUUACCAAUUUUUGAUAAAAUGGCCAAAAAGUGAUUAUUAGAUGCUCAUAUUCCAAAGAUCACUCUAUGAAAAUGAUCGGAUCCUACCUUACCUUGUGCACUACCCCUUUGGAUGGUACAAAAAUGUAAACGUGCAAGUCUCACUGGAUUAAGUAUCCGAGACACAAGGUGGCUUAUUCCUAAACACGGGAUUCCCUAUGUGGCAUUCCCUUUCUAUGGUUUAUGCAUGAUGUCAUUUAUUAAAGUGAUAUGAACAUGUGACAAACAUGGCCUAAAGGAUAUAAAUAAUGCAACGGGGGGAAAAGGUCUAAACAUGAAAUGUACUUAUUGAAAAGUAAGUGCAAAGACUGAAAUCUAGACAUGUGAGCUAUCUAGUGGGUGAGUCACUAAAAGAGUGCCAAAAAGGGCCUCUUAUCGCUAAGGCAUAUGAAUGCAAGCCAAGAAACAAUGAAAUGGUUAGUGCAGUUGAUAGUACACAUAGCACAUUGGGAGCAAUUAAGAAAAGAAAUACAAUAAAAACAAGUAAAAGGGGUGGAACCCCUUCCCUCGUGCCUAAUGUGCUUAAAAUAGGGUGAGGCUGACUCUAACCUAGGAAAAUUCUAACAUGGAUGCAUGAGGCUGGGGUUCACUAAUGCCUAGACUCGAUAAAGCUUCGGCUCCCAAGCCUUCAGACCUAAAGGCGAAGGGUCAUCACUCCCAGGGCCUUCGAUCGGUGGCUCGAGUGAUCCCUUAGGUAGCGCUAUGGGCGCAGAGCACACCAGCCGCCUACCCAAGGCAAUCGAUCCUAAUCCUACAAGGCGGUGUGGGAAACGCCCACGAAAAACAAAAUAAAAUGGGAUAAAAGCAAGUAAACGUGCACGUAUGAAGUGCUCCCCUAUUUUGAGGGAAGGGGUUGAGAACCACGCGAGGCUCUAAAGGUGACACACCCCCUCCCAAAUGCAAUGCAAGCGCGAGAUAACUAAAUAAACAUACAUCCAAUCAACCAAUCACACGUACGUGAGUGAGGGAAUAGUUGGAUAUGCGCGCGAGGCAAAAAGGCCCUAAAAAUGGAAAAUGCAACCCUAAUAUCCAAAUGCAAUGCAUAAAAAGGGUAGAAAAAGGAAACGAAUGGCUAAGUCAAAUGCUUGGACCCACUUAGGAAGUCCCCAGUGGAGUCGCCAACUGUCGCGCCCCACUUUUUGAAUGAGUUGAAUGUGAGUGAUGUGUGUGUGAAGUGUGGUGUGAACGUGUGCAAAAUGAAAAGUAAAAAGGCCAUGGGACUUUGGAAAGCGACGAUUUGGCCAAAGAAAUUUUUAAAAAAUGGUUUUUUAAAUAUGAAAACGGAGUCGCCACUUGGUAUAGAUUUGGGGUGUACCAAGUCACCCAAAAAGUGUUUUUUAAAGACAAAGUAGUAAAACCCUUUUUAAAACGACUCCUAGUCCACGUAAACCAAAGAAAAAGGUUCGGGGGUCACGUUUGACAAAGGGGAAGGCAAGGAUAGAAUCCAAGGCACCCCUUUGACCUAGCCAAGGCUAGUUGCGCGACUCAAACCAAUUUUUCCUAAUUUUUCUACCCAAGGUAUGUAUCGCGUAUUGGAUAUGUCUAUAUGAAUGCAAAAACCUAGACCUAGGGGGAUUGGGGGAAAUUUCUCUUCAAAAGUUGAGUGGUGCCAAUCACAUUAAUUGUGAAGCCCAAUAAUGAUCCUUUUGGAGAGGUCACACCUAAACCUAAAUGACGUGAAAAAUGAGUGGAAUGCAUGCCAUGUGAAAGUGUGAGUUUGUGUGAAGUGAGAAAAAUGAUAAAAGUAAUAAGAUAAGAGUGAAGGUGUGCAAAUGUAGAUGAAAGUACUCGUGUGCGAGCGAAGAUAAAAUGCUCGUGUGCAAGUGAAGAUAAAAGGGUUCAUGUGCAAGUGGAGACAAAAAAGUGUUCGUGUGCAAGCGAAGGUGAUAAAAAGGUGCAUGUGUGCAAAUGAGACAAAAGUGAAAGUGUAAUGAUAGAGUGGAUUGAGAAUGCAUGAGCCUAGGGAAUUCAUGCAUAUUGGGUACGGGGAGACCUAAAUCGUGACUUGAUUUUCCCUUUGAUUAGAAGGCGAAACUAGCGUGCUAAGGCUAUCGAGUAGCCACACUCGCUCGUUUCCCUUAUCGGAAGGGGACACUCAAGCAAAAUGAACCCUAUAACUAUCAUGAUAUGCAAAAAUCCUAAAAUGAAGGGAAAGGGGGUUCGAGGAGCAUGCCAAGUGAUAAAACUAAGAGAAAUGCAUGAUAUGUGGUGAACAAGCAAAUGAUAUGCUAAUGAGGGGAAAUCCCUAAGGGUCUAGCGUUGGACUAGCCCAUUCUAUGAAUUCCGACUAGCGUUGGACUAACGGAAACGUACAUUCAUCCAUUCCAUUCAUUCAUGGCUAUGAAAGCAAGUAGACAUGCCAAAAUACUCGUAAACACAUAGCACAUAGCAUUUAGCAUGCUCGACUAGAUGCAAGAGCCUAAUAAAGCAAUUAAACAUGUAGCAACAAAAACAAGCAAGGGGAAGGGGAAGUGGACCAGAUGCUCUCCGAGCCCUAUCUAUUACAAGCCAAGAGGUGUACACAUACCCCAUAAAAGCAUAAAGGGGAAGGGGAAAUGGACCAGAUGCUCUCCGAGCCCUAUCUAUUACAAGCCAAGAGGUGUACACAUACCCCAUAAAACUUAAAUAAAAGUAAAAGCAAGUAAAUGCAUGCAAGGAGGUAAGGAAAGCGGAGUAGGCAUGUAUAUUCACGUAACACGUAGGAGCACGUAGGGUCAAAUGAAGUGCAAAUGAAGGAUAGAGUGUACCUCCCUUGAAGCGACGCCCUAACGUAGUGAAAUUACUAAUUUACCCUCCAAAAUAAUGAAAAGGGUCAAAGUACCACUUUAUUUAAGAAAAAUCAUAUGUAACAGAAAUUAAACACAAAAAUGGAAAUUAAGCAUGAAAUGAGCAUUAAACAUGGAAUAAAUCAUGCAAGUGUAGGCAAACUCGGUCCCAGAUAAAAGGUUCCAAAAUCCUAAGAUGAAGUUUUAAAUUGAAUGGAUUAAGGUGGACAAAACUUGGCUUGGGCUAAAUCCAUCAAAACACAAGAUUAAUGCACUCAUUUAAAAGCAAAAUAUGAACAAGACAAUUUGAAUUCACUAACUCCUUCAAAAAUCAAGACACCACAAGUAGCUAUGGAAUUUAACCAUUAAAGCCCUUCAAAUAACCAAAACAAGUCCAUAUUCAUCAAAUGAGAUUCCAAUUUGAAAAGGAAAGAAAAUUCGAAGGAUCAAAUUGAUUGAUCUUUUCAGAUGCUUGGGCCAUGGUAGAAUAAAGGGAAACUUGGGGGGGGUUAAAAUGCAAUUUUUGAAAGUCAUUUACAUGCAAUGUUCAUGCAAUCCACGUAGAAGGCUUCUACGGUUCCAAUUCCCAUACAACACAAUUUCUGCAGCUUUAACUUUCAACCAUGCAAUUCAUUUGCACAAACAAAAGAAGAAUAUGGCAUUUUAACCAGAAAAAUCAUCUCGGCAAACCGUCAUAAUGAAGCAAGAAUUGAAAAAGUUCAAGUUACGCCAGAAAAUUCAGCAACUAAAGAAAGGAAGAGCUGCUACAACAAGCCAUGAGUUCAGGCUUAUUGCAGCAGAUUUUUAUGCCCAAAUCCCAACCGCGUGCAAUCUAAAACCAAACAAAAGGAUCAUCGAACACGUUGCUCUUUGAGCUUGCAUCGGCCAAAACAGAUUCCAUAAAACAACUUUGAGAUUGCUCCCAUUAAAACAUGGUUAAACAUCACUUAACAAAUCAAAUAGCUGGAAGAAAUCCAUGCAAAGUUGACAUGCGAAUACUACAAAGAAACAAACGGCAACCUGAAGCUAUUGUUCUACAGCAAGAACAUUUAUUAGUGAAGCUUUCUGCAAUCCAAACAAUACCGCAGCAGCUAUCAAUCUCAACAAAUUUCUGAUAAAACUUUUCAAACCAAACACUCAAAAUUUAAUCUAAGCAACCUGACACAGCAUGUCAACAUCCAAACAAACCAAAAACAUAGAAAGAAAAUCACACAAGUGCUUAGAGAAAAGUCCAGCAAGCAUUCGGCAAUUGGAGUUGCUCAUUUUCCAGCAAAGCUGUGAUCAUGGCUCAAGUGCUUAAGACCCAAAUAUGCAAACCCAAACACCACUCAUUCUAUUUUCUUUCAAGGCAUCAGGUCAAGAAACAAACCAGGUAAUGAACUCAAAUGAUAGACAUGACAUUCAGAUCAGAUUUUCACAAUCAUCAACUUAACUCAAAUGCGUGAACUUGGGGACAGGGAGAUCAACCACGGUGCAACCAUGACAUCAAGAUCUAACUGCUAACCAUGUCUAAUGCUCUUUUAAUAAAUCUUUUGGCCAUUAAAGCACAGAUCUUUGAAUCGAAAGGGAUCAGGAAAGAGAAACUAACGGAUAAAAUAUGCAUUAACCAAGAAAACUCAUGCGAUGGUUCACCGAACCUUCAUAAAAAAAUUGAGUUGGCUGGAUCAAGAUGUACUCGUUACCUGCACAUUGUUAGAGAUCGAACCGGCUUGAGGAGAAACGAGAGCUUACAUCUGAAGCAAAUGGACACGGAGUAGGAGAUUGUCCGCAACUUCAUAAGCUUGAUGAAGUGAACAGGUGAGGUCUCGUCCAAAGCUUCUUCCCAGAUUUCAGCAUUUAGUUUUGCUCUCCCGAAGUUUCCUUCUCCCAAUCUCCCUCUUGAUCUCGGUUUUGCUAGGUUUUCUUGUUUUUUUCCUUUUAGUUUUUCCGUUUUCCAACCCCCUCUUCUCUGCUCGCAACCCAGAAAUUUUCCCUUACCGCCCUCUUGUUUCCUUGCUUAACUCCGUCAAACCCCUCUCCCUCAGUCCUCUCUGGUUUUCUCUCUCCUUCUCUGUUUUCUUAGCCGAGCUUCCUCUCACUCCCUCUUGCUCUCCUUUCUCUCCCCAAAGCCCGCAGCCUUUCUUUCUUUUUCCUUUGCUGUUUUUCUUUUCCCUAACCGAGCUCUCCCUCGUAUCUUCUUUCCGAUCCUAUCCUCCCUCUCUUCUCCAAAAAUCUCCCCCCUGCGGCUGGCUUUCUCCUUUGCUUUUUAUACCAGAAACCUCACAACCCUAAACACUCCCAGCCAUCUUCUGUAUUUGCAGCCCAAGGAGCCGUCCCAAACUUUCCUUGCAAGCUGCUACAAAUGCAGCUUGCCGCGGCUAUCCUUUUUUUUUUUUUCAACUUAAUAAAUACAUAAUAUAAAUAAUAAUAAUAAUAAUAACAAAAUGACCAAAACCAUGUAAUAAUAAUAAGAAUGAAAACAAAUAAAUAAAAAAACAAACUAAAUAAAUAAAAACAACAAAAAUGUCCAUUUUUUCAAAUUUUCUUCAUUUUUCCUUUUUUCUCUUUUUUUUUUUCCAAAAUAACUUAAUAAAAAUAACUAAAGUGCAAAAAGGUUGAAUUUAAAGAAAUAAACAUAUUUUUGUGAACAAAUUUCCCUUUUUCUCUUUUUUUUUUUUUAUGAUUUUUCCAAGAAAACUAAAAACCUAUUUUUUGAAUGCUUUUUUUUCCUUUUUCUUGUUUAACAAAUUCUAUGAUAAAACUUAAAAAUAAAAAUAAAACUGGAAACUAAAAACUAAAAAUGAACACAACAAAUAAAAAACUAAAAAUGGAAUUUCACCAAAAAUUUGGUGUCUAUACUACCUGGUGGUAGGUAAUACAUUCAGUCCUUCGCGGAAUCCUUCAAAGAGAAGGGAAAAACUCUCAUCUUUAUUUGCUCUUCUGUAAUUUCCGGAGGUUUCAUACUGUUGCAAAUGACGUCAAAUUCUUGCAAGUGCUUGUAGGGCUCCUCACCUGAUAAACCAUGGAAAGAUGGUAAAAGAUGAAUUAGACCGGAUUUUAACUCAAAAGAUGCGUUAUCAUUUAAACUUGAAAAAAUAAUGCAUAAAGGUUGUUGAUUUAAAUUAGGAGCAGCCAACUUCCUUAGUGUUCGUGCAUUUGCCAUGGUGACUUCCUCUUGAUCCGAAUCACUCGAGUGGUCACCCUGCAAAUUUAUCGACUUCACCUCUGGAUCCAGUCCUUGAGGUGCAACACUGGAUUGUUCCUCUCUGAACUGUCUAGUUUCUUUCCUAGUUUGGCGUGCUGUCUUCUUUACUUCAGGGUCGAAAAUCAAUUCGCCUGUACGAGAAGAACGAGGCAUAAACUAGAAAAAAUACCAGCAAAUUAAAAAGAAUUAACACUUAAAAAGAAACAAAUAAUUAACGCUACUCCCCGGCAACGGCGCCAAAAAUUGACAGGUGCCGAACCUGUACAAUAAUAAAAAUAAAUCUAAUUGCCAAUAAAAGCAGUCAAUAAUCAAUUUUAGGUACUGGAGCAGGGACUUUAGGUGUGCAAUGGGUUACUUGAUUCAACUUGUUCCCGAAAAGUUUGCUUAAUCCGAUAUACCAGAAUUAAUUAGUUGACAGAAAUUACUAAAUAGUAGACAGUGACAAGUAGGGUCGUCUCCUCAAGGACUGAGGUUAUUUGUCUCUUUGAAAUUCCAAUUGACAAUGGGGGGUUUUAUCGGAGUAAAGAUAAAAAUAAUUAAACAAUUCCACUAAAAAUAAAUAAUUAACUAGCACGAAUAUAGUAGGAAUUAAAUCAAGAAUAGAUAAAUUCUAGUCAAGAAUACAACUAUUCAGACACAGUCCACUCACCCAAUCAUUGAUACAAGGAGGUUCACUUAAUUUAUUAAUAGGUUAGUUAUAGUCACCGACGAAUUCUAAUGACCAAUUUUUUUCUUAAUUUAUUGAUAACCAAGGUACAACUAUUGAUUACCCCUAAUCAGAAAAUACUCCUAGGUAAGACCGUAGGAAUUAAUUUUUCAAUUGCAUUAAUAAUUAGAAAAAUCUAAUCCCAACCAAUAACGCGCUACGAGGGUUAUUUAAAUUAGAUUGCACGUUCCCCUAGUGUGUAAACACGUCAGUUGCCACUAAUAUUAAUCAAUCAAACAAUUACGGAUUUAAUUGAUUAAUUUGGCAGGAGAUUAAUAAGUCACAUUGAACAUCGGGUCCUUGACAUUCAACAAUCCCAUAAAAAUUCAAACAGACAACGUGCAAAUAUUAACAAAUUAAGAAACGCAUAAAAACUAAUUAGAUCUCACAAGUAUUCGAGACUGCGCCGUCGAGUUGAUUCUCGACUAGAUGAAAGGCUUAACCAUGCCACAUAAAUGAAUCUCUACGCAAAUUAAUUGAUUGCAAAGGCAUCACCAUUUUCACUAGAAAGCAAGAAUAAAAGAUGUAUUUUUUCCGUUGAAAAAUAUUGUCGAACAGUUGACGUGCGCCAAGCAAGAAUAAAAAAAGAAGAUAAAAAAACUAUCGUCCAAGACUAAACAUCUCGCGUGUGUCCCCCCAAGGGAAAAAGAAAAGAAAAGGUCUUGUUUGGAUUGCGAUUUUUCAUCGGAAAGUUACGUCAUUUUUCAUGAUCACAUUUCCCUAUUACCUUUUUUCCUCACAUACAUCAAAUCGUUACAGUAAUUUUCUCAUGAAAAAUCAUGAAAAAUACAAUCCAAACACAACCUUAAUAUCCCCUUAGAUUUUUUUUUUCCAACAUUUCACAUUAAUCCUAAAUCUUAACCACAAAAAUCUCAAAUUUUGACCGCUAUCCAUCCACAAUACUUAACUAUCCUAAAACUAUUGCUAAGAACCAAUUGCCCCCGAAGCCUAUGUACGUUUCUCCCUUUUUAAAACCAAAAGAAAUGACUAAUGCUUCCUUUGUGGUCCCUACCGAAUUUAGAGUCAAAGUACAAGAAAGUCCAAAGCCCCUGAAUGUUUCCUCUUUUCUAGUUUUCUAUUCCUAGUCAAAAACUACAAUACUCAAGGGAAUGCCAUCCGUCUCUAGCAUUCCGUGGGCCAGCCUUGUGAGGCUUCCAUUUGGAGUCUUCCAAAUUCACGUCCAAAAGUCCUUCAUUUUUUAUAGUUGUCUGCUCCAUUUUCUGAAAUUAACUCCAGAUGUCAAAUUAAAGUAGACAUCAAUAAUUAACACAAUAUGUGACAAUAAUAAAAGAAAAAAUUAAUAAUAAAAUUACUAAUAAAUAAUACCCUAUUAAUUUGCUAACUCCUUAUACAAUCUUUUAACCUCCUCAUUUUCAUAGAAUAGAAUAAAUUAAUUUAUAAAAAUAUUAUCAUUACCAUAAAAAAAAAACUUACAUCCACAACAAAUUCAAAUACACGAUCAACUAAGAGAAAAUGGUCCCUCUGAGCAAAAACUUGGUAAACCGAUCAGUGUACUCCUCUCAGACCACUGUGCUUCCUUAGGCUCUGGACACCACCAUCCCUUAUCAACUCCAAAUCCUACUUCCUAGUUCCUACCCUCCAUGCCUACCCCAGUCAUUUCCAGCCCUUCCUUAAUUACUCCCUCCCACAAAAUCACUGCUCCCUUCCUACCCCAAUCAUCAUCACAUGAUCACCAUUUAUAUAUCCAUACGUUUUCAUUACUUCCUCUAUCUUCCCUCCCCAAAAAUUGUGCUUCCACCGACACAUACUUGAUACUCCUGACUACCCACUUGCCUACCCCAAUGGUCACUAUCCCUUCCAUUAAGUCACUGCUUCCUUCCUAAACAUGAAUAAACACAGCAAAAUUAAAUAAUAAAACAUGUUUAAAACACUCAAAAUAUGCACUUAUCAGUAAUAUAUUUUCUAACUUUAGAUCUCAAUUUAGCGAUAUGUAUUGAGCACUAUUUCAAUUUUCUAUGAUAUGAAAAAUUAAGUUCAAUAUUUAAUACGAAUUUUUAGAGUAAGUUAAAAAACCUGGUGAGCUGCUGCCUUACAUCAUCAAUGACAUUAAAUUUAUUAUUUUGUAAAAAUGAUAAUUAAAUGUUCACUUCUAAAUUUUCUUCUAAGGUUAUUGUGGAAUUUAGAGAAAUUAAUUCUGCGUCAAAAAAAAUUCUUUUGAACAAAAAAAACCUUUAUUAUCUUUCUCUAAGAAAAGAAAAUCUAAGUGGGAAAAAUUUACCCCAUGAGAUCUUUAGAUGUACAAUUAUGAGCCUUAGGUUAAACAUUUAUGAGCCUCACCUCACAAGCUCAAUAAAUGUUUGUAAGCAUGUGCUUGCUUUCAAAUGUUAUUUAAUUGCAAGGGGGCCAGCUGCAUUAUCACUAAAUAGUUCGUACCACAAGUUUUUUUAAAAUUUUUUUUUUAUCUCUGUACUCUCCUCAGCUCCCUUAUCAACUCCAAAUCGUGCCUCCUACCCUCCAUCCCACAAAAUCACUGCUCCCUUCUUUACCCCAUUCAUCAUCACCGUAUUAUAUACCCACACAUUUUCAUUACUUCCUCUAUCUUCCAUCCCCAAAAAUUGUGACUGUUCCCUUCCUCUUCUAUGCUUCCACCAACACCUACACCUGACUACCCUCCUUGCCUACCCCAAUCAUCACCAUCCCUUACCUAACCCCUUCCUCCCCUAAAGUCCCCUAAAAUAAAAUUAAACAACUAUUGCAUUGAAUCUAAACUAAUCUAUAUAAAGAAAAUUCCUCAUUGAUGCUAAUAGACUAAUUAACAUAUUUACAAUAACAAUAAUUGAUGCCCAAUACACCACUCAUGCAACUUUCAGAAACUGUAAAGAAACAAACAACCUCACUUAGUGGAUAAAUUCCAUUAUUCUUCUAAAGUUAUAUGACUAUUACGAAGGACAAUACGCUUUAAAGUUAUAUGAGUACAAUCAAUUAACAUAUCUAGUCUAUCGGAGAAUGUCAAUCUUUCCAAUUGAUUUCAAUUGUUGAUGUGGUGCCUCCUUAUUGGUCAAUUAGUGAUAGCCUUCCAAUUGAUUGUAAUUUGAUCAAACAUAGGCUUGUGAUUCAUCAAUUGAUGGUAGUCCUUCCAAUUGCACACAGAAUUGAUGAUGUGGCCAGUUUUGAUUGAAUGGGAGAUGGUAAUUAACAUAUUGCAUGUGGGAUUGUGCUAAAUUUUGGUCUUUUAUUAAUUUUUCCUUUUCCAACAAUAAAUUGUGCUAACAAAAAAUUAGCCUCCCUUUUUUUUUCUUCUUGUCCAGCAAAAUCACGUUUAACUACCAAUCUUUCUUGAUUAAUUAAUCAUUAUUAAUAGCUCAUUAAUAAUGCCGUGUUUUUUGAUGGUAAAUUAAAUAUAUGUUCCGCCUUUUAUUGCCUAACAGAUCACACCUAAUUACCAAUUAUUUACAAUUAUUGACACUCUCGUUUGGUUGCCAAAUGAAUCAUAAUUAAUUAUCUUUUUUUUAAUUGCAUGUGUUAUGCUCCAACUGUGACAAAAUUGGCUCCUUUUUUUCCGUAAAAACAACCUUGCACAUCGCGUUUCUCUUUAUUAUUAUUUUUUUUUGGGAAUGAGAGGGGAAGACAUUUAACAAUUAUUAUCAAAUUCUUCUAAUUAUCUUUACUUAUUAUAUUAUUAAUUCUGUGCAAACGAUUGAUAAUGUGGUGCCCUUCCAGUUGUGUUAAUAACGUGGCAACAGGUACGUUUAGUUACAAAUUUUUAAAGUUUUCUCAAUUAACUAUUAAUAACUAAUUAAUAGUUUCAUGCAUUUGGUCGCACAACACACCACGUUCAGUUAUCAUUUCCCACUCUUUUUUUUUAAAAAAAUAAAACCUGAUUUUAUUGCACUAGAAUGGACAUAAUACAACUCUCAUCGCAAUCUUCUCCUACGAAAAUUGGGGAGACCUAACUGCUCCAGUUGGAUCUCACCCCUAACCCUAGCAGGCAAUUCGCGAUGACUCCAUCAUUUCCCACUCUUAAUUGUUAAUUAAUUAAUUGAUAUUUUUGCUAUUUUAUUGCCUCAAAAGUGAUAUCUAAUUAUCAGGUUUUUGCAAUUAUUACCACUUUCUUUUGUUUGCUAUAUAAAUAACAAUUACUUAUCAUCUUUUCUUUUCAAUCACUCGUGUAAUGCUCCGAUUGUGAAAAAAAUUCCUCCUUUAAAAAAAUAUGGCGAAUUAUUUUUUUAAAAAUGGUUUUUUUCCCACGGAAUGAGUGGGGAAAACAUUUAAUUAUUAUUACCAAUUUUGUGUAGCUUCUUUUUCCAGUUUUACGCAAACGCUGGAUUAUGUGGUGCCUUUCCUGUUGUGUUAAUAACGCCCUGUUUCUUUUGCCGAAUGAAUUAUGUUAUUCAACGUGUCCUUGUGCUAAGAAAAUUGGCCUCCCUUUUUCUUGGCUUGUCCAACAAAAUCACGUUUAGCUACCAAUCUUUCGCUAUUAAUCAUUAUUAAUUAAUAGGUAAUUAAUAUGGCUGCUCUUUUUUUUUUGUUGGCGCCUAACAAAUCGCAGUUGAUUUACUCAAUUUUUUCCUAUUAAUUUUUAUAAUUUAAUUUAAUUACUGAUCCGCCCUUUGUUGUGUAACAGUACAAACUAAUUACCAAUUAUUUACAAUAAUUAACACUCUCUUUUUGUUGGCAAAUAAAUCACAAUUAAUUAUCUUUUUUUUUAAUUGCUUGUCUUAUGCUCCAACAGUGACAAAAUUGGCUCCUAUUUUUUGCCAAAAAAACUACCGAAUCAUCUUUAAAAGAAAAUGUUGCUCUUUACUUUUGUGGAAAUGAGAGGGGAAGAUGUUUAACUAUUAUUAUCAAAUUUUCACAAUUAUCUUUAUUUAUUAUUAAUUCUGCACAAACAAUUGAUAAUGUGGUAUACCCUUCCAGUUGUGUUAAUAACUUGUUUAGCGACAAAGUUAUAAAGUUUUUUCAAUUAACUGUUAAUAACUAAUUAAUAGUGUCGUGUAUUUGGUUUCCCAACACACCACGUUUAAUUAUCGAUUUCUCACUAUUAAUUGUUAAUUAACUAAUUUAUUGCCAUUCUUUUCUACUUAAUUGUUAUUUGCUUAUUUUAUUGUUUCACCUAUUAUCCUUAACAAUUUAUAUUUAAUUACCAUCUUCUUUUAAUUAUUAGCUUUGUCUUUUUUUUUUUUCCUGACAUGUUGCAUUUAAUUACCAUUUCCUUUUUUAGAUUAACAACGACUUUGUUUCUCCGCCAGCAAAUCUUACUUGCUUGGCUAAUCUUUUGCAGUUUGUCAUUGCCUCAUUCCCCAACACAUACGGAAUAAAUCAGCAUCCUGUUCCAAUUAUAUGUUACACAUUUAAUAAUGCGGUUAUGUGAGGACGUGUUAAUGUUGAUCCUACCCGAGAAAUAUACUUCUUAUUUUUUUCUUUCAUGUUUGGAUUGUAAAAAAUUAUACUUUAUUUACACACACUGAUUUGCUUGUAUCAUUAAUACAUUUUCUAAUCAUCUUUUUAUUUCACAUACAUCAUAUGAAAAAAGCGCUACAGUACUUUUUCCACAAAAUUUUCUCAAAUAAUUUACAAUCCAAAAGUGUUACAUAAUUUUUUCUGUUGUAACUUGCCUUCUUAUUACUAAUUGACAACUAUUUUUGUUAGUAAAUAUUUUGUUCUUUCAAUUGAAACAUAUACAUGUUUUCUCAAUUCCUUAAUACACUGCAUUCUCAGACAUCACUUGUCCUCCUUUGCAGACGAGUGGUUGUACCUGACCCGAAUGAUGGAUGUUUUAUUUCACUAUAUUACCCAUCCCUUGUGUGUGAAUUUACACUUCCACUCAACAGGCCUUACAAAUUUUUUUUCCCACUUUCCUUAAGGUCACUCUGCACUCUUGUCAAGAGUCACCUGUUUUUGGUUUCGUUGAUUGAGGUGGUUCUAUGUUUUGCAUUUGUACAAUGGUUGCAGAGUUCAUCUGUUUUUUCCCACCGGAUUUUUUAGUGAUUAUCAUCAUGAUUAGCGGUAAUUGUGCAUCUACUACAUUCUUUCUUCUAUUCUAUUGCUUUUGUUUCUUCGCUAGACAGAAAGCAAUACCUCAUAAGCACUGUUCUUUACUUGCUUUUGCUAUUUUGAACUUCCCUUCUUCCUAAUUUACUGGGUUGAUUUUAACUUGCACUGCUGCUGUUAUUACUGGUUUGCUGGUGAGUAUGUUGUCUUCGAGUUCACUUCACUUUGUCAUUCUAUAAUUGUUGAAUUAUUUGAGAAUAUUGUCUUGUUAUUUAUUUUCUUUAUUUACUUUUCUGCUCUCUCAUGCACCGGUUCAGACAUUUUAAUUUUUUUUCCCUCCCUUCUAAACUUUUACCACCGGUUCAUAUUCUCUAUCUACCUCUCUUUUUUUUUCCCCUUUUCUUAUUACCGUUUACAUGAUUGUGGUUUCUUUGUUACUUUUAAAAUUUCAAGGGAGGACAGUGAAACUAUCAAAACCUCAUAUUUUUGUUCUAAAAUUAUCCCCUUUUCUUUUUUUUUAUAAAUUUUGGGUGAGAUCUACUCUAACCACCAUUUCAAGUCAGGCUUUUGUAUUUUUGUUCAUUGCCCACCAUCUUCGCCCCCCACCAAACAAACCCAACAAAUAUCCCCUGUUAUUAUUGAGGAGUUAAGGGGAUUUAGUUUCUUCAGGACAAUUGCUGUAAACUGACUGCUAUUUUAUUCUAUGUUAUACCUUUAAUUACCCCAAAAAAAAAAAACACUACGAGUGAGGGCAUGUUCUGUGAGUCCACAGGUCGCUUACAGUGACACUUACCGUAACACUAGCAAAUUAUCUAUCAUUUCAGUCUUCACAUCAACAGUUGAUACGAACACAUCACCUUUUUGGAGAUAAUGGUCCAUCCACGGUGAGCCAACUCGUGUGUUUGCAUCGACUCUGGAUUCAUGCACGAGCACCAAGGUGAUAAUCAUCCACUUGGUUGCAUCCCUUUCAGAACGAUAGAUACCAGAAGUUACGUUGUACAUAUAUAAAAUUUUGGGAUAAUUUCAGAAACCUCCCUUGAGGUAUAUAAAAUUUCACUUCAGUUUGACAAAAAUAUUUCUAUCAAAGGUCACAAAUUGAUAACAUUACUCUUACUUUCAAUAAUUAUUUAACCAAAAAAAUAAAAUAAAAUUUUAAACCAAAAUAUGUAGAUUAAAAACAUAAAUUAAUAUCUAAUAAUGAUCCAUAUUUCUCUAUAUCAAGGUCGUAGUGGAACAGCAAAAAACGUGGAUAAAUUAAAUCUAAUCAAAGUUAACCACUUGGAAGGAUUUUGGUAAGUAAUUGACACUUUGAAAAAUUUCGUGGACAGUUAUAUUUUAGGAAGUCAAGAAAUUUUUUAGGAAAUAUAUUUUAAUACAUGAUGUAGUUUAAGUUAUAUUGUAAACUAAAAUAAUCUCUUCAUACAUUUGACUUUUUCAAGGCGUAAAUUUUUCAAUAUAACAAAAAUAAAUAGUUCUGAUAUUAAGAGAAACCUUAGGGGAUAUUAAGAAUUUACACCAUAUAAAAAAUUUCAAGGUGAUAUUAAGAGAAACCUCAUGGAGGUUUCUGAUAUUAUCCCUUUAAAUUUUAUAAAUAAGUGGGGGAAGGAUUAACCUCUUCAUGCCAGUAAUGAAGGCCCAGGAAAAAAAACUUAAUUGGAAGUAAGUGAACCACAUAAAAAUGUGGAUGGAAAAUAAAAAAAAAAAAAAAAAGAUUGUCGAUGAUGACAAUUAUUUUUACCUUUCUUCCAUGUCAGGAUAGACCUAUUGUAUUCCCUGACUAGAGCUUGUCUAAUCUAGUGAAAGAGCCUGAAUACAGAUGAAGGCAAUCAAGAUCAUUUGAAAGUUGUUCUAUUUCAAAUGAACAAGAUGCUUUCUUCUUCUUCUUCUUCUUUUUUUUUUUUUGUCAAACUAUGAAGUAUCACCCACUUUUUCUAUACAGCGACAUACCCAUAAGAAGUCUUUUGUAGUGUUGUAACAAAUCCAGACCUCUACCAUAAAGAAAUCAAGAAGUGCGACUCCUCCUUUCCAGUACCUCAUCCAGGAGUUAGUAUAUUUCUUGCGGAUUUAGGGAAUUCUUUUCUUUUGCUCAUAUUCCCUCUCAAAUGGAUUUGAUAGGAGGAGUUUCUACGUCUUACCUGUUCACUUUUACUUGAAUCGUUUCAUUCAAAAUCGUAUAACAACUCUGCUCGAUAUGCCACUCAUGCACCUCACAGAAAAUGUAAAGAAACAAACAACCUUAUGAUAAGUUCCAUAAUUUUUCAUAUGGAAAGCAGUACAAGCUUUCAAUAUUACAGAGUCAUACAUUAUUCACUUGAGAGAUAGAGCAUACAUGGCUCCUUAUUGUUCUUACUUAAAACUGAAAUUAAGUAGAGGUAACAGACUUGAGAAUAUCUUCAUUUUUCUUUAUGAACACCACCGGGUAAGGCUGACCACCUAAAGCCAGUCGCCUGGUUCCAUCGUCAUCAUGAUAGAUGCCAACAUAUUUGCAAAUCGCUUCAGAACUGGAGUCACAAACUGUGGGACAGAAAACAAGCUUGUAACCUUGAACACCGACGGCUUCAAUCUUAAACCAAUUGGCCGUGGUUUCACAUCCCGAGUUCC